This 89612-nucleotide long non-coding RNA is filed under the name Setaria viridis. RNAcentral's name for it is "long non-coding RNA (SVIR_LNC009863)". The record is from RNAcentral. Lineage: Eukaryota; Viridiplantae; Streptophyta; Magnoliopsida; Poales; Poaceae.
AGGUUAUUGGGUACCGAGUCAAUGGUUUCUUCCGCGAGUAUAUCAUCUCGCGGCCGGUGGAAGAGAGAGUUUUCUUUCCAGUGGAAGUCUCUGCACUGGAGAAGGGGCAUGGCCGGCUGACCACAGAAGGCAUAGGACAGCACCUAGCACUUGGGAGAUCCUGGGAGGAUGACCGGUUUGUGUUCGAGGGUUUGGACUUCUCACGGCUACGGUCUUUGACAGUGUUUAGAACAAUGUUUUGGCCAUGGUACGUCUCGGACAGGAUGAGGGUGCUUCGGGUGCUGGAUCUAGAGAAUGCAGCGGGUGUACGGAAUGUUGAUUUGGAGGCGGCAGGGAAGCUGCUGCCUCGUCUGAAGUUCCUCUCGCUAAGAGGACAGAGGAAUGUUUCGCGACUGCCAGAUUCCGUGGGUGAGCUGAUGCAGCUGCAAACUCUGGAUAUCAGAGACACCUCUAUAGUCGCGCUACCACCAUGCAUCACCCGGCUACAGAAGCUGCAGUACAUUCGUGCAGGUAACUACACCAUAGCGUGGACGCAAUAUGACAUCGGACGUGGAACUGAUGGCUCUUUCAGCAAUGGUGUUGAGGUUCCAAGAGGGAUCGAGAGACUGAAAGCCUUGCAGACGCUUGGUGCUAUUGAUGUAAAUACUGCAGGGGAUGCCACUCUUAGUGAGAUCCGUUCCCUCUUUCCCCAGUUGAAAAAACUCGAAUUGUUCAGGAUCAACCGCAAAGUCAGCGAAAGGUUUUUUCAGCUUUUAGAUUUUGAUGCACGUCAUUUGGAAUCAUUGUCUUUGCAGUUUGAGAAGAACGACCAUUUUGUUCAUUCGAACUUCAUCCACUUUCCCGAAGGCCUACGGAGCCUAAAGGUGCACGGCCAUGUAGAGAAGUUCCCAAGGAUCAGGUAUCAAAAUAAUCUCUUGAAGCUGACUUUAGAGAAGACUACACUGUUCACACCAGAUGACAUAGAGGUCAUGGGGAGCUUACCAAGUCUGCGUACUCUGCGCCUCCGUGUCAAUGAAGAUCAAGAUGGCGAGCUCCAAUUUCAGUAUGGCUAUUUCAGCAAACUCGAGGUCCUCGAGAUUGUCUGCAAAUCGAAGUUACGUGUAAGGUUUGGCUUUGAUGCAAUGGAAAAGCUUGAGCAGCUGAAGAUUCACUGCCUUAUGGGGUCGGAUAUGCAGUUCUCUGGGUUAGAGCACCCGGUUUCCCUCAAGCAAGUCUGGCUUAUGGGUGACUUCGUCGACGCACUCAAGGUAGCAUUGGAGCAGCAACUUGUCAAGCAUCUGAAUAAACCUGCUCCGAAACUGGAGGUUUUGUUAUGAGCGGCGUAUGGAAUAUGAAGUAAAGAAUCAAACCGCAAAAGAGACACACGAUUUACGUGGAAAACCCCUUCGAUGUGAAGGGGAAAAAACCACGGGCACCAGCCGUCAACAAUCUCACUAUCUCAAGAGUUUAAGGUUACACGCCUAUGGCGGCUUACAAGAGAAUCUGAUAAUCUCUCUCUCUUCGAAACCCUAGCAAGGGGUAUAAAGUUGUACGGACUCUUGGUCCCGGGCGAGGAUGGAACUCCACCUCGCCUGAUCCUGGGUCCUUCGUCCUGGAGUUGGAUGCGCCCGGAACUCCGCCUCGCCCGACCCCGAGCCAGGGGUCGGAUGCGCCUGACCCCUUGAGGGUGGAUCUCCGCCUCGCCCGACCCCGAGUCCAGGGGUCGGGAGACGCUCCGCCUCGCCCGACCUCGAGUGUAUGGGGUCGGGAAGGUUGGCCUUUAUCCUGGAGUGAAUUUGGAACAACUCCAACAGGUUUGAGCCACGUUCGUCCCAGGAGUCGUCCGAGGAGUCGAACUAAGGUAUGUAGGCAAUUGUUUCUGUUGUAUGCCUGCCAUUCGUACUUCCUUUCUUCUAUUACUCUAUCUAAACCUAGCAUCCGGUUUACCACAGGGAAGUCCGACACUCCAACUUGCAGGUUUGGAAGACGACACGCUAGCUGAUCAUCCUAAGAAAUCAGUUUUGAAGCUGCAGGGAGCCAUGUUUUAUCCUGAUGGCCUGGCGGGUAUUUACUGAAGUUCGAGAUGCUGACUGCCAGCCGUGGCCCAAUCCAGUAUUCUCAGCCGAGAAGGAUUAGCUCCAAGUCUCUUACUGUUAUUAGUAGAAACCAUUACCUGUUUUUUACCUCGAAAGCUUAGUAGAGCUGUGUAUCAUUAUAAUAAAGAAGCAGAAAAUAAUAUUGUAUGCUAAUGAACACACUGAAAUUUUAUAUUGGUCUAUAUGUACCAAUAAGGCUCUUGUGUCUCGUGUACAUCCACGAAAAGGUCUGUAUUGUGAUGGCUGGUGUGUAAACGAAAAUAUGAGAAAUAUUGUGCUGUCAAACAGGUGUUUUUUCUGCCUGGGGGGCUGCUGUUGGCGCCAACAAUCGCGGUAUGAAAUCUUGACCAACAGCAGGCACUAUCUUCAAGCAACCGGAAAUUGAUUCACUAUUGCAAGACACAGACACUUCAAAAGCAUUGGCUGUACUGUAGCAGGCAGUAAAUGACAGCUAGAGCUUUGUCCAUAAGCAAGUAACAAAGACCAAGCAAAGAACCUGCAGUACCACUAAGCAAAGAUUAAAUUGAGCUGCACUAUUGCAUUGCACCCGUUGUCAGUCUCAUGGCCUUGGAGAAAAGAACAGAGCUGCUCACAUUACAGAACUGAAUGAGCAGUCGAGCUGCUAAGCAAAACAGAGAAGUACUGAACCAUUGCUACUGCUGACAGACGUGCAUAGACAAGGAUUAAACAAGUGCUCAUGCAUUCAGACAUGUAUUAGUUCAUCGAUUAACUCAUCAACUACUAAACUGAUCAGGCACACACGGUCAAAAGCAUGCAUGCAAUGAUUAGUUCCUGUAGCUGUGCAAGUGACACGCCUGAAUCAAAACAACUAUCUCUGAAUAAUGGCCAAACCUUGCUUCUGCUGUCAGGGCUGGGCUGGUCGCUGCUGCUGAUCUGCUCGACCGGGCCGGCUUGCUCCGCACCGCGAACUAGGCCUAGCGUGGCCUGCCUGAGCCGCUCUGGGCCGGCGUGCCUGGCUGGGCUGGCGUGCAGCUUGCCUCGCCUGGUCCGUGAGUGCCGGCCUGUGGAGCCCAGCGCAGCAGCGUCGCGCUUGGCGCGCGUGCCGCACGCGUGCCUCUGCCCGAUAGAAGAACAGAGACGAACAGAGCAAGAACACGACGAACAAAGCUCAACUUUGAAUCAAAAGUCCUCUCUCGAAACUCCACGGAUCCAAAUAAAACUUGAUCCAUAGAAGAAACACCUCAAGGUAUAAUAGAUCCAUGAAAAAGAUUUUGGAAAGCUCAAGUAUUCAGAGCGGAUUUAGGAGAAAACCGAAUGCCCUCCACGAAGAAAACGGUUUGGGAAAACUCAAAUUCAAGCUAAAUUCGUGAGUGAUUUGAGGGAGGUCACAUCAAAGUUGCUCAUAAAGAUCCUAGAAACAAAUUCCCCCAACAAAUUUUAUGGGAUUUGGAUUUAAACAUGUUGAACAAAAAUUUCCACAAAAAUGCUAAAAAAAUCUGAAAAAGAUAAAUUUCAGAUUCAAAGAGUAUGAACAAGAUGGCAUGAAAUUGAUCUUUAAAUUAUUCCACCAUGUUCGGUUACAAGUCACUCCUAAGCACAAUCGAAAUUAGGAUGGCAAAAAAAUCAAUAUAAAGAUCCACUCAUCUCUGUCCCUUUCUCACACCCAAAGGCUCCCACAAUCAAAUGAGAAGCUCACCAUCAAAGAGAUGCCCAACAGCCCUCCACACACACAAAUAUAUAUAGACAUAGACAUCCGAAAAAUGAUCAGAAUGUCCUUACAUGAAGCACACAACUCAAAUACCUCCAUAGGUAAAAUCAUUUAACUUUUUCCUCGUACAUCGGAUGAACCCAGCGCCUUUACGACUUAGCUUUGCCUCGACGCAAGCUUCGUGAUAAUACCGCGCGUCCUCUGACUCGACGAUGUCCAGCUGCACCGAACUCAUCCUCUGGUUUUGAGUUCAAACCAGUCAAACCCUCUUGCACACCCCGCAGGUGUGACUCAGACCCGAUUUUGAGGCCAAACUGGUCAAAGCCUCUUGCACGCCGCACCCGACGUGACUCACCGAUGUCGACGUGUCCGGCCUCCGCCAAGCAAGAGUACACGGAUGGGAUGGAGACAGCGUGUACUCUAGCUUAAUCCCUCACUUAGUUGAUGAUGGCCUAUCUAUCCUCCAAUAUGCAAAUGCGUUGACCUGCUAUGACCAGAGUGCACCCCGGCAUGGGUAGGUUUCACAGCUUCGAGGUUCUCAACUGGUGACGGAGUGCCCUGCAGUUGAGAGUGGUUCCAGACUCGAGAAAACAAGUGAGUACUAUCCACUUACUAGGGCUUCGACCGUUAAGGGGGUUUGGACGGAUCGCUACUGUUCAGGCUCCAUCCGUGCAGGUACAGUUGUACAACCUCUGCGGAGUGUGUAAACCUAUAGCUAUAGUUUCGUUGGGGGGAAAUAUAAACAACCUCCAAAUGCCCCUUAAAACAAAUCAUGAAGGCCCAGGCCCACCUGCGGUAAUGACGAUUGCCGCCGGCCCAGCAUGGGCAGGGAACAUCCCGCUCCGUCUCGUCCGACCCAGGACCCUGGGGUCGGACACUCCCGAUCCCUCGAUGGCAAAACUCCGCCUCACCCGACCCACGGUCCCAGGGUCGGAUGCACCCGACCCCUCGCCGCAAAGUUCCGCCUCGCCCAACCCCGAGUGUAAAGGGUCAGACUCAUUCGGGCCCACAAGACAAGGGUCCGCCUCGGGCAUAGACCAGCAAACGAGGACGCGGAUCUCGUGGGCCCCUCACUGAUCUUGUCAUAAAUGCACCGCGGCUCUAUCGCGCAGAAAGGCGCCUGCGCCCUUUGACGUGACCACCACAAGUACCCGGGCAUAGAACGCUGUAGCCACGACCGCACAGGCUACAGUGCCACGGCUCCCCCUGAUUCGCCAUAAGGCACUCAUGGCAUGCGCCAUCCGGCACAGGAGGGAGCUCCGCCCGUUCUCGCGCCCCGCGUAUCCAGCGACAGGGACGCGACGUCCGUGUCCCACGGAUCGUAAGCAGGACAACAGGGGUCAGCCGUAUCCCCCAACGUGCAUAGUUGCCACGACCAAACACCAUCAUCAUGCUUGGCGGCAGCGGUCGCCAGGAAGAUCGUCGACAUGAUCUGAAGACAGCUGCCCUCCUCUGGUGGACGCGCUGACAGGAGCCGAAGGCUGAAGCAGGAGGGGGCGGCCCGGGGACUUGGUCCUUCUCCUUGUACUUUACUUUACUCAGCUUAUCUCUUUCACUUCUCCAGACCCCGGUUCACCUAUAACCCUGAGCCCUCCUUGCGCUAUAAAAGGAGAACCAGGGGCCCCGAUACCGGGAGGACUCUCAGGCCAAUAGAACCCACACACUCACCUCACGAGCAUCGGUGCACACCCAAGAGACUUGGGACCGGCUCCCUCUCUCGCCUAUUUGUAACCCCUACUACAGACCUUGCGUGAGUAACACGAGCAGCUCCUCAUACUGGACGUAGGGCUUUCCUUGCCCGAACCAGUCUAACCCCGUGUCUUCUCACGCCACCAUUAGAAGCCUUACGCGCAUAAAAGAAAUUUACUAGCAGUAGUCUUGACCCGCUAAUCUUGACAACGACAGUUGGCGUGCCAGCUAGGGGACCUUUGCGUGUACAUCACUAGCUUCUGAUGGCCAGCCAUGACGCCAGCUUUGCUGCCGGCUCCCUCGUCCGCUUUGGGAGCUUGGACUUCCUCGCCACGGGGGAGGGAGUCGCACUGAUCCCUCUCCUUGGCCUGCCCGCUCGCCCCGACGUCCCCGGCUGCGCCGCCGGGAUAGCAGUGAGCGACCGGGCGUGCACCACAGGGCCCCCUUCGGAGGAGUGGCCCUUCGGGCUGUGCAAUGCCGCGGCGACCCACGGUCGCCUUCUGGCGCGGUCCAUGACCAUGUCACCUAUGAGCAACGAGCUCGUGGGCGUGGCGAGGACAGCCUCCGACGCCGGUUCCGACAACAGGAGCCACCACCCCUCACACGAGUGCUUCAUGGCCGACGCGCACUCCGAGGGGUCAAACAAUAAUGGCGCCAAGGGGAGGCAGCACACUCCCCCACCGCACGCCGCAGCUACGACAGCCGGACGCGCACGCGGCGCCCCACCAGGUGGUCGAGCGCCCCCGUAACGAAGGUGGGGCACGACAACGGGCGCGCGACAUCCAACGACGCAUUUGCGUGGACGGAGAUCGCCCUCAGCUCUUCGCUCGUGCCAGCCAGAACAUCGCUGCAGCGGCGGCCCUGCUCCGAUGACUCCCCGAGCCGGUGACGCAUAAGGAGCAUCAGGCGCACCAAGAUGUGCGCGACCUGCUCGAGUGCGCCGCCGUCCAGCAGGCGGAGAGCUCCGCGUCCCGGUGACGUGGGCACAACGCUAGCAGGGCAGCACCCACUGCACCUCCUGAGAGGCGGGGGGAGUCUGUCCACCAGCCUCCUCCCAGGGCGAACCAGGCUGCACCCGCUCGACGGACACCGCCACCCGCAGGAGGCGGGGCUCAGUCCGUUCACCAGUGCGUCGACCCCGUCCGCGACGCCCGCGACACUCUGGACGCGAGGAGGCGCUCCCGCGUGGACCGAGAGGACGAAGUGGACCGUGGCUAUCACGUCCACCGUGGCGGCCGCUACGACAGCGAAGAAGAUCGCAGCCCGAGCCCCGACCCAGCGGGGCCCAGGGCCUUCUCCGCGCGCAUCCUGAACGCGCCAUUCCCGACGCGCUUCAGGCAGCCUACGAAUGUGGCCAAGUACUCCGAGGAGACGAACCCCGGGCUGUGGCUCAGCGACUACCGGCUUGCAUGUCGGGCCGAUGGGGCAGAUGAUGACCUGUUCAUCAUCCGCAAUCUCCCGCUCUUUCUGGCCGACUCGGCGCGAGCCUGGCUGGAACACAUCCCUUCGGGUCGGAUCCGCAGCUGGAAUGACCUGAAGGAGAUCUUCAUGGGAAACUUCCAGGGCACAUACAUGCGCCCUGGCAAUUCCUGGGACCUGCGGAGCUGCCGCCAGGGGUCGGACGAGUCCCUUCGUGACUACAUCCGGUGUUUCUCCAGGAAGCGCACCGAGCUCUCCAACGUCGCGGAUGCCAACGUCAUCGGAGCUUUCCUGGCAGGAACUUCCUGCCGGUCCCUUGUCCACGAGCUGGGACGCAGGGGCCCGCGGACCAUGGAGGAGCUCCUCAACAUCGCCACCAGCUUCGCCUCGGGCAAAGAGGCUGUCGGGGCAAUCUUUGACCGUUCCAAGAGCAAGGCAAAGCGGGAGGAGGACGCCGACGAGGGCACCUCCAACCGUCAACAGAAGAAGAAGAAUAAGCAGCGACACGAAACUCCCCUCGUGGCUGUUGCUGAGCGCAAGUGGGGGCUACCGCCCCUAGAGGGCACCCCUGGUUUCUUCAACAAGCUGCUCGAGGGAUCGUGCCCAAACCAUGAGUUCCCUACGAAGCAUGCCUACAAAGAUUGCAACCUCAUGAAGAGGUAUUUUGUAGGCAACCCAGUGAAGAGCGACCGGAGACGGAAGCCCAACGAGGAGAAGAAAGACGGAGAAGAGAAGGAAGAUGGCUUCCUCAAGGUGGACGGCUGCUUCAUGAUCUUCGGCGGGCCGGCAGCUUACGACUCCAAGCGCCGCCAGAAGCUGGAGUGCCACGAGGUCUACGCGGCCGAGCCCGCUACACCGACCUUCCUCAACUGGUCGGGACCCGCCAUUACCUUCGACCGGUCCGACCACCCAGGGCGCAUCCUGCAGCCGAGACGCUACUCGCUCGUCAUCGACCCCAUCGUUGGCACAACGCGCCUCACCAAGGUUCUCAUGGACAAAGGCAGCAGCCUCAACAUCCUUUACGCCGAGACUCUCGACGCCAUGGGGAUCGACUGCUCCCGCCUCCGCCCCAGCGAGGCGCCAUUCCACAGCACCGUGCCGGGGAAAUGGGCGAUGCCUCUCGGGCAGAUCGACCUGCCCGUCACUUUUGGAACUCCUUCCAACUAUAGGAAGGAGACCCUCACCUUCGAAGUGGUAGGUUUUCGUGGAACCUACCACGCCAUCCUGGGGCGGCCGUGUUACGCCAAGUUUAUGGCCAUCCCCAACUACACCUACCUCAAGCUCAAGCUGUCGGGGCCCAACAGGGUCAUCACCGCCGGCCCGUCUUUCCAGAAGGCGUACGAGUGCGACGUAGAGUGCUGCGAGUACGCCGCAGCCAUCACCUACACGGAGGAUCCCGCGGUCCAGCUCGCGGAGAGCACCGAGGACCCGCCCGACCCCAAGCAGUCCGACACCUCCUUCGAAGCCACUGAAGGCAUCAAGGAGGUCCCACUCGACCCCAGCAGUUCCGACAGCAGGACCGUGCGGAUAGGCGCUACCCUAUCUCCCAAAUAGGAAAGCGCGCUCGUCGACUUCCUCCGCGCAAACAACGACGUUUUCGCGUGGAAACCCUCGGACAUGCCCGGCAUCCCGAGGGAAGUCGCCGAACACUCCUUGAACAUCAAGGCCGGCUCCAAACCGGUGAAACAAGGCUUGCGUCGCUUCGAUGAGGAGAGGCGCAAGGCCAUCGGCGAGGAGCUCCAGAAGCUUUUGGCGACGGAUUCAUCAAGAAACUGUACCACCCUGAGUGGCUGGCUAAUCCUAUUAUUGUACGAAAAAAGAAUGGGAAAUGGAGGAUGUGUGUUGAUUAUACCGGUCUCAACAAGGCAUGUCCAAAGGAUCCGUUUCCUUUGCCACGAAUAGAUCAGAUAGUUGACUCAACCGCCGAGUGUGAAACACUUAGCUUCCUUGACACGUAUUCCGGCUACCAUCAAAUCGCGACGAAAGAGUCCAACCAGCUCGCGACCUCUUUCAUCACCCCGUUCGGCCCCUACUGUUAUGUUAAGAUGCCGUUCGGCCUCAAAAACACGGGGGCUACGUUCCAGUGAUGUAUGCUUAAGUGUUUCGGGGACCUCGUCGGGCGGACCGUUGAGGCCUACGUGGAUGACAUCAUAGUCAAGUCCAAGAAGGGCGACAAACUCAUCCCCGACCUCGAAAUAGCCUUCGAAAGGCUGAGAGACAAGCACAUCAAGCUCAACCCUGAAAAGUGUGUUUUCGGGGUUCCAAGGGGCAUGCUGCUGGGUUUCAUCAUCUCCGUACGCCGCAUCGAAGCCAAUCCGGAGAAAAUAAUGGCCAUCAGCGACAUGGGGCCAAUUUGAAACAUAAAGGGAGUUCAGCACGUCGCGGGAUGCCUGGCGGCCCUGAGCCGCUUCAUCUCGCGCCUCGGCGAACGGGGGCUCCCUCUCUACCGACUCCUGAAGAAGACCGACCACUUUGUGUGGACCGCCGAGGCCCAGGAGGUGCUUGACCGGCUCAAGAACCUCCUGACAGAGGCCCUGAUCCUGGUCCCACCUACCGACGGGGAGCCACUUCUGCUCUACAUCACGGCGACCACCCAGGUGGUUAGCGCGGCUCUGGUGGUGGAGCGAGAGGACGAGGGACACGCCCUCAAGGUGCAGCACCCGGUGUACUUCAUCAGUGAGGUCUUGUCCGAGUCCAAGGCGCGCUACCCACAGAUCCAGAAGCUCAUCUACGCCAUCCUCAUCAUGAAGAGGAAGUUGCACCACUACUUCACCUCCCAUCCCGUGACGGUCAUCUCAUCAUUUCCUCUCAACGAAGUGAUCCGGAAUCAAGAUGCCAUGGGACGGAUCGCGAAGUGGGCGCUCGAGCUCAUGGACCAGGGCAUCAGUUAUGCCCCCCGUACAACCAUCAAGUCCCAAGUGCUCGCCGACUUUGUUGUAGAGUGGACGGAGAUCCAGAUGCCACCGGUACCGGAGAAGCAGGAGCACUGGACAAUGUACUUCGACGGGUCGUUGAUGAAGGCUCGCGUCGGAGCGAGUCUGGUGUGGCGGAACCGUCCAACUUAAACUGGUUUAAAUGCGCCUAAUCGCUGCCGAUGCAGCAAUUAUCCGAAACGCACUUAAAACAGUAUAAGUCCGGUCGUCCGUCGAGUGUCCCUAGGACUCCUCGAAAGAUCCACGUCGUGUCUCAUAGCCAUACAUCAGGAUUGUAUCCGCGAUGGGAUAGCAUCAACAAAUAUUACAUUUUUACAUACAUACACGAGGUACGAGUUAAUACAAGACAUAGUUUGAAACAAACUUAACAGUGCAGAUUAGACAGAAGUUCUAGGAUUUUAAACAUAAACGGUUCAGGAGGGAGAUGGGCAUCUAAGAUUUCUUCUAAGGGUAUUGUGAGACUCAUAACAAUACCCUAAUUUUUCGGGGCUUCCUCCUCGGUGGAUUCCUGCGGUGCCUCUGAAAAUAGCCACAAGGGAUAACCCUGAGUACGAGGUACUCAUCAAGGCUUACCCGACUAACCAAUAUAAUAGUUUUUCUUGGAAUUACAUGAUAGCUUUUUCGGUGUACUUGGCUGACCCAUUUUUGCCAAAAAUCUUACUAAGAGUGAGACCUUAGCUUUAUCUUUUGUUUGGAUUAAGUCAUUACCCAACCAUUCUAGGUGAUGAUAAAAGACUAUUUGCAAACAUCCAGGUAUUGAGUCAUACACCAAACAUUAGUAGAAAGAUAUAGCAUUCAUGAAUUUAUGCUAUGAUGCUCAACAGCGAUCAAGUGCAUUCAUAACCGAGAAUUGCGGCGAUCCGAAUCAAAUUACAUCCUGCAGGAGAGUACCCUGAUCACCAGCUAUAUACGACUGUCCAGGUUGUACGUAACGACUUUUCGAUUAGCAAAUCCAAUGAUUGGGAAUAAGACUACCCGAACCCAGGGACGCACCCCCACAUGGGACCCCACGUCUGGCCUGAUCACCAUGUGAGUUUCAGGCUACGCCCCUGCCAAUCUCCAGCACGUCAAGCGCGGGUAUGAAGUAUUCCCGAUCAGAGGGUUUACUAACCUACUGGGCUUUGCUGGUCCCAUACCCAGUAAGUGAUCAGAUGUCUUUCACUUGACCAAAGCUAUAGACAACGAAUCGGGCCUUAACCAAAUUAAUCUAGCAGACAGAACUACAUCCCUAGCUUUUGUCCGCUUCUUAAUUUCCAAGUUAUCUUUCCAUAAUUAACAUGCAUGACUCAAUAUUUACCUUAAGGUUUGGUAAAGUAAGUGUUUGAGUAACUAAGCAAUUCUAGACUUGGGUUAUUUACUAAAGGUUUGAACAAGUGGCAAAGAUGUCCUUAAAACAAGGUAUGAUAAUGCACAAGAAUGGGUUUCAAGCAACAUCUAGACUUAGUGCAUACAUAUAGCAGAUAACUGAUAAUUGGACACAUGAAAUAUCGACUCCAAAAUAAUAGGUAUAAUGCACCGGGGCUUGCCUUGUUCGUAAAAAAGUUAGCACCGUCUGAAGGGUUGGCCUUGUAGGGAACCAACUCAAAGAUCUCUUCAAACUCCGGAGAUCCUUCUGAAUAUUCCGAGAAAUCCCCUUCCGUGCUUCGGUGUCUAUGACAAAGCAUAUGCAGGGGUUAGGAAUGCAACUUUUUUGAAUAUAAGACUAUUGUUGGCGCUAGAAAUCGGUCAACCGAAUCCCCAGCGUCUGACACACGACCCGGGAGAAUGUGCUUAACUCCUGUUCGGGUGAUUGCCCUGGUGCGGUUCGCGCGGUGUGCCAGCCAAUCUGACCUGUUGAUUGGCAAGGAAGAAUACGUGUCAGGUCCAGAAAUCAUGAUCGGCUAAAUUUCCGAUCUCGAGAGAGCUUAUCAGUGAAUCGGCCGAUUUGCCGUAAUAAAGAAAUCGGCUAUGAAGCAGCCGAUCACUGUAGCCGUGUAGACAAGAAAUUACUGGAGUAAUCGACACAAUGCUAUAGUAACAACACUAGGAAUAGAUCUAAUCAGCUAUAUGCGAAAUAAGUGAAUUUAAUAACAGAAAGUAAAGAAAGCCGAAAUCGCCGAUUCCUAGCUGGAUAACUGGUGAUAAAACUACAAAGACAGGUAAAACCUAUGAUUCUAGUAAAUAUCGAUAACUAGUGAAUAAAUCUAAACGAAACGACAGCGAUGCGCCCGAAGUUAAAGCUUAGAAUUUACUCGGUAAACGGAACUUACAAGAUCGGCCGGAGAUCAAGUUGAUGCAGCCCUGCCAACCCGUACGAACUCGUGAAAAAGGAGAAAGUACUUGGCGAAGUCGCCUGCUCGAAAGUAAGUACGAGGAAAUAGUAGUUGGUUGUAUUGAUUUGUUGAUGAUUACAGAUUUACAAAGAUAGCUAUUUAUAGCCCCGUACAGAUGACUCCUUAACUGACUAGAACUCUAUCCCUAAUUCAAAUACAAAACGAAUAUUUACAAGCACGAUUCGUACUAGGUUGGUUAUUAUACACCUCAUGGGCUGAUUUCCUCUUCAUCCUUCUGAUCCUUCCCAAGCCCAUACUGGCCCAAUUAUUCCAGCCCCCUAAUCGGCCGAUUCCUUAUCGGCAAAGGGUAACCGAUUCGGGAACCAGGCGUGUUCGAUCCGAACCCCAAGGGUUAAGCGAGGUAGAAAUCAUCGGCCGAUCCCGUACUGUAGCAUUUGGCCGAUCUUGGACUGUAGUGCCAACCAACCGAUCUCCAACUAUACUUUCCCAUUUCCUCUCCUCCUGACGCCGAUUUCACUAGUGACGAAAUCUGGCGUCAACACAUGCCCCCCAGUUUCGGAGUAAAACAUAGUCUUUUACUUCGAAAUUCUUUUCAACUUCCCCUCCGAAACAGCCGCAAUGAAAAUAUCCUUCCGUUUCGCGGUCUUCAACCUGAUGAUUGCAAUCUUUUCAAAACGGGUGCCCACGACAACCACUACUCCCGAAAAACUCGAAACGCCUGCGCGGUGAAAAUUCCAUUUUUACCCCUCCUUAGGCGCCCUUUAAAUAGCAGUUCACCCCGCACUUUCACCUUCGAGCUCACGUCUUUCUUCCUCAGCGCGCGCGCCUUCUUCUUCCCUCAGCACUUUCCCUUAGCUCUGAAGCUCCUCAGUGCCACCUUCCUAUUGCUUCUUCUUUUCCCCUCCAAUGGCGGCACCUUCAGGCAACUCGCCCGCGCGCAAUGCUCCAGAAAUGGCGCCUCCGGCGGAAGUGACGACAGCGGUUGCUCCGUCGUCAGAAGAAGGAGCUUCAUCGGAGAUCCCAAUGGCGAUCCCCAUCGCGGCCUCAUCCUCCGCAGCUGCACCGGCGGUCACGCCGACUACUAGGAACUUCAUCCCAGAGGUUAUUACCGAAUCCUUCCUCUAUCGGCAAUGCAUUUACUUUAGAUCUAUUUCUUACUUUUGCACCCCCCCUUUCCUUUUUAGGCGGUUAGACAUCGCAUCACCAUCCACCUUACGGGAAAUCCUGGCCUUAUCUGUCUUGGACCCAUGGGGAACCCAGAUCCGAUAGAGCUCAUCAAUUUAGAAACCCACAGAAUCCCCUUCAAACAAUCCACCAUGGACCUGGAUCACUGGUUAGGCACCUUUAGGUCCUGGCCGAAUGAAACCCCAGGUUGGAGGGAGUGGUACCAACGGAUAGCCGAACCGAAGAGGGUCCUAUGGGACGAGCUCAAAAUCGGCCAGUGUAUCAACCUGUCUUUGUCCCAGAUGGAGCGAAAUGAACCGCUGGUGAUAGCGGCCUCUUACUUUUGGUCUGAUGCCCUCAAUGCUUUCUUGUUUGGGCAUGGACCUAUGACUCCCACACUGGCCGAUGUGGUUCUGUUGACCGGCCUUGACAUUUCCUUCCCGGACACACCUUUCCGCCUCUUAGCCGCAACGUCACAUCGGCUGGACACAAGAGGAAUUGGCGGGUGGAAAGGAUUCAUCAGAUGCAACAAAAGAGCUGGGUCUGUUGAGAAUAGGGAGCACACGGACUUUUUAAUGAUGUGGUUAGAAAAACAUUUCUUUUGCGGAAGAGCAGCCGGCCCAUCAACCAACACCCAGGCUUUAGCCGAAGCGCUAUCGGCAGGAACCCCUGUUCCCCUUGGGAAACACUUGCUAGGGGUGGCGUACCACAUGCUCCACCAAAUCGGCAUCAAACUAUCCAAGGGGGAGCCGAUUGGAAAUCCAAGUGGCCCCUGGUGGUUCAUCAAUUUAUGGUUGAACCUUUAUAUAAGCAAGAUCACUCAGCAGAAUGUGGGUCACAUGAUGUUCCCUAACAUUGAAUCGGCAGAAGAUCCUACUGCUCGUCGCCGAUGCACAUCUUUCGGUGAAGCGGCGUCGGCCUUCCCGGGUUGCUUGUACUCUGCUACAAAAGUGGCCGAGUACUUCCGAUGCUUCUACAACGGCUUUAAUGAAGAUGCAACCGUCUGGUUUCCUUAUCAGCGGGAUGACCCAAUCUUUGAACUCCCAACCUGCUUCGACUCAACCACUGGCCGAUUCGACGAAGAACUCACUGAUGAGCUAAUCAAGCCAGGAAUCCUGCCAGCCAACUUCUUUUCGGGGAAAGAUGCCCCCACGUACGAGUUCUACAAUCCCUCUGCUGCAGCACGCCAACUCGGCAUGGGUCAGCUGCUGAUUCAAGUAUAUUUUGCUGGCCGAGUCAAGUUCAGAGAUGGGCUCACAACAGGUCUGGACUACAGUCGGGUACGAGACCGGAUCCCGGACUCCACCACUAUUGACCUGAACAACUGGAUAGUAGCCCCCUUCGCUGUCCAGCCAUUCAAACUUUGGUGGGCCGAAUGGAAACAAUUCCUCUUCUGCAACUCGGCAUCGGCAUACUGCAAUCUCCUGGAUCCAGCCAACAUCGACCCGAACGCCGAGGUAUUUUCCUUAGCCGAUUUUUACUCUUUUUUCAACAUAAUUGAAUACUAAUGCUUCGCUUCAUUUCUUCAGUCUGAGAAUCAUACUCCUCCAACACACAGCUGGAGUGGUCGGCUAAUAGAGGGUCAUCAUCCAUACACCUCCUACCCUCUCAUCGGCUACGACGCUCCGUCCGUGGACGUGAUUGCUGGCCGAUCGAAACAAGCACAGAAGAGAGUUACUAAGAAGACCAGCCGCCGAGUCCGAGCCCGUAUAGAAUCGGCGGAUCCUCCCAUGCUUGUAUCGGCAGAGACUUCGGCCGCGCCACCCCCUCAGGCUUCCAGAGAUAUCGACACUCAAGUCGUCGCACAAGCUGGGGCAGCCGCCGCGUCACUGUUGUUAGAGGCCGUUCAGGUAAACUUAUGUUUUAAUCCUCCCGAUUGUCGUUUCGAUAUUAAUCCUUCUUAUCUUAGACUGCACAGAGUACUCCCAUGGACACACCACAAUCGGCAGCAACCCAAUCGGCCGUCGACACGCCCCCGCUUCCAUCCGUUGAGGUACAACACUAUUUCACCGAUUCCCCUAGUAUUUGAAUAAUAUGCUUACUCAACCUUUUGACACAGGUCAUCGGCACGCCAAGCGCUCCUCACCCAUUGGUCCCCUCUUGGGAAGCUGGUCCAAGCAUCGCACCGAUCAUCGUGGAGUCCUCCUCUUCUGAUGAACCUAUGGUACAGGCCCCUGAGCAGGGAACGACGGCUUCCCGAAUGCAACUUGAAGAGAUUCGCUUCAAAGUGGUAAGACAUCUUUCAGCUUUAUUUAGCCGAUUUGCUAUCACCAUAAGCUGAUUUAUUUUUUCUUCUUCAUUAUUUCCAGGAACAGGACACCCCUGACAAUAGCCUCUUCUCUUUCGCGGUCGCCCUUUCUGACGAUGAAGAAGUCGCUUCUCGCCAGGUCGCCUUGAGCUCCAUCCCUGACGAUGUCCGAGCCAAGCUUACUAGCAUCCGAUCCCUUCUUCAAGGAGACAUCGGCCGAUUAGUAGAAGAUGCCUCACCGAUUCGGCAGCUUUUCGGUGACAUCAGCGGACGAGUGCCAGAAGAAGCGGAGGAAGCCUUGGCGCCGGCUGCAUUCAUCGAGUCCAUGAGGAUCCCGGUCUUCAGAGCCCUUCGUCACAUGGCCGAUCGCGCCAAGUUGGCUAAGACCCGUGAAGAAGAGGACGCGUACAAACGUCAGGCUCAAGAGGUACACCAACGCAUUCACUUUCUAGAGGAUUCCCGCCCAGGGAUCGUCGGUGAGAUAGACCGCCUUAAACGCCGAAGGGCAGAGCUCGCCAAGGAGAUGGAGCAGGUGACCAAGGCAAUCAAUGCCGAAGAGAAAAGGCUCCAAGAACUCCCUUCUGUCCUUGCCGAUUUAAAACAGGAGAGGCAGCAUUUGGCCCAUGAAGCCCUGAAGCUCCACCGUAGCGCGUCAGAAGUCCCCGGAUCGGCGGAUGAAGAUCAACGGAUCUUGGACUCUGCCGAUCAGAUCCGGUGCCGGGCGAUUGCGGCCAUCGAUGCCCUUCUGGGUAAUCUGUAAAGGCACUGACUAUUUUGUACGAACCUUUAAUAACUGCUUUGACCGUCCUUCGCGACGCCUCCUUUAUUUAUUGCCUUUCUUACUUCCGAUGGGACGCACCCUUACCAAAUAUCCACACCUCUUUCUCUUAUAAAUGCCGGCCUAGACUCCCCCUUUCGAGAGUACCAGCUUGGCUUCGGCUUUAUUUUCUCAACCCGUUCUCGUCGGUGCGACCUUCUGUCAUGUCUUCGUCGACUUCCUCUUCCUCUGUCAACCAGGUGAAACCCUGGCCUUGAUUCCCCUCUCUCUUUUUAAUUCUUUGGAAGAUGAUGAUCCUUUUUAAUCUUUCUCUCUUUCAGCCGCGGCAUCUUAGCCCCGAGCUCGAACGCGCCAUCGAGCUCAUACACUCUGAUGACCCGUUGUCGUCAGAGGAUAAGGAUUUAAUCAGGGCUCAUCGUGACGAACUUCAAGAACACGUCUCUGCGGACGCCCGUCGGGUCUUGGACUUUUUGAAUGACAACACCCGCCGGCGACCUGAAGUCGACAGAAGUCAUCCGCUUCCUCCACGGGUCAUCCUUGAAGAUGCGGCGGCAGGAACUUCACGCCCGGCCAUGGAUCGGAGCCACCCUCUCCCCCGUCAAGUCGAAGCGGAGGCUUCGAUGAAAGAGACAGAAGAAGAGUACAUUCGUCGUAUGAUAGAGUUAGGUCGGGCUGAGAGAGAGCGUAAGAAAAAGAAUGGCGAGGCCCUAAUAGAGAUGGACGAGGAGUACAUCCGUCUCAUGAUAGAAUUAGGUCGGGCUGAGAAAGAGCGCAAGAAGAAGAAUGGCUAAUUAUUAUUUUUUGUUCUAAAGGCGACUUGUACCUUGUCGGCCGUGUAAUCCAUCGUCCGUACCGAAUGAAUACAUCGGCCGAUUUGGACGAUUACAUGUUUUUUUAUAGAUGAACCGUCUUGUAUCGGCUGCGCGCCGUUGUAUUACGGUCAAUCUUUUAUGUUCCGACCCAUAUACUAGGGUAGUAUCUUUUCAAGUACCUUCCAUUCAGAGCCCUAGUAAACUCUUCUCCCUCGAUUGUUUCCAGAAUAUAAGCAUUUCCUGGAGCACAUCUGCCGAUUUUAUACGGCCCUUCCCAUGUAGGGGACCACUUUCCGAAUUUAGGAUCUUUCGACCCAAUCGGCAAUACUAACUUCCAAACCAAGUCCCCAGGGGAGAAUUGUUUGACUUUGACCUUCUUAUCGUACCAUCUGGCUACUUUCUUUUUAUUUUCUUCAAUUCUUAUCAAGGCUCUUAACCGCUGGCCGACCAAGUCAUCGAGUUCCCUUUUCAUGAGUGACGAGUAGUCGUCGGCCGUUAACUGGUCCUGGAGCGAAAUGCGUCUCGAUCCCGCCCUUGACUCCCACGGUAGUACUGCAUCGUGACCGUACACCAACUGAUAAGGGGAUAACUUGGUGGCCCCAUGACAAGCCAUCCUGUACGCCCAUAGGGCUUCGGUUAAACAUAGGUGCCAUUUCUUUGGCUGCUCCUCUAUUUUUCUUUUGAUUAACUUGAUUAUCCCUUUGUUGGAAGAUUCGGCCUGGCCGUUGGCCUGGGCGUAGUACGGAGAGGAGUUUAACAAUUUGAUCCCCAUAUCGGCUGUAAAUUCUUCGAAUUCCCCCGAUGUGAACAUUGUUCCCUGAUCGGUUGUAAUAGUAUGGGGAAUGCCGAAUCGGUAGACGAUAUGAUCCCUUACGAAGUCGGCCAUGAUAGCCGAUGUUACGGCUCUUAAUGGGAUUGCUUCCACCCAUUUGGUAAAGUAAUCGGUAGCCACCUGAAUAAAUUUGUGCCCCUUGCUUGAUGGUGGGUAAAUUUGGCCGAUAAGGUCUAUUCCCCAUCCUCUGAACGGCCAUGGUUUGAUAAUGGGAUUCAUGGCCGAUGCGGGUGCACGUUGGACGUUCCCAAAUUUCUGACAAUCCUGGCAUCCCUUAUAAUAUUUGAAACAAUCUUCGAGGAUCGUUGGCCAGUAAUACCAAUUAUUCCUGAUCAUCCAUUUCAUCUUAUGGGCCGAUUGGUGUGCUCCACAUACCCCUUCAUGGAUUUCUCCCAUUAGAGUCUUAGCCUCCUCUGUUCCCAGGCAUUUGAGUAGGACGCCAUCAAUCGUUCGGUAGAACAGGUCGUCUUCGAGCAGUACGUACUUAGUAGCAUGAAAACGCACUCGUCGUUCCACCUUCUUAGACGGAUCUUUCAAGUAGUCGGCAAUUUCUUUCCGCCAGUCAUCGGCCGCGAGUUCCAGAGCCAUAGCGCCUAGAAUUGGCCGAUAUCCAGAUGCGUGCUGGGCGAGCUUGUUGGCAUCCUCGUUGUGGUCCCUUGGGAUGUGCUCGAUUACUGCCGAUUUAAAUUCUUUUAAGAGCUGUAAGCAAUCCUCAUAAUAAAUUCUUAAUACAUCGUCCUUGCAUUCGGACCUCCCGGUUAAUUGAUCCACAAUCAGCAUGGAAUCCCUGAAGACUUCGAUAGAAUCGGCCUUGACUUCUCUUAGUAGUUGUAAGCCCUUCAAUACAGCUCGGUAUUCCGCUUGAUUGUUAGUGGAGGUGGCUUCUAUCGGCAGAGAAAAACCAUAGCUUGCCCCCCGAGGCGAUAUGAGAACGAUGCCGAUUCCUGAUCCGACCCCACAUGACGACCCAUCAAAGUAUAAAGUCCAAGGCACCGGUUGUACGAAGGUAAUCUCUGGAACGCAGUGUUGGGCGACGAAAUCGGCCAUGACCUGACCCUUGACGGCUUUUGCCGAUUCAUACCGCAGGUCGAACUCUGACAAAGCUAAGAUCCAUUUACCGAUCCGUCCUUUCAAGAUCGGCAGUGAUAGCAUGUAUUUUACUACAUCGUCUUUGCAUACGACCACGCAUUCUGCCGACAGUAAAUAGUGCCUGAGUUUGGUGCAUGAGAAGUAAAGACAUAGGCACAAUCGCUCCACCGGAGGAUAUCUUAUUUCAGCGUCCAGAAGUCUUCUACUGACAUAAUAAAUCACUUGUUCCUUUCCUUCGAAUUCCUGGACUAGAGCCGACCCAAUAGCCUUUUCAUCGGCUGAUAAGUAUAAUUUAAAUGGCUUACCAGUCUGAGGAGGAACCAAUACCAGUGGUGAAACCAAGUACUGCUUGAUAUCUUCCAAUGCUUUGCGUUGCUCCUCCCCCCAUAUGAACUCCUGGUCAGGCUUCAACUUCAACAGUGGUGUGAACGCCUGAAUCCGCCCAGACAGAUUAGAUAUGAAUCUUCUGAUGAAAUUCACCUUGCCGAUUAAAGACUGCAAUUCAGUUUUAUUCUGCGGGGCCACGACUUUGUUGAUAGCCGCUAUGGUCUUCCGAUUGAUUUCUAUUCCCCGCUCGUGCACCAUGAAUCCUAAGAACUGUCCGGCGGAUACGCCGAAGGCAUAUUUAUUGGGGUUCAUCUUCAGCCCGUGUUUCUUGGUGCACUCUAGCACUCUUCGUAAAUCGGCCAGAUGCUCUUCGUAUCCUUUAGACUUAACCACGACGUUGUCGAUGUAGAUUUCUACCAGAAUGCCGAUGAGUUUGUGAAAUAUGUAAUUCAUGGCUCUCUGAUACGUGGCGCCGGCGUUCUUCAAGCCAAAAGUCAUCACCACCCACUCGAAUAAACCAAGGUGCCCCAGGCAUCUGAAGACCGUUUUGGGUAUGUCCUCUUCGGCCAUAAGUAUUUGAUUGUACCCAGCGUUUCCGUCCAUGAAGCUAAUAAUCUUGUGUCCCGCGGCAACGUCUAUCAGCACAUCGGCCGUCGGCAUGGGGUAUCCGUCCAUCGGUGUGGCCUGAUUAAGAUUCCUGAAAUCAACGCACACGCGUAACUUUCCGUUCUUGUUGUACACAGGUACAAUGUUGGAGAUCCAUUCGGCAUAACGGCAUUGCCGAAUAAAUUUCGCUUCGAUUAGCCGAGUUAUUUCGGCUUUUAUGUCUGCUAGAAUUUUAGGAUUGCAGUGCCGAGCGGGCUAUUGGUACGGCCGAUACCCUAGUUUUAUGGGUAGCCGAUGUUCAACAAUAGAUCAAUCUAAACCGGGCAUCUCAUGAUACUCCCAAGCAAAACAAUCCUUAAAUUCUCUUAACAAGUUUGUCAAUUUACAUUUGUAUUCUAGGUCUAAAUUUGCACUAAUAUAAGUCGGCCUUGGUUUGGUACCAUCACCUAAGUCUAUCAUCUCUAGUGAAUCGGCCGACGUGAACCCGUGCCCUAGCUUCCCAUCUUCUCGGGCGAACUGAUCCAUUUAUUUUGAGUCUUCGGAACCGACUGCUCGGAUCGGCUGUAGGCCAAAAUCGGCCACCUUCAGGAAAUCGGUCUCCCAUACUCUGCCAGAUAUGCACCUGACGGUUUCGCAGCUCCACUGCUGCGUGUCGGCUGCCGCGAUGUUGUAUGCGGAAUCGACGUUGACUACCUCGAUGUUGUCGCCGACCCAUUGUACAAGACAUUGAUGCAUUGUUGACGGGAUGCAGCAAUUUGCGUGUAUCCAGUCCCGGCCGAGUAGCAUGUUGUAGGAUCCCUUGCCAUUAAUAAUAAAGAAGGUAGUGGGAAGGGUCUUACUGCCGAUGGUGAGGUCGACGCAGAGGGCGCCGCGAGCGGGAGACACGUUGCCUUCGAAGUCUUUGAGCAUCAUGUCUGUCUUGGUCAAGUCAUCAUCACUCUUUCCAAGCUUCCGGAGCACGACAUAUGGCAUGAUAUUGACUGCAGCUCCUCCAUCUACCAUUAAUCUGGUGAGGGGGCGACCGUUGACAUGCCCUUUGAGGAACAAUGCUUUCAGGUGUUGUCGUUUGUCAUCCUCGGGCUUCUCGAACGUGGCUAUCAUUGGUUCCAAAGCCAACUGUGCCAUCUGCUCUUCUAUCGCCGACAGAUCCUGUCGAUCGGCAGGAGUCAUGAAUUCCAUCGGCAGUAUGAAAACCAUGCCGAUAUCGGCUGCCGACUCAUCACCCGCCGAUUCGUCGCCCCCUUUAUCGUUUCUUUUGGGGCGCCAUACCCGAGGCCUGCCUUCCUUCUUGUCCGUCGUGCUCUGUUGUUCCUCUUCCUGCUGUUCCCAUUGGCAGAGACGUUGGAUCCUUCGUUUUUGAGAUUUGGUCAAUCCAUCGGGACACCACCUGGGGUUUAUUGGUUUGGCUCCUGUCUUGGCGCGUUUCAAUUCCGGUUCACGUCCUAAAGGGUUCUCGUCUGUCACCCGAGCGUCGGCCAUCUCUUCAAGCCGACUGUGAACGUUGGCCCUGUUUUCUGGCCAGUCGUGUCGAUCAAACUUGCCCCCCGGUCUGUCACGGCGUCUGUCUUCUGACCGGUCAUAUCGGUCACUUCUGCCCCCCAGCCGAUCACGCACGGGAGGGCGCUGGUCAUCUUGGUCGUGCCAGUUCCUGCUGAUCGGUUCUGGUCUUCCGUCUAUGGAGCGAGACCUGUUAAACGGCCGAUUACCACGAUACAGGCCGUUGCAUUCUGGGCAAUUAUCGGCCGAAGGUAGCCUGAGGUUGCUUUCCCAACAGUGGAUGAAGAAUGGGCACCUCCAGUGAUCUUCGUGCCGCCGCAUCGCUUCUUCCCGGGAUCUUGAGUGUUCAUGUUGACGCUGAUAUUUCUGGAGCAGAAACUGGGAAGUAAUGCGUGGCUCUUCUGAUUCACCGUCGUCGUCCUCCAUCCGCCGCUUUCCCUUGAUGUCCUCAGGCGUUGCUUGAUUUCUGGGGUCUACGGCACCACUCUUUUUAGCCGAUUCAGACGUCAGCACCUUUGUUUGGAGUGAGUUCUUCCCCGUAUCAACCAUGUUAGUGGGGAAGGGGUGCUGGUCGAUCUUCAUCGGCUUGGCCGAUUUUGUUGGCACUUCAAAUUUAAGUCUGCCCUGCUCAAUGGCCGACUGUAUCUGCUGCCUGAAGAUUUUGCACUCAUUAGUAUCAUGGGAUGUGGCGUUGUGCCACUUGCAAUAUUUCAUCUUUUUUAGGUGUUCGGCAGAAGGUAUUGUAUGAUAUGGCGAGAGCUUGAUCUGCCCUUCCUGGAGGAGAAGGUCGAAGAUUUUAUCGGCCUUCGUCGUGUCAAAACCGAACGCCUCUGGCUCCUUUUCGCCGAACGGGCAUGAUAUUGGCUUCUUUCCCUUGACCCACUCCGCAAGUCCGACCUCAACGUCUUCUUCGGGCUCCACCUCUUCUAGGAACGCCACUUUCUUCUGGAAAUUCCUCCGUGGAUCGAAAGAACGUACCUCCUGUCCAGACAAUCGGUGGACGAUUUGGCUUAAACUCUCGAACUCCUAUGAGGCGUAUUUUUCUUUGAUGUGGGGCAGGAGGCCUUGAAAGGCUAUAUCGGCCAGCUGCGCGUCGUUUAGAGCCAGGGAAUAGCACUUGUUCCUGAUUUCCCGAAACCUCUGUACAUAUGAGGAUAUCGGCUCGUCGCUUCUCUGCUUGAGGCCGGUCAAAUCGGACAACUUCAUCUCAUGUACCUCGGCAUAGAAGUAUUUAUGAAACUGUCUUUCCAAAUCGGCCCAUGUAAUAAUCGAAUUCGGCGGUAAAGUCGUGAACCACUAGAAGGCCGAUCCGGACAAGGAUGAUGAGAAUAGCCGUACUCAUAGAGCAUCUUGCGUGGCCGCUUCUCCGCAUUGGAUGAUAAAUCUAUUCACGUGCUCCACGGUUGAAGUGUCAUCCAUCCCCGAGAACUUGGUGAAGUCAGGCACUUUAUACCGAUGGGGAAACGGUAGUAGAUUGUAUGUGGAUGGGUAUGGUGUCCUAUAGGUGUAAGUUUGUACCUUCGGCUUCAAGCCGAAUUGUUCCUGAAUCACUUCUGCAAUACGUGCCGACCAAUCCGGCUGUUGCUGGUGAACCGUCGGCUGAGGUAUUGGCACGUGCUGGUAUACCGGAGGUGGAAUAGCCUGAUGCUGAGUGAAAGAUGGUGGCAUCUGAGUGAAAGCUGACUGUGUAUUUAGGGUCGGCUAUUUGAAUGAGCCACUCGUUUCAUCAUAUAGUACGAGCUCUGCUGUUUUACUCAUCUCUGGUGCAACAGGCUGGUACGGCGGCAUGGUUGGUCGAGUGGCCGCUUGGAAAGAUGCCUAGAAUUGGGGACUUCCCUGACCGGCCGAUUGAUCCUGAAUGGUCGUAGCUGAUGGUGCCCCCCAAGGCGAUGGGCUAACUGGAGGGAACGGCGCAGAGGACAGCUGGAUGGGGUGUGGCUGAAAGUGUUGUGUGCCACCAUACCCCAUAGGAACCGAUGAUGAUGAAGCGACUGUACCCCCAACAGAAAAUUGGAUCGGCUGAGAAACCGAAUUCAAAUAAGCCUUGUUCGGUGGAAUCGGCUGAGUAUAUGCCGGUCCCCUAUAUCCUUGAGGUACCCCACUAGCGAAGGAGUUGACAACGGCAUUGUACACUAUAUUUGCAAGCACCGGGGAUUGAUCAAUGAAGGCGUGAUAAACGGACUGUUGGACCAUAUCGGCCAUCUUGUCCGAGUCCUCAGAGAUUGUGAUCUGGCGGGGAGAUGGAAACGGAGACUUCUUGAUAGUCUCCCCGCUUCUGGAGCGACUGAAAGACUGCAGGCAACCUUUCCGGAACUGUGCCGUAUGCUUAUCCAGUUCUUCCUUCUGGUCGUCCUUUAGAUCUGCUUCCGUCACUUCGAUGACGUUAUCUUCGGAGACUUCAGCAGCUUUCGACAUGGUGGCGGUUGUAUUCGUCCCACCGGGCGUGCCAAAAGUGUGUUGGCGCUAGAAGUCGGUCAACCGAAUCCCCAGCGUCUGACACACGACCCGGGAGAAUCUGCUUAACUCCUGUUCGGGUGAUUGCCCUGGUGCGGUUCGCGCGGCGUGCCAGCCAAUCUGACCUGUUGAUUGGCAAGGAAGAAUACGUGUCAGGUCCAGAAAUCACGAUCGGCUAAAUUUCCGAUCUCGAGAGAGCUUAUCAGCGAAUCGGCCGAUUUGCCGUAAUAAAGACAGGUAAAACCUAUGAUUCUAGUAAAUAUCGAUAACUAGUGAAUAAAUCUAAACGAAACAACAGCGAUGCGCCCGAAGUUAAAGCUUAGAAUUUACUCGGUAAACGGAACUUACAAGAUCGGCCGGAGAUCAAGUUGAUGCAGCCCUGCCAACCCGUACGAAAUCGUGAAAAAGGAGAAAGUACUUGGCGAAGUCGCCUGCUCGAAAGUAAGUACGAGGAAAUAGUAGUUGGUUGUAUUGAUUUGUUGAUGAUUACAGAUUUACAAAGGUAGCUAUUUAUAGCCCCGUACAGAUGACUCCUUAACUGACUAGAACUCUAUCCCUAAUUCAAAUAGAAAACGAAUAUUUACAAACACGAUUCGUACUAGGUUGGUUAUUAUACACCUCAUGGGCUGAUUUCCUCUUCAUCCUUCUGAUCCUUCCCAAGCCCAUACCGGCCCAAUUAUUCCAGCCCCCUAAUCGGCCGAUUCCUUAUCGGCAAAGGGUAACCGAUUCGGGAACCAGGCGUGUCCGAUCCGAACCCCAAGGGUUAAGCGAGGCAGAAAUCAUCGGCCGAUCCCGUACUGUAGCAUUUGGCCGAUCUUGGACUGUAGUGCCAACCAACCGAUCUCCAACUGUACUUUCCCAUUUCCUCUCCUCCUGACGCCGAUUUCACUAGUGACGAAAUCUGGCGUCAACAACUAUACAACUUUCCUUCAAGAUAAAGUUGCAAGUCAACACACAAAAACCCGAAAAGAUUAACCCAACAAUUUUAUUUCCUUAAUUAACCUUACCUAGGGCUUUUUCUUUUAUUUUCAGAAAAUGUUAUAAUUAUUUUCUAGCCUUAAAUUCUAAUUUUCUAUGAGUUAAUAAUAAUUUGUGAUUAUGAAAAUAUUAUUCCAUAUUUUAUGCAAUUAAGAAAGAUUAAGUAUUUAUUUAAAUACCUUAAAAGAAAGGCAUUAAAUAAAUACCCAAAUUUUUAUUAUUUUUCUAGGGUAUAAAAAUUUUAAUGCAUAAAGGAAAAUAAAAUAAGCCUAACAAAAUUGGUUUCACUAAUUUUGGACACCCCUAGAAAUUUCUGUGAUUUAAAUGGUGAGAUUCGGAUUUAAACUAUUUAUUCUAUAAAGGAAAUCUAUUUUUUCCCGAAAAACACCACCGGCUACUUUUCUCACGCGACCCUACUCUACCCCCUCUCUCAUACGCUGGGCCCGCGGCACGGACCCACCCCUUCCUCCUGUUCUCCUUACCUGCCGGCCACUUCUCCUCGGCCGGGCCCUACUGGGCUGAUUUUCUUUUUCUUCUCCUUAACUCGGACCAGCAUCGGCCCAACGGCCCAUCUCUCCUUCUUCUCUUCUCCCGCGAGACCGGCCUGCUUCUCUCCUGGACCUCCAACCUUUUCUUCCAUCGGCCGCUCGUACCGGCUCUUUGGGCCAACUAGACCCCGGCCCAACUAACUCCCCCGCUCAGCCGACCCCCUUCUCUCCCCCUUGCUUCCUCUGACACGCGGGCCCACGGCACCAGAGGCUUCUUCUUCCUCCCGCCAAAAACCAGCGUGACAGGGGGCGGUGCGGCUCGCCGGCCGGUGCCCUACCGGCGACGGGGCUAGGCCGGGGAAGCAUCCCCAUGCCCUAACGCACCCAUGCGCGGCGACAGCUUCCCGGAAGAUGGCCGGAGCCAUUCCCUCCACGGCGGCGGGCGGCGACGCCUACGGCCGGUCGUGGCUAAGCACGACGACGGCGCAACCUACCCCGACAACUACUGCUACAGCUUCCUAGUGCCCCGAGGACUCACCUACGACUACCCAUACGGACAGAGAGCAGCGGCAAGAGGGUGCUCACCGUGAGCAGGAGGUGCGGCGACGGCGGACGGAGACGACGGCGGUUUAUGGCAUGCUCGCGGUGAGGCUGGACAACAUGCUGCUAGAGUUGUCGGUGGGGUGUGUGGGGAGGUGUGCACGGAGGGAAUCGACAGGAGCUGCGGUGUGGUGGGGGAAUUUUUACCCGGCCGCGGCGGCGUGACAGAGAGGGCGACGGCGGUAAAAAGAACGGCGGUAGAAACGGUCGGCGGGAGGGGUAGAUAUACAAAGAUUUCACCGUGCGCAUGGUUGACACCGUGGCCUAGCUAUGGACUCGCGUGGUAAAGAGAUGGCGUAGCUACUGCGCUGGCGGGCGACCGAGAACGCCGGCGGCGACACGUCGGGCACGGCUCUAUCACCCCCCCCCCUCUUGUUUUUUUCUGAUGUCCGAAACUUCAGAGCUCAACCACGGUCAAAAUCACAUCCGACGGUCCACAAGUCACUUAACCAAAGUUGUAGAUAAACUUGAGAUUUUCAUUCAUUUGUUGGCAAUUUCAAUAUGUUUGGCCUCAGGUAACUGAAUUCCAUUAAUUUCCGAUUCAGUUCGUGAGUCACUUGGUCAUGGUCACUUACCCAACUUUGUAAAUGAUUUCAGUGAUCCAAACCCCUUCCUUAUAGUCCAACUACAAACCAAUUACACUCUACAACUAUCAGGGAUUCCAUUUUGCUCAUAAUCACCUAUACCUCUUAGACUACAUUUUUCUGAAUUUAGCUCCAAACAUUGGCAAUUAUCACUGUUUUCAGACAGGCAGAAUUUCAGUUCAGCAGCUAAGUUGACCGUGGUAAAGUGCUGACUUUGAGCCUCCAUUUGAAAUGGUUCCCUCUACUGUUCUUGAUCAACAACACCUGAAGAUACUUGUCCAAUGUCCAUACUUCAAUAUGGUAUAGUUGUCUUGAUCCACUUAUUUGAAGAAUUUGGCAGAAAUUAAUUUCCAAAAUGGACUCUGGUGCUGUUUUUCUGAAAUUGCUAUUGUCGGACGGUGAAUAGUAAACUUUGGUUUUCAAUUUCUUUCUUUGAUUUUCUUGAGGUAUUUAGGACCAGAUCUUGCCCAAAUCUUGAUCCUCAAGUUCUAAUCACUUUGAUACUUCUAUUCCAUAUUUUUGCCAAAUUUUCCUGAAUUUUAAAUUCAAAAUUCAAAUUUCGGUCAAAUUUGACCCGAAUUUGAUUUUUAGCCAAUUUCUUCUCCUUUCCUUCAUGAAUUGCUUCUAUUUCUUCAGAAUUACCUUGAUGGCUAAAAAUGGCAGGCAUUACAGCUGGUCUUCAUCUCUCCUCUCGGCGUGUGCAUGAGGUACAUGAUCCGCCUCCACUUUCCUACAUCUAACAAUGUCGUUGAGUACGAGGCUCUCCUCAACGGGCUUCGCAUCGCCAUCGAGCUGAGCAUCCGGCGGUCGGACAUCUGAGGCGACUCUCAACUAGUCGUCGAACAAGUCAUGAAGGAGUCGAGCUGCCACGACCCCAAGAUGGCAGCCUACUGCGACGAGGUCCGCAAACUCGAAGACAAGUUCGACGGACUGGAACUCAACCACGUCGCAAGACGUUUCAACGAGGCAGUUGACAAACUGGUGAAGGUGGCAUCCGGCCGCAAGCCCGUCCCCGACGGCGUCUUCGUCAGCGACCACUACAAGCCCUCCAUCCGCUACAAGGAGCCGGGAGGGGUCGGUGACACGCCACCUGCCCCGGACUCGGGCGCCGAUCCGGGAGGGGUCGGCGACACGCCACCUGUCCUGGACUUAGAGGCCGACCCCUCUGAUCCCGAAGUCAUGGAGAUCAACACAAACACAGCAGAGGGGCCCGCCUGACUAGAGAGUCCCAUAACUCGACUACCUCAUCCGCGAGAUGCUCCCAACGAAUAAGACGGAGGCACGCAGGAUUGCACGUCGCGCCAAAUCCUUCGUCAUCAUCGACCAAGAGCUCUACAAACGGAGCCACACCGGCAUCCUCCAGCGCUGCAUCCCGAUCGAGUAGGGAAAGGUGUUGAUACAAGACAUCCACGCCGGGGCCUGCGGCCACCACGUCACGCCAAGAACCCUUGUCGGGAACGCCUUCCAACAGGGCUUCUACUAGCCGACGGUAGUAGCCGACGCCACCCAUGUGGUACGCACCUGCGAGGGAUGCCAAUUCUUCGCGUGCCAAACCCAUCUGCCUGCACAGGCACUCCAGACCAUCCCCAUCACGUGGCUAUUCGCAGUCUGGAGACUGGACCUCGUCGGACCUUUCAAGAAGGCGCCCGGGGGCUUCACCCAGUUACUUGUCGCCGUCGACAAGUUCUCAAAGUGGAUCGAGGCACGACCGGUUGCACAAAUCAAGUCCGAGCAAGCGGUACAAUUCUUCACCGACAUCAUCCAUCGUUUCGAAGUCCCCAACUCCAUCAUCACGGACAACGGCACGCAGUUCAUCAGGAAGAAGUUCCUCUAGUUCUGCGACGACCACCAUAUCUGAGUGGACUAGUCGGCCGUGGCGCAUCCCCGCAUGAACGGGCAGGUUGAGCAGGCCAACGGCAUGAUACUCCAAGGUCUCAAGCCACGUAUCUUCGACCGCCUCAAAAAGUUCGGCGGCCGGUGGGUUGCGGAGCUCCCCGCGGUCCUAUGGAGUCUGAGGACGACCCCCAGUAGGGAGACUGGCUUCACCCCGUUCUUCAUGGUGUACGGGUCCGGGGCAAUCCUCCCCACCGACCUAGAGUACGGGUCGCCGAGGGUCAAGGCGUACGAUGAACAGGGGAACCAGGCAUCGCUCGAAGACGCGCAAGACCAGCUCGACGAAGCGCGCGAUGUGGCCCUGCUGCACUCGGCCAAGUACCAGCAGGCCUUACGACAAUACCACAGCCACAAGGUACGAGGCCGAGCCUUCAACGUCGGCGACCUGGUGCUUCGCCUCGUCCAGGACAACAGAGGCCGGCACAAGCUGACCCCUCCAUGGGAAGGCCCCUUCAUCGUCACGCAAGUACUGCGGCCAGGCACGUACAAGCUGGCAACCCCUGACGGCGAGAUCUUCAACAAUGCUUGGAACAUAGAGCAUCUAAGACACUUCUACCUUUAGUUUUUGUUUCCAAGUUUCAUACAUACAUACUCCUGUAACUUUCUAAUUCAUGGAAAAAGGCAAUUUUGAGUCGAUCUCGUUCGAGUCUCGUCCCGAGCUCAGGGAUAUCCAACCCUGGCUCUGCCCCAGGGUAGCAUAUCCCUCGGGGAUAUCAGGGGCUCCAGCCCAAGGCACUUGACGUCUUCUCAAAACACCUUUUCUCCGAACUGACCCUCUUCCUAAAUGUUUGGGCGUGAAAAGGAGAGAGUGUGCAAACGAUGCUCAGGCAAGACUGAUCGGACCGCGCAGAACCUACGCCCCUGUGGCUACGGUGCCUUCGCUCAUCAGCGCUUAUUGACACGCUCGACCCGCACCCUAAACUUUCCAAACCCAAAAAACAAGAAAGAGGAUCGAAAACAUUUUUCGACAAGAUAUAGAAAAGGCCUCUGCGGCCAUCACAAAAAUAAGUUCAAAGUUAACUAACAUAUUUACAUUCUGGGGCGCCUAAGCCCGAUACAGCUAUUUCGUCUUUGGGUCUUCAGGCGGGACGGCUUCAUCCUCCAGAAGCUUCGCCAAGGCCUCCGCUGGGUUGAGCACCGACACGUCGAUCUCGUCCAGCUCGGCCUCGGAGUAGCCGGAGGCGUACCGCCCGCUCAUCCCGGCGAAGUUGAUGCCGGAGUAGUGGGAGCCAAAGAUGCCGAAGGCCCGCCUCACGCCAACAUGGAGCGCCUCCCGAACGAUCUCGUGGGCCCGACAGUACAUCCCAAGGACACGAGCCGCCAACAAACUCAUCCCCUCCCCCUGGACCACGCCGAGGCCAUCGCAGACGACGCGAACCGCGUCUCGCAGGUUGUCGUGCUCGGCGCAUUCUGCAUCGAGGACGUCCCUCAGCCGGGCGAGUUCGUCUGCAAGGCCCAUCCAGAAAAACCCGACAAGUCAGAAACCAUCACAACACCGCAAAAACAAAGGAAAGAGAGGAGCCUUACCUUCAGACUGAGCCUUCAUCUGAGGCUCCCGGUCAAGCCCCUAGGAUACGGGGGUCUGAAGCCCCUGCACUUGCACGUGGAGCUGACUAACCUCUACACCAAGGCUGGCCGCCACCUUCUCAUCCUCAGCCUUCCGGAUCGCCUCGGAGUCCCGCUCCUGCCAAGCCUUGUGCCGCUCACGCUGGAUACGCUCGACGGUUUUUUGGAGGGUCUCAUGGUCCCCCUUCAGCCGUGCGAGCUCCUCGGCAUCAAGGCGGGCCUUCUCGGCAGCAGCCUGGAACUCCUCGAGAUCGAGGCGAGCCUUCUCAAUGACAGCCUGGAACUUACCCCACUCCCUGGCGUCGUCCAACAUGAAAAGGGGCCUCUGCGGGUCCUCACGGGACAUCCAGCACAGGGUAGGUCCACCUCACGCCUUGGGGACGGGAUUAACCGGGACAAGGGUGGAAGCCGCUCCGACCGACCCCGGUGUCGCCAUCCCCAACGCCGCCACCAGGGCAAGCGCCACCGCCCCUAACGUCAUCGGCCUCGUCGACGGCUCCGGCACAUGCGCCGCUGUCCCUGUCAAAGUCGCCGCGGCCGUCGUCGACGCCGACGCGCGUCCCGCUUUAUUCGCCACCACCACCGUCUCAGUUGCGGCCGCUGGGGCAGGCGUCCCCGCCUCCGUCGUGGCUGCCGGGGCGUGCGCCCCGCCUUUACCACCGCCGCUGUCCCCGUCGCGGCCGCGAGGGUGGACUUUCUCUCCUCUGCCACCACCGUCGUCUCUGUCGCGGUCACCGGGGCAACUGCCCCCAUCUCCGCCGCCGCCGUCGGAGCCGCAGGCUCCUCCGCCUCGUCGUCGAGGUCUAUCACCUCGCUGGUUAGAGGGACCCCAGGGGCAACGCCCUGUCCCGCAGGGUCGGCCGGGGGGCUAAAGGCGCAGCGGGGAUCGGACCUUGCCCCGUGCCCGGCUGCAGCACCCUUCCUCCGGUUGCCGCCAUAGAGGCCGCCUCCGCGGUAGGGUCCGCGGUCUCCCUGGCGACACUGCCGCUUGCCACAGGCGGGGUCGCGGCCCGCCCCGCGGAGGCGGAUGACACCCGUAGCGCCUAAUUCGGCGCCAGCGUCGGGAUGAAGUCCCGAGGGGCAGCACUUUGAAGCAACAAACAACAUCAUCAAAAACGGCUCGAUGCUAGGAAAGGAAUAAAGUACGCGAGGAAUUUCCACUUACACUCCCCCAGCGCAAGGACGGUAGGCGCGUUUCGCCUCCGAGCUCGACGCCGACCCUGGGGCAUCUGGCAGCGGCCUCUUGCCGCUACUCCUCUGCUCGUGUAACGCAGGCAGAGGGUCGGGGGUCAGCUCCGCUGACUCCUGAGGAGCGCCCCAUGCCGACCCUUGGGGCGCGGCCCCAGAGCCCUGCGGGGUCGGGUCCUGGGCAGGCGGUCCGCUCGGCUUGUCCCUUGCGGCCGGUGGGGGGUGCUGCUCCCGGAUGACGAGCACGCCCGGCCGGAGGGCCAAAAUAUACUCCUCCUCCUCCUCCUCCUCCUCCUCCUCGUCUUCCUCCUCUUCAUCCUCAUCGUAGUCGUCGUUGUCAUUGUUGUCCGACACGACCUUGCCCCGCCGCCACCAUUGGAGCUCCUUGGCGGCCUUUUUCUUCUUGCUCACCGUCUCUUUGUCCUUACGCCUCUUCUGCUUCUCGGCGAGUAGGCGGUUCUGCUGCCGCCGCUCCGCGUCCUCCGGCACUAGCGGGUGCGAGUCUACGACUCGGGUCAUGUGGCCCUGCAAACAUGAGAACUCUGCGUUAGAGCGAUGAACCUAGAAAUGUAGGAGAGAGAGACGAGAGCACGAAGUCCUCACCAGCUCGACGAAAUUCUCGUCCGGGCGCAUCGGAGGAUGACCGGGCACCGGGUAAUCGGCGUCCUUGUCAUCCAGCACCUCCCGAACUCGCUGUCGGAUCUCGGUGUCGGCAAGAGCACCCGUCGCAAGGACAGAGCCCUCGGUCGGCGCGCCGGGAACCAUCUCGGUGAGCAAGUAAACCCGGAGCAUCAGCAGUGCACCCUCCAAGCAUGGUACGCCCCGAUAACUCCGACCCUGGUCAGCCCCUUUCCCUUCAGGUGCUCAAUUGCCUGAAGCAGACCGGUGAUCCACUUCUUCUCCUUCUCCACCGGACCGUAUGACCACAGCUCCGGUGCCGCUUCGAUGACGCGGCCGGUGACCACCGGCAGGGGGGAAUUAGAGUAGUUCUUCACAUAGAACCACUGCUGAUGCCACCCCUUGUGGGAUGCCGCGGUCUUCAUCGCCAUGUAUUCCUUGGCACGGUUCUGGCGGAGGUGGAUGGCGGCGCACCCUAUCGGCACCGGGGUCGUCCGCUGCUGGCUCCCCUUCUUCUCGGCCCUCUGGUACAGGCUGACCGCGAAGAAGUACUUCCAGAGCGAGAAGUUGGGCUCGAUGCCUAGGAACCCCUCGCAUAGCGUGAUGAACGUCGCGAUGUGUUGGAUCCUGUUGGGAUUAAGGUGCUGCAGCUCGAGCCCGUAGUAGUGCAGCAGCCCGCGGAAGAAGUGGCUCAGCGGAGUCGCGAACACCCUCUCGUGGAAGUGGGCGAAUGAAACGACGUAGCCGGGGGCGGACUCGGCAUCUCUUCCCUCUCGGGGAACCACCAUUCGCCCCUCUCGGUCCUCUCGCAGAGGAGGCCUUUCCUCACGAGGCCAUCGGCGCGUGAGGUACCGAAGCUUGAGCGUGUCCAGGACUCCAUCACGAAGGGGAGAAAGGUUCGACGACGAAGGGCCGGGAAAGCUAUUGUGCAAGGCGGAGGAAGGCGAACAGCGCGCAAGAAGGCAAGGGGCGCGCGAGAAGGCGAAAAGAUUUGGGAGCAGUUGUGGGUGGAACCGGCGAGGCAGACCCCCUGUCUUAUGGGCAGGCGCGUGGGAAGCGAAAGGGACGGUCUUGUCGCAGUUAAUGCAGCGCCAGGUACGCCCCGUUGUGCCUGCUUUUCUUGAAAUCCGUGCGCAUGAUCUGCUGCAGGAAAACAUCUCUGCCUCCCUCGCUUCAUGGGCCGGCACCUUCCACCACUUCGCCUCCCGGAGAACGCGCGCGCACAACCUCCUCCACGACCGGCCCAAGGCCCACCAAUAGGUAAAAAAGGGAUACGGGGCUGAAAACACCCCUACGUCCCAUUACGGUCCAGGGGUUCGAAGGCUGGCCCACUACAGGUUCAACAGCCGCCCCAGGAUAACCCCGAGCGAGGGGUGAGAGGGGACGAGUCCGCUAGCGGCCAUCACCCGGGCGCACGACCGCCUAGGGCGUCCCGACCUCACGUUCGAGUCCGGACUGGCAUCAAAGUUCAUGGUUUUCCCCGAAGAAAGGCAAUGAGCCCCCGGAUCCGAUCGAACGGACUCGGGAACUAUAUCAACUGGCCGGCCAAAAUCUGGGGUACGCCACCAGCUUGGCCCGAGCCGGACCCCCUCCGAACGGGGAUCGGGACCCCACUCGAAUCGACCCGUUUGCAGCUCAACGAGCACCACGGUUCAUCCGGCGAGGAUAGCGUGGCACGGCUCACCCCCUCCGUCUCAGCGAAUGGACGCUUGAGGGGUAGCGAUCAAAAGUCGAUCUAGCCUCCCGACCAGUCUCCUGCCACGCGCGGGGGCUCGGGGGCAAGCAUCGCAACCAAUGACCACGCGUGUGGUCAUGAUUUGAGGUCUCGAGGUGGGGGUGCCCUACGAAAUGAUAAGGAAUCCUCCCGCGUCGACACCCCGCCUGAUCAAACUCUUCGGCCAAGCUUAACAGACAACACUCCCUAUCCCUGAUCAAAUGUAGCUUGCAGGGUGAACAGAAAUCCCCGACGAACGAUGAGAGCAGCCUCUGGAGGAGCGUUCUCGCUCCACCACAGGCUCGGGGGCUACUGUUGGGGGGAAAAUAUUAACAACCUCCAAAUGCCCCUUAAAACAACAAUCAUGAAGGCCUAGGCCCACCUGCGGUAAUGACGAUUGCCGCCGGCCCAGCAUGGGCAGGGAACAUCCCGCUUCGUCUCACCCAACCUAGGGCCCUGGGGUCGGACACUCCCAAUCCGUCGAUGGCAAAACUCCGCCUCGCCUGACCCACGGUCCCAGGGUUGGAUGCGCCCAACCCCUCGCCGCAAGGUUCCGCAUCGCCCGACCCCAGGCGUAAGGGGUCAGACUCAUCCGGGCCCACAAGACAAGGGUGCGCCUUGAGCGUAGACCGGCAAACAAGGGUGCGGAUCUCGUGGGCCCCUCACUGAUCUUGCCAUAAAUAUGCCACGGCUCUGGCGUGCAGAAAGGCGCCUGCGCCCUUCGAUGUGACCACCACAAGUACCCGGGCAGAACAUUGUAGCCACGACCGCACAUGCUACAGUCGUCGUGGCUCCCCCCGUUUCGCCAUAAGGCACUCAUGGCAUGCGCCAUCCGGCACAGGAGGGAGCUCCACCCGUUCUCGCGCCCCGCGUAUUCGGCGACAGGUCCAUGUCCCACGGACCGUAAGCAGGACAACAGGGGUCAGCCGUCUCCCCCAACGUGCACAGUUGCCACGACCAAACACCAUCAUCAUGCUUGGCGGCAGCGGUCGCCAGGAAGAUCGUCGACAGGAUCCGAAGACAGCCGCCCUCCUCCGGUGGAUGCGCUGACAGGAGCCGAAGGCCGAAGCAGGAGGCGGCGGCCCAAGGACUUGGUCCUUCUCCUUGUACUUUACUUUACUCAGCUUAUCUCUUUCACUUCUCCAGACCCCGGUUCACCUGUAACCCUGAGCCCUCCUUGCGCUAUAAAAGGAGAACCAGGGGCCCCGAUACUGGGGGCUCUCAGGCCAACAGAACCCACACACUCACCUCACGAGCAUCGGUGCACACCCAAGAGACUUAGGACCGGCUCCCUCUCUCGCCUGUUUGUAACCCCUACUACAGACCUUGCGUAAGUAACAUGAGCAGCUCCUCAUACUGGACGUAGGGCUUUCCUUGCCCGAACUAGUCUAACCCCGUGUCUUCUCAUGCCACCAUCUGAAGCCUUACAUGCAUAAAAGAAAUUUACUAGCCGUAGUCUUGACCCGCUAAUCUUGACAACGACAAGUUUGUGUCCGCUGGUUAUGAACAGUGCUGUUGACUACCGCUACUUCUGACUAGACUUUGUUUAUACUUCUACCUUCCCUUUUUGAGAUAGGCUGGCGUUUGCUGUUGAGAUUUGAGGGAAGAGAGCUUUCACAUCGCCUAAUGUGUAUGGUUGCUGGAUUCUUGGGUAAAGGAUCUGGUGGUUUGUGACGACUUCCUUGUUGUGAGGUGUUGACCUCGGAGAUGGUAUUGCUAUGAUGCAUCCUUGAUCGAUGUUGCUACAUAAAUCUCUACAGCCAUAUAUAGGUUUAUCCAUGCAUAUAGUAUUAUUCCCUCCGUUUCCUUGGCUUGCAUGGCCUACCGGCUUCUCGGGUGGAUGGUGGCUUUUCAGGAUCGAAGCUCGAUUACGACUUCGAUAACGACGGAUGGAAAAACUAGGGAUAGUCCCUUGCUCAAGUCGCCUCUGGAGAUGAUGUUCGCCAUACUCAUGUUUCCGCUGCGUAGAUGUUUUACCUUUCAUGAUUCAGUCUUGAUGGACUUGUACUGGCAUGUGCCAAAGUGAUGUACUUGAUUUUUGUGAUAUUAUUACUCUAUUGCUACUCUAUAUUUCUAUGUUGGUAUGGAUUUGCACCAUCUGAGACAGGUAUUCGCACGUGAUAGCCUUCUUGAGACUAUCACGGAGGCACGUAAGCUUGAAUUUAAUGGGAAUUCGGGUCGUUUCAGGACGGGGGGUGAUAUCCACCAGCCUUUCCUUUUUUUUAUUUUUAGAAAAACACCAGCCCGUCUUUGCAAGUGUCUUGCGUGAGUGUGGGCAUCUACGCUGGUACGGUGUUUUAAAAGCCUCAUCGACUCAAGUGAAAUGUUACAAACGUACACACCUUAUCUUUUUAUGUUUCUGGCAAUUAUAGGCACACAAAAAGAGUACUUUACAAAAAAGAAAGAAAGAAAGAGAAGAGUAUAUGAUCCAUGCAUGAUGCAUUAUGAAACAAAAAGAUGUAUGUAUGUAAUCAUCUUCUUUUUUUCUUAACCUUCAUAAAAAUCUGCCCAACAGACAUAUUACAAUGCCAAUUGCGAAACAAAUACGAUCAGACGGCGUUAAGCGAGGCAACACCACAUGGCAAUGAUCGUUUACCCAAACGUUAACCUUAGCUUAGUCCCCACAAGCAAAGUAGUAUGUAUUUGCUUUUGUGUAAAAUUGAUGCAAAGUAGUACUAGUUUGAAGGUGCAAAAUCAUUUUAGCAGAAGCUCGGACUUUUCGUAGAAUCCCAUUCUCACAUCUGUGCCACUGAUUCCAUCCGUCCAUUGCAUACGGUCCGAGUUCAGUUCCAACUGCAGACGAUUUCAGAUGAUGUAUAAGUCAGUGCACUUCCAGAAGGAAUUCAGGGCCACAAAAAAAGUUGUAUCAGUGCAUCUUCAUGGUUCCAUGGGAAUACGAAAUACACGUGGAUCAUUCCAGUUCCAUCCCAAAAUAAAAAGAAGUACAGAGACCCGACUAAUUAAAAUCAAAACGGUUCAGAUCAAACUAACGAUUUAAGGAUGAAACUAUCAGCUCUAGAGUACGGAGCAAAGCAUUUAACAGAGCACUUAUACUAGGGACUCAUGCAUGUAAGGACCGAAGCAUUUAACUGAAAUCAUAAUGACAGCUUCACCCCGGUGCUUGCUUACUCCUGAGGAAACAGUUUGUGGGGAAUAAUCAAAAGAACGGGGGGCUUAAGUGUAAGAAUGGAUGGACGUGGUUGUUGACUUGUCAACUAGGUGACGUGGUGGUGUUGACCCGUUGACUUACUGGCGUGGCUUAGGCUCCAGCUGACAUGGACGAGGCUGGAAAGAAGAUCGGCGGCAGCCCGAGACAUGGAGCGGAGUAGAUAGGCUCGGCCCAGGAAAAAAGGGAUAGCGGGCUGAAUUGCUCAAAUGAAAAUUCAGAGCUUACAUGAUUACAUGCAACAUGAAAAUCAACAGACAUAUAAUUCACAGAUAGAAAGUUCUGUGGAAAUGUGGAUAUAUUACAACACUACCAUCUUAUUUUACUUCCAGAAAUUUAAAAAUCUCAACAGAAAUAUAUCACUACAAGAGGCGUCAGCUAGCCUAGUUACUUCCACAUGGCUCACGGAUAUUUCAACUCAAAAUAUCACAAAAAGGAAAUACAAGAACCUGCCAAGUCAAUACUGCCAACAAAGUAUUCAAGAUAGCAUCAUUAAGAUCAAACAGGAUAUUCAAGGUAGAAAGAUUAAGAUCAAGCAAGCAAGCUUGCAAUUAACCUCUCCCCAACUAGAGACACCACGCCCAAUUGAUUCCAAGCUAACUGAAUAAGUCCAUAACAGAUGGUACAUGCUACUUGCUACCUCAAGGUUCAUCAAUGGUUUUACAAACUGAGCACACACAAUCAGCCCAAAGUCAGCAUUACAGAUGCCAGUAGGCCACCAUAGUACGAUCCAACAAGUACUACUGAUACACUUAGCAGCUUAUGUGAUAUUGGAGACCACUAUACUGAGGUCAGAUAAGGUCGAUCUCACAUAUUUAGCAGCUAGCUCAGCAAGAGCUUCACUUCAGUUCUGCGGGAAGAGCCAUGUCGCAAACACCAAGCCACGCUUCCAUGACACCGUCGGCAGAGGGGUGGAGACCUUGCCGUCCCUCAUGGGGCGGAUCGUCGAUGAUCUUUCGCAUUUCAGAAACCCAUGGGUUGCCCGUGCUGCUGUCCACACUGAUGUCGAUGGCAAAUAGUAUACCCCGGAUAGUAAGGGCGUAGAGCUUGCCCUGAUGGAAUGCCAUGUCAACAAAGUAUGGAUAAUUGUUUUCCACGCUUACGGACCACCAGGAGUUGGUCCCUGGUUGGCACACUGCGAUCCGUUUGGCUUUCCUAAGCGAAACUAAUGCUGCAAUGAGGUGGGGUGAGCAAAACAUUAGUUUCCACCCCCUCGGCUCCUCCAAAAUCAACCGAUGAGACUUUCGCAGCCAUGCUAGGUUCGUCUCAUCAAUGGACUCAUUGCCCACGUAGCAGAUUCGGUCACGAGACAAAGCAGGAAGUGGCAGGGGCGGGCCUCAUUAAAUUCAAAGGUAUUCAGUUGAAUACCCAUUAUUUUUGUCAAAAAUUAUGCAUAUGUAGUAUAUACAAUGUAUCUGUAUCAACACAUAUGACAAAAAUAGGGUAUUCCAUCAUCCAGCCCAACUUCCUUCCCCGAAAUGGGCCAAACAUCCCCCCGGCCCGCCCCUCAGCUUAUCCAUCCGUCACCCCCAGACCCUCACACACCGCUCCAGACCCCCAGACCCUCACACACCGUUGUAUUGUACAGCCAUACAAAAUUUCAAGUGCAAAUAAUUCUUUUAGAAAAACAAAUUAAAUGUGAUUUUUUUUGCUAUAGUGGUAUGGCACACGAAUUUUGUGAACUUUUGAUCUUCGUAGAUGGAAUAAGAUUUGAAAUUGAAAUUGUGAUUGGAUUCGGAUCAUAACCUCAUAUACCAUUCAUGAAUUUCCAAUGUUUCUUUGAACUUCUAAGCAGUGUUUCUACUGAAAUUUUACCAUCACUAGAAACGUAGGAGUAGCCCAUUUUCACCUUGGUUGCACUUGAUUGGAUUUUUAGUUAACUUUGUAACUUCUAUAUGUCAAUUCUAUAUGUCAACCUCAUCUUCAAAGAAGAAACCGUAAUAAAUAUUUAAAUUGCAAUACCAUGUUUUUAUUUGGAAAGCCAUUUUCAUACAACUUGGAGUCGAAGGUGUAUUCACAUACUUGAAAUUUAAAAUUGAAAAGAAGUUGACCUCCAAAUUCCACUUUGGUGGAUUUUCAAGUAUACAGUUUCAAGUCCAUGAUCUGAAACAAAAGGUUUUCAAUACCAAUUAAUAGCCUUUUAUUCUCAGUUGCAAGAAUCCCGAACUCAACUGAAUGAUUGACUUGGAAAGAGGAUUGUCAAGUGUCUAGACAUGGUUCGGACAGGUAGAGAGGUCGAAUAAACAGACGAAACAAGCAACCUUGAAUUCGUCUUUCCAAUUUCCCCCCUCCAGAGAUGGUACUAUAGGGUCUGAAACUUGGUAGUGUUCUCUGGGGAAGUUUGCUCUCGUGGCCAUGAAAUUUCCAGGUUUUUUGGGCAUCUGUUCCGGCGACGAAUGGGGAUUCUUCCAUGUUCCGUCCAUGCUGUUUGGUCAGUGAUCUGAUCGCAGCCUGAUGCUUUGGUGGUUCAACAACUGCUGCUCGCACUCUUGUGAACUCAGGAGAAGUCAAAGCCAGCAUGCCGGCCGACUUUUGCUCUGCAUGCAUUUCUGUUCUCCUUGUUCCGGUCAUGGUGCAAAAUGAACUGCAGAGAAGGCAAGGCACAUGUCCAACUGCCAGUGAACUGGCUGCUAUCCUGCAGCUCAACCACAACCACAACCACGACCACGGCCGAUAUUGCCACAUAUCUGAAUGUGUACAUUUCACAUUGCCGUCUUUCAGUUUCAGAGAGCUAGGAACAGAUCUGUGGGUUUAUACUUCUUUGGCACCCUGCAGAAACAAACCAACCAUCACAUGUCCGCAUUUUAGAUGGGCGGGGGGGGGGGGGGGGACGAAAAAUAGUUGGCUAUGACAAAAUUUAGAGAACACAGAUCAUUCUGUGACUUGGACUACAAGCGAGGUCAGUUUUUGUAUUUCCAUCUGCUCUUGAUUUAAUGCCGGCCCUUGAGAGUUUCCGAGUUACACGUUGGAUCUACAUGGUUGUAAUCUUUCACAAAGUUACAGCCUUAAGCAUCUUGGGAAUUUAUUUCACUUGAGGUACCUGGGACUACGUGGCACAAGUAUUGCUCAACUCCCCGAGAAAAUAGGAAACCUCUCAUUUCUACAAACUUUGGACGUAAAGCGUAACCAAAUUUCUAGCUUGCCACCGACUGUUGUUCAGCUAAGAAACUUGAUGUUCCUAUACACCGACUGGUCUACAAGACUGCCAAGCAGGAUUGGAAACAUGGCAUGCCUUGAAUAUCUGCUAUUACGCAUUGAUGACUCCACCAUGGAUUCCAUAGAAGAGAUGGGCCAGCUACUGGAGUACCUAAGCAAGCUGCAAAAGAUUAGGAAUCUAUACAUUGAGGUCAUCGAUGGUCGACGCAGCAUUGGUGGAUUGGAUGCCUGGGUUGCCCCACAACAUCUUUGUAGACUGAGUACAGUACGGAGCUGCUGGUUCUCAGCACUUCCAGCUUGGAUGAAUAGAUCAGUCCUUCCGAACCUCUCCUUUCUAUGGAUCGCCGUACGUGAGGGAGCUGCAGCUAAAGGAUCUCGAGAUCCUCGGGAGGUUGCCAGCUCUUCGCUCUCUAGAACUGGAUGUGGACCAUGUGAACCUUGGAAUACAUGCAAUGGGAGAUUCGAUGUUGGUGCUGGCUUGUUCCCGUGCCUUGUACACUGCAAGUUUUGGGGAUUUGUAUAGCCUGUCGUAUUUCGGCAAGGAGCUAUGCCGAGGCUCAGAGAGCUUUAUCUCGAGCUGUUCUUUAUGUGGGAAGCAAAAGAAACCACCAGCAGCGAUGGCGGUCUCGAUGUGGACAUAAGGAACCUACCAUUGCUGCAGGAUGUGUUCAUCGAGUUGCGAUCUGAAGUGGCCAGCACUGAGGAGGUGGAACAAGUAAAGGCUACACUGAGGCGUGUGCAGCUGAAUUUCAUCCCAAUCAUCCCAGCCUUACUAUACUCUGAUGAAGUCGAUAAGCAGGUGAAGAUGCAGAGUACAUCCAGUGCUCAAUUGCCACAUGCAGCUGAACUACAUCUUGGUGAACCUUGACACUAAAAGGUGAGGCUGCUGUGGCUUCAGUUGUUUUAUCAUCCUUCUUGUUUCCCCCUUUCCCAUGUUUCCCUGAAAUUCUUUGUUUCUGUCUCAGAUUCAGAUUGAUAAUGGAUAUGAGAAAAUAUUUUUCGUUAUCGCCAAUCGCCAACAUUGCAAGAAUUAUGAUGCUCGCCGAUAGACAGUUCAAGCAAAACUGACCCUGGUUGAUGAAUUCUGCACAGACAAACAAAUCUAGGUGUGCAUUUUGUCAGUAUGUUUUUUUUCGCUUUUGCCAAUCCAAAUGCCAUGGGUCAGGAAAUAUGGGUUGAGAAAAAGGUUCAGCAUUGUGAUUGUAGCACUAGGACAACACUCUGGCCCCACCUCCCACUUUAAAAGUACUACUUCUUCUGUCCCAAAUAAUAGGUCGUUUGAUUUAUUAGAUUCAUAGAUCUUGUUAUGCACUUAGAUUGCAUAAUAAUAUCUAUGCAUCUACAAAAGCCAAAACGACAUAUAAUUUGGGAUGGAGGGAGUAUGACUAUAAAGUGCAUAACAGUUAAAUGAUCCCAAUAAUUAACUGUUAUGGUCACUUAGCAAACUUACAGUUAAAUGAUCCAAAUAAUUAAAUCAACACUACCAUCUUAUUUUACUUCCAGAAAUUUAGAAAUCUCAUCGGAAAUAUCUCACUACAAGAGACGUCAGCUAGCCUAGUUACUUCCACAUGGCUCACGAAUAUUUCAACUCAAAACAUCACAAAAAGGAAAUACAAGAACCUGCCAAGUCAAUACUGCCAACAAAGUAUUCAAGAUAGCAUCAUUAAGAUCAAACAAGAUAUUCAAGAUAGCAAGAUUAAGAUCAAACAAGCAAGCUUGCAAUUAACCUCUCCCCAACUAGAGACACCACGCCCAAUUGAUUCCAAGCUAACUGAAUAAGUCCAUAACAGACGGUACAUGCUACUUGCUACCUCAAGGUUCAUCAAUGGUUUCAGACUGCCUCAAACUGGCUUCAAACACCUCAAUCUCAUUCUGUUCACAUGCAGCAGUUUCAGGGAGAGCUCCUCCUGUCACUCCUUCUGCCAACUUUCGCAACACCACCAGCAACACACCACGCGAUUCAACUAGAUAGGUCAUCUUCGUAACCAGUGGAAUUGAGAAAGGCGGAUCGUCGAUGAUCUUUCGCAUUUCAGAAACCCAUGGGUUGGCCGUGCUGCUGUCCACACUAAUGUCGAUGGCACAUAGUAUACCCAGGAUAGUAAGGGCAUAGAGCUUGCCCUGAUGGAAUGCCAUGUCAACAAAGUAUGGAUAAUUGUUUUCCACGCUUACGGACCACCAGGAGUUGGUCCCUGGUUGGCACACUGCGAUCCGUUUGGUUUUCCUAAGCGAAACUAAUGCUGCAAUUAGGUGGGGUGAGCAAAACAUUAGUUUCCACCUCCUCGGCUCCUCCAAAAUCAACCGAUGAGACUUUCGCAGCCAUGCUAGGUUCGCCUCAUCAAUGGACUCAUCGCCCACGUAGCAGAUUCGGUCACGGGACAAAGCAGGAAGUGGCACCGUGGCAUUGGAGAAAGGAUCCCGCAGGAAGCAGCCAUCCUCGCCUGAGAACACUAACCAGUUGCCACAAGCGUCCGUGUUGCCACUCGGGGCACACGGCGGCGAACCGGAGGCGGUCGACGUGAGCAGGCAGCCGGCGGAGGAUCCGGCCGGCGAGAUCCAGCGGGAUGUCCGACCACGAGGGCCCCCUCGUCUUCGCCAUUGAUUGAGCCGAUCUUGCAAAUGCAACUAAGAAAGCAUCAGCUAGGAAACACCGUGCAUCAAGAAACCGGAGGAAAAACGCGAGCACAUGGCCGGCGCGAGUGCGUGCGGACGCACAGGCAAUGCGUCGAACACCUUGCGUGCGCGACCCACGGCGAGGUCAAGAUGAACAAAGGGGGGCAGGAGCGGCGAGUGCAGGGCAAGGAAUGGAGGCGGAUUACCUGAAAUCGGCGAUUCGCGGCGGCGGAUUCGUGUUCUUGCUGCUGCUGUUCGGGCGGAGGUGAGGCGGGGGUGGGGGCGGCGGGCGGCCGCCGGCCGAGCUGGGGUAGGCAGUUUUAGGAAGAGAUUGGAGAGUGGAGUGCUUUCGAGUUGUAUUUCUUUUAGGUGGAGUUGUAUGGAGUGUAUGGAGUGUUACAUUGUACCGCCAUACAAAAUUUCAAGUGCGAAUAAUUCUUUAAAAAACAAAUUAAAUGUGAUUUUUUUUGCUAUAGUGGUAUUGCACACGAAUUUUGUGAUCUUUUGAUCUUCGUAGAUGGAAUCAGAUUUGAAAUUGAAAUUUUGAUUGGAUUCGGAUCAUAACCUCAUAUACCAUUCAUGAAUUUCCAAUGUUUCUUUGAACUUCUAAGCAGUGUUUCUACUGAAAUUUCACCAUCACUAGACAUGGUUCGGACAGGUAGAGAGGUCGAAUAAACAGACGAAACAAGCAGCCUUGAAUUCGUCUUUUCAAUUUCCCCCCUCCAGAGAUGGUACUAUAGGGUCUGAAACUUGGUAGUGUUCUCUGGGGAUGCCUGCUCCCGUGGCCAUGAAAUUUCUAGGUUUUUUGGGCAUCUGUUCCGGCGACGAAUGGGGAUUCUUCCAUGUUCCGUCCAUGCUGUUUGGUCAGUGAUCUGAGCGCAGCCUGAUGCUUUGGUGGUUCAACAACUGCUGCUCGCACUCUUGUGAACUCAGGAGAAGUCAAAGCCAGCAUGCCGGCCGACUUUUGCUCUGCAUGCAUUUCUGUUCUCCUUGUUCCGGUCAUGGUGCAAAAUGAACUGCAGAGAAGGCAAGGCACAUGUCCAACUGCCAGUGAACUGGCUGCUAUCCUGCAGCUCAACCACAACCACAACCACGACCACGGCCGAUAUUGCCACAUAUCUGAAUGUGUACAUUUCACAUUGCCGUCUUUCAGUUUCAGAGAGCUAGGAACAGAUCUGUGGGUUUAUACUUCUUUGGCACCCUGCAGAAACAAACCAACCAUCACAUGUCCGCAUUUUAGAUGGGCGGGGGGGGGGGGGGGGGGGACGAAAAAUAGUUGGCUAUGACAAAAUUUAGAGAACACAGAUCAUUCUGUGACUUGGACUACAAGCGAGGUCAGUUUUUGUAUUUCCAUCUGCUCUUGAUUUAAUGCCGGCCCUUGAGAGUUUCCGAGUUACACGUUGGAUCUACAUGGUUGUAAUCUUUCACAAAGUUACAGCCUUAAGCAUCUUGGGAAUUUAUUUCACUUGAGGUACCUGGGACUACGUGGCACAAGUAUUGCUCAACUCCCCGAGAAAAUAGGAAACCUCUCAUUUCUACAAACUUUGGACGUAAAGCGUAACCAAAUUUCUAGCUUGCCACCGACUGUUGUUCAGCUAAGAAACUUGAUGUUCCUAUACACCGACUGGUCUACAAGACUGCCAAGCAGGAUUGGAAACAUGGCAUGCCUUGAAUAUCUGCUAUUACGCAUUGAUGACUCCACCAUGGAUUCCAUAGAAGAGAUGGGCCAGCUACUGGAGUACCUAAGCAAGCUGCAAAAGAUUAGGAAUCUAUACAUUGAGGUCAUCGAUGGUCGACGCAGCAUUGGUGGAUUGGAUGCCUGGGUUGCCCCACAACAUCUUUGUAGACUGAGUACAGUACGGAGCUGCUGGUUCUCAGCACUUCCAGCUUGGAUGAAUAGAUCAGUCCUUCCGAACCUCUCCUUUCUAUGGAUCGCCGUACGUGAGGGAGCUGCAGCUAAAGGAUCUCGAGAUCCUCGGGAGGUUGCCAGCUCUUCGCUCUCUAGAACUGGAUGUGGACCAUGUGAACCUUGGAAUACAUGCAAUGGGAGAUUCGAUGUUGGUGCUGGCUUGUUCCCGUGCCUUGUACACUGCAAGUUUUGGGGAUUUGUAUAGCCUGUCGUAUUUCGGCAAGGAGCUAUGCCGAGGCUCAGAGAGCUUUAUCUCGAGCUGUUCUUUAUGUGGGAAGCAAAAGAAACCACCAGCAGCGAUGGCGGUCUCGAUGUGGACAUAAGGAACCUACCAUUGCUGCAGGAUGUGUUCAUCGAGUUGCGAUCUGAAGUGGCCAGCACUGAGGAGGUGGAACAAGUAAAGGCUACACUGAGGCGUGUGCAGCUGAAUUUCAUCCCAAUCAUCCCAGCCUUACUAUACUCUGAUGAAGUCGAUAAGCAGGUGAAGAUGCAGAGUACAUCCAGUGCUCAAUUGCCACAUGCAGCUGAACUACAUCUUGGUGAACCUUGACACUAAAAGGUGAGGCUGCUGUGGCUUCAGUUGUUUUAUCAUCCUUCUUGUUUCCCCCUUUCCCAUGUUUCCCUGAAAUUCUUUGUUUCUGUCUCAGAUUCAGAUUGAUAAUGGAUAUGAGAAAAUAUUUUUCGUUAUCGCCAAUCGCCAACAUUGCAAGAAUUAUGAUGCUCGCCGAUAGACAGUUCAAGCAAAACUGACCCUGGUUGAUGAAUUCUGCACAGACAAACAAAUCUAGGUGUGCAUUUUGUCAGUAUGUUUUUUUUCGCUUUUGCCAAUCCAAAUGCCAUGGGUCAGGAAAUAUGGGUUGAGAAAAAGGUUCAGCAUUGUGAUUGUAGCACUAGGACAACACUCUGGCCCCACCUCCCACUUUAAAAGUACUACUUCUUCUGUCCCAAAUAAUAGGUCGUUUGAUUUAUUAGAUUCAUAGAUCUUGUUAUGCACUUAGAUUGCAUAAUAAUAUCUAUGCAUCUACAAAAGCCAAAACGACAUAUAAUUUGGGAUGGAGGGAGUAUGACUAUAAAGUGCAUAACAGUUAAAUGAUCCCAAUAAUUAACUGUUAUGGUCACUUAGCAAACUUACAGUUAAAUGAUCCAAAUAAUUAAAUCAACACUACCAUCUUAUUUUACUUCCAGAAAUUUAGAAAUCUCAUCGGAAAUAUCUCACUACAAGAGACGUCAGCUAGCCUAGUUACUUCCACAUGGCUCACGAAUAUUUCAACUCAAAACAUCACAAAAAGGAAAUACAAGAACCUGCCAAGUCAAUACUGCCAACAAAGUAUUCAAGAUAGCAUCAUUAAGAUCAAACAAGAUAUUCAAGAUAGCAAGAUUAAGAUCAAACAAGCAAGCUUGCAAUUAACCUCUCCCCAACUAGAGACACCACGCCCAAUUGAUUCCAAGCUAACUGAAUAAGUCCAUAACAGACGGUACAUGCUACUUGCUACCUCAAGGUUCAUCAAUGGUUUCAGACUGCCUCAAACUGGCUUCAAACACCUCAAUCUCAUUCUGUUCACAUGCAGCAGUUUCAGGGAGAGCUCCUCCUGUCACUCCUUCUGCCAACUUUCGCAACACCACCAGCAACACACCACGCGAUUCAACUAGAUAGGUCAUCUUCGUAACCAGUGGAAUUGAGAAAGGCGGAUCGUCGAUGAUCUUUCGCAUUUCAGAAACCCAUGGGUUGGCCGUGCUGCUGUCCACACUAAUGUCGAUGGCACAUAGUAUACCCAGGAUAGUAAGGGCAUAGAGCUUGCCCUGAUGGAAUGCCAUGUCAACAAAGUAUGGAUAAUUGUUUUCCACGCUUACGGACCACCAGGAGUUGGUCCCUGGUUGGCACACUGCGAUCCGUUUGGUUUUCCUAAGCGAAACUAAUGCUGCAAUUAGGUGGGGUGAGCAAAACAUUAGUUUCCACCUCCUCGGCUCCUCCAAAAUCAACCGAUGAGACUUUCGCAGCCAUGCUAGGUUCGCCUCAUCAAUGGACUCAUCGCCCACGUAGCAGAUUCGGUCACGGGACAAAGCAGGAAGUGGCACCGUGGCAUUGGAGAAAGGAUCCCGCAGGAAGCAGCCAUCCUCGCCUGAGAACACUAACCAGUUGCCACAAGCGUCCGUGUUGCCACUCGGGGCACACGGCGGCGAACCGGAGGCGGUCGACGUGAGCAGGCAGCCGGCGGAGGAUCCGGCCGGCGAGAUCCAGCGGGAUGUCCGACCACGAGGGCCCCCUCGUCUUCGCCAUUGAUUGAGCCGAUCUUGCAAAUGCAACUAAGAAAGCAUCAGCUAGGAAACACCGUGCAUCAAGAAACCGGAGGAAAAACGCGAGCACAUGGCCGGCGCGAGUGCGUGCGGACGCACAGGCAAUGCGUCGAACACCUUGCGUGCGCGACCCACGGCGAGGUCAAGAUGAACAAAGGGGGGCAGGAGCGGCGAGUGCAGGGCAAGGAAUGGAGGCGGAUUACCUGAAAUCGGCGAUUCGCGGCGGCGGAUUCGUGUUCUUGCUGCUGCUGUUCGGGCGGAGGUGAGGCGGGGGUGGGGGCGGCGGGCGGCCGCCGGCCGAGCUGGGGUAGGCAGUUUUAGGAAGAGAUUGGAGAGUGGAGUGCUUUCGAGUUGUAUUUCUUUUAGGUGGAGUUGUAUGGAGUGUAUGGAGUGUUACAUUGUACCGCCAUACAAAAUUUCAAGUGCGAAUAAUUCUUUAAAAAACAAAUUAAAUGUGAUUUUUUUUGCUAUAGUGGUAUUGCACACGAAUUUUGUGAUCUUUUGAUCUUCGUAGAUGGAAUCAGAUUUGAAAUUGAAAUUUUGAUUGGAUUCGGAUCAUAACCUCAUAUACCAUUCAUGAAUUUCCAAUGUUUCUUUGAACUUCUAAGCAGUGUUUCUACUGAAAUUUCACCAUCACUAGACAUGGUUCGGACAGGUAGAGAGGUCGAAUAAACAGACGAAACAAGCAGCCUUGAAUUCGUCUUUUCAAUUUCCCCCCUCCAGAGAUGGUACUAUAGGGUCUGAAACUUGGUAGUGUUCUCUGGGGAUGCCUGCUCCCGUGGCCAUGAAAUUUCUAGGUUUUUUGGGCAUCUGUUCCGGCGACGAAUGGGGAUUCUUCCAUGUUCCGUCCAUGCUGUUUGGUCAGUGAUCUGAGCGCAGCCUGAUGCUUUGGUGGUUCAACAACUGCUGCUCGCACUCUUGUGAACUCAGGAGAAGUCAAAGCCAGCAUGCCGGCCGACUUUUGCUCUGCAUGCAUUUCUGUUCUCCUUGUUCCGGUCAUGGUGCAAAAUGAACUGCAGAGAAGGCAAGGCACAUGUCCAACUGCCAGUGAACUGGCUGCUAUCCUGCAGCUCAACCACAACCACAACCACGACCACGGCCGAUAUUGCCACAUAUCUGAAUGUGUACAUUUCACAUUGCCGUCUUUCAGUUUCAGAGAGCUAGGAACAGAUCUGUGGGUUUAUACUUCUUUGGCACCCUGCAGAAACAAACCAACCAUCACAUGUCCGCAUUUUAGAUGGGCGGGGGGGGGGGGGGGGGGACGAAAAAUAGUUGGCUAUGACAAAAUUUAGAGAACACAGAUCAUUCUGUGACUUGGACUACAAGCGAGGUCAGUUUUUGUAUUUCCAUCUGCUCUUGAUUUAAUGCCGGCCCUUGAGAGUUUCCGAGUUACACGUUGGAUCUACAUGGUUGUAAUCUUUCACAAAGUUACAGCCUUAAGCAUCUUGGGAAUUUAUUUCACUUGAGGUACCUGGGACUACGUGGCACAAGUAUUGCUCAACUCCCCGAGAAAAUAGGAAACCUCUCAUUUCUACAAACUUUGGACGUAAAGCGUAACCAAAUUUCUAGCUUGCCACCGACUGUUGUUCAGCUAAGAAACUUGAUGUUCCUAUACACCGACUGGUCUACAAGACUGCCAAGCAGGAUUGGAAACAUGGCAUGCCUUGAAUAUCUGCUAUUACGCAUUGAUGACUCCACCAUGGAUUCCAUAGAAGAGAUGGGCCAGCUACUGGAGUACCUAAGCAAGCUGCAAAAGAUUAGGAAUCUAUACAUUGAGGUCAUCGAUGGUCGACGCAGCAUUGGUGGAUUGGAUGCCUGGGUUGCCCCACAACAUCUUUGUAGACUGAGUACAGUACGGAGCUGCUGGUUCUCAGCACUUCCAGCUUGGAUGAAUAGAUCAGUCCUUCCGAACCUCUCCUUUCUAUGGAUCGCCGUACGUGAGGGAGCUGCAGCUAAAGGAUCUCGAGAUCCUCGGGAGGUUGCCAGCUCUUCGCUCUCUAGAACUGGAUGUGGACCAUGUGAACCUUGGAAUACAUGCAAUGGGAGAUUCGAUGUUGGUGCUGGCUUGUUCCCGUGCCUUGUACACUGCAAGUUUUGGGGAUUUGUAUAGCCUGUCGUAUUUCGGCAAGGAGCUAUGCCGAGGCUCAGAGAGCUUUAUCUCGAGCUGUUCUUUAUGUGGGAAGCAAAAGAAACCACCAGCAGCGAUGGCGGUCUCGAUGUGGACAUAAGGAACCUACCAUUGCUGCAGGAUGUGUUCAUCGAGUUGCGAUCUGAAGUGGCCAGCACUGAGGAGGUGGAACAAGUAAAGGCUACACUGAGGCGUGUGCAGCUGAAUUUCAUCCCAAUCAUCCCAGCCUUACUAUACUCUGAUGAAGUCGAUAAGCAGGUGAAGAUGCAGAGUACAUCCAGUGCUCAAUUGCCACAUGCAGCUGAACUACAUCUUGGUGAACCUUGACACUAAAAGGUGAGGCUGCUGUGGCUUCAGUUGUUUUAUCAUCCUUCUUGUUUCCCCCUUUCCCAUGUUUCCCUGAAAUUCUUUGUUUCUGUCUCAGAUUCAGAUUGAUAAUGGAUAUGAGAAAAUAUUUUUCGUUAUCGCCAAUCGCCAACAUUGCAAGAAUUAUGAUGCUCGCCGAUAGACAGUUCAAGCAAAACUGACCCUGGUUGAUGAAUUCUGCACAGACAAACAAAUCUAGGUGUGCAUUUUGUCAGUAUGUUUUUUUUCGCUUUUGCCAAUCCAAAUGCCAUGGGUCAGGAAAUAUGGGUUGAGAAAAAGGUUCAGCAUUGUGAUUGUAGCACUAGGACAACACUCUGGCCCCACCUCCCACUUUAAAAGUACUACUUCUUCUGUCCCAAAUAAUAGGUCGUUUGAUUUAUUAGAUUCAUAGAUCUUGUUAUGCACUUAGAUUGCAUAAUAAUAUCUAUGCAUCUACAAAAGCCAAAACGACAUAUAAUUUGGGAUGGAGGGAGUAUGACUAUAAAGUGCAUAACAGUUAAAUGAUCCCAAUAAUUAACUGUUAUGGUCACUUAGCAAACUUACAGUUAAAUGAUCCAAAUAAUUAAAUCAACACUACCAUCUUAUUUUACUUCCAGAAAUUUAGAAAUCUCAUCGGAAAUAUCUCACUACAAGAGACGUCAGCUAGCCUAGUUACUUCCACAUGGCUCACGAAUAUUUCAACUCAAAACAUCACAAAAAGGAAAUACAAGAACCUGCCAAGUCAAUACUGCCAACAAAGUAUUCAAGAUAGCAUCAUUAAGAUCAAACAAGAUAUUCAAGAUAGCAAGAUUAAGAUCAAACAAGCAAGCUUGCAAUUAACCUCUCCCCAACUAGAGACACCACGCCCAAUUGAUUCCAAGCUAACUGAAUAAGUCCAUAACAGACGGUACAUGCUACUUGCUACCUCAAGGUUCAUCAAUGGUUUCAGACUGCCUCAAACUGGCUUCAAACACCUCAAUCUCAUUCUGUUCACAUGCAGCAGUUUCAGGGAGAGCUCCUCCUGUCACUCCUUCUGCCAACUUUCGCAACACCACCAGCAACACACCACGCGAUUCAACUAGAUAGGUCAUCUUCGUAACCAGUGGAAUUGAGAAAGGCGGAUCGUCGAUGAUCUUUCGCAUUUCAGAAACCCAUGGGUUGGCCGUGCUGCUGUCCACACUAAUGUCGAUGGCACAUAGUAUACCCAGGAUAGUAAGGGCAUAGAGCUUGCCCUGAUGGAAUGCCAUGUCAACAAAGUAUGGAUAAUUGUUUUCCACGCUUACGGACCACCAGGAGUUGGUCCCUGGUUGGCACACUGCGAUCCGUUUGGUUUUCCUAAGCGAAACUAAUGCUGCAAUUAGGUGGGGUGAGCAAAACAUUAGUUUCCACCUCCUCGGCUCCUCCAAAAUCAACCGAUGAGACUUUCGCAGCCAUGCUAGGUUCGCCUCAUCAAUGGACUCAUCGCCCACGUAGCAGAUUCGGUCACGGGACAAAGCAGGAAGUGGCACCGUGGCAUUGGAGAAAGGAUCCCGCAGGAAGCAGCCAUCCUCGCCUGAGAACACUAACCAGUUGCCACAAGCGUCCGUGUUGCCACUCGGGGCACACGGCGGCGAACCGGAGGCGGUCGACGUGAGCAGGCAGCCGGCGGAGGAUCCGGCCGGCGAGAUCCAGCGGGAUGUCCGACCACGAGGGCCCCCUCGUCUUCGCCAUUGAUUGAGCCGAUCUUGCAAAUGCAACUAAGAAAGCAUCAGCUAGGAAACACCGUGCAUCAAGAAACCGGAGGAAAAACGCGAGCACAUGGCCGGCGCGAGUGCGUGCGGACGCACAGGCAAUGCGUCGAACACCUUGCGUGCGCGACCCACGGCGAGGUCAAGAUGAACAAAGGGGGGCAGGAGCGGCGAGUGCAGGGCAAGGAAUGGAGGCGGAUUACCUGAAAUCGGCGAUUCGCGGCGGCGGAUUCGUGUUCUUGCUGCUGCUGUUCGGGCGGAGGUGAGGCGGGGGUGGGGGCGGCGGGCGGCCGCCGGCCGAGCUGGGGUAGGCAGUUUUAGGAAGAGAUUGGAGAGUGGAGUGCUUUCGAGUUGUAUUUCUUUUAGGUGGAGUUGUAUGGAGUGUAUGGAGUGUUACAUUGUACCGCCAUACAAAAUUUCAAGUGCGAAUAAUUCUUUAAAAAACAAAUUAAAUGUGAUUUUUUUUGCUAUAGUGGUAUUGCACACGAAUUUUGUGAUCUUUUGAUCUUCGUAGAUGGAAUCAGAUUUGAAAUUGAAAUUUUGAUUGGAUUCGGAUCAUAACCUCAUAUACCAUUCAUGAAUUUCCAAUGUUUCUUUGAACUUCUAAGCAGUGUUUCUACUGAAAUUUCACCAUCACUAGACAUGGUUCGGACAGGUAGAGAGGUCGAAUAAACAGACGAAACAAGCAGCCUUGAAUUCGUCUUUUCAAUUUCCCCCCUCCAGAGAUGGUACUAUAGGGUCUGAAACUUGGUAGUGUUCUCUGGGGAUGCCUGCUCCCGUGGCCAUGAAAUUUCUAGGUUUUUUGGGCAUCUGUUCCGGCGACGAAUGGGGAUUCUUCCAUGUUCCGUCCAUGCUGUUUGGUCAGUGAUCUGAGCGCAGCCUGAUGCUUUGGUGGUUCAACAACUGCUGCUCGCACUCUUGUGAACUCAGGAGAAGUCAAGCCAGCAUGCCGGCCGACUUUUGCUCUGCAUGCAUUUCUCUUCUCCUUGUUCCGGUCAUGGUGCAAAAUGAACUGCAGAGAAAGCAAGGCACAUGUCCAACUGCCAGUGAACUGGCUGCUAUCCAGCAGCUCAACCACAACCACGGCCGAUAUUGCCACAUAUCUGAAUGUGUGCAUUUCACGUUGCCGUCUUUCAGUUUCAGAGAGAUAGGAACAGAUCUGUGGGUUUAUACUUCUUUGGCACCCUGCAGAAACAAACCAACGGUCACAUGCCGCAAUUUAGAGCUAGGAGAAGACGGGGGGCGAAAGAACGAAAAAUAGUUGCCUAUGAAAAAUUCAGAGAACACAGAAUAAAGGAGUACAGGCGCACUGCGCAUGAUUACAUGCAUCAUGGAAUCAACAGACAUAUAACUCACAGGUAGCAAAUUCAUGUUCAUCAGUUCAUGUCCCAUGAAGCUGUGGAUUACAACACUAAUCAUCUUCUUUGUUCACUUCCAGAAAAUUGAAAAUCUCAACAAGAACAUUCAAUACAAGAGAUGUCAGUUAGCCUUGGCUGACAUGGAUCACCGAUGUUCCACCCCAAAACAUCAUCAUCAGAGGAAAUAUAAGAACUUCUCAAGUAAAUACUGCCAACAAAAUAUUCAAGAUAACAAGGGUUAAGAUCAAACAAGCAAGCUUGCAACAUCACCAGCUAGAGACACCACGAAAUUCAAAGCUAAGUAGCUAACAGCAUAGGUCCAUACCACACCACACACUACGAGAUACAGUAGCUUUGCCGAGUGCCCAAGUCCCAAAAAUACUCGGCAAAGGCUUUGCCGAGUGUAACACUCGGCAAACAUCACACGGUAUUAAUUUUAUCAGCAAAGAGCUCUUUGUCGAGUGUUUUUUGUUGGGCACUCGGCAAAGUUUUUGCCGAGUGCUAAAUCGACUUGGCAAAAAAAAGUUACAGGGAUGGCGAGGAGACGGUGACGGUAGCUUUGCCGAGUGUCAUUGUAAAAACACUCGGCGAAGUUCAAAGCUUUGCCGAGUGUCAUAGAAAAAACACUCGGCAAACAUUUGCGUCCCAGGCCAGAAUUUGGCCUUUCUGCCGAGUAUCACUGGGGCACUCGGCAAAGGGACCAAAUUCUGGCAAGAAUGGACAGAAUUUUGCCACGUGGCACCUUUGCCAAGUGCUUUUACCCUAGCACUCGGCAAAGUCACUCUAUGCCGAGUGUAACACUCGGCAAAGUGCCCAAACUUUUCCUAUUUUUAUGGUUCGGUCACGUAUAACGAACCCCCCUCAAACAAACAUCAAAGACAUCACACAUAUUUCAUAAUAAACAUCACAGGCAGUUCAUUCACAACCACAAAUAGUCACAAGUAAUCCACAAAUGCAACACAACCACAAAUAGUCCUUAGUAAUUCACAAAUGCAAGACAACUAAAAUCUUGCCGAGUGUUCAUGAGGCCACGAGCUCCACGCGACCACGCUAGGUUGUGAGGCUCAUUCGAUCCCACCGAUUGAUUCUGCACAAAGGAGAAGAGAUUGCAUGUGUGAGAAUAGAUUGAACAACACGUACGAUUGCAUUUGUGCUCUAGUAUGAUUGCUUAAGUACUAGUUGGUAACAAGCAUAUAGCAUUAAUCUGUUUAAUUCACAUAUUUCCAUUCUUUGUUUCCAGUUUCUAGUGUUUGGGCUUCUUUGUAAGAUUGAUUCUGUAUAAACUAGAAACGGUGAUUAUAAGGUUGUCAAGUGACUCAUAGGAGUAGCUGUAGGAGGUGGAGGUGGAGGAGGAGGGAAUAGGUUCGGUGGCGGAGGAUGACCCAUCCUCUCAAAUACACCCUGCAUAUACUGGAACAUCUGCUCUGCCCUCUGUUCAGCUGCCGCCACCCUCUGCCGAUCUGCCUCCAUCCUCGCCUCCAUCUCCUGCCGAUCUGCCUCCAUCCUCACCUCUAUCUCCUCCCGUUGCUUUCUUUCUCCUUCCACCUGGGUCUACAAUAUUUCAUCCUAAUGUUACAAUGCAAAGCAAAAGUAUGUAAAAAUCAACGAAUGAUGUUACAAUGGGCCUACAAUAUUUCUUCCACCUCGGAAAAUGCUAAGGUUCGAUUCAUCUUUGCCAGCAUUGUAACGAGGGGGUGGAUUAUGCACGCUAGGAAGGUUGUCAGCAUAGUUUUUUGUUGUGAAGUUUGACACCUCCUCUAGAAUAUAUGCCACUGCAAUGGAUGGUUCAAUUUUGUAUUUAUUUUUACAUUUAGUUCGAAGAACCUUUUGAUAUCUCUCAAUUGAAUAGCAUAAAUGGCCCUGCACAGGCACCCCCAUUCAUGCCUCAUACAGGAGGUUCAAAAUCAAAUAUUGCAUCGGAUUGAAGAAGCCGGGUGGAAAGAUCUUAUCCAACUUACAGAGCAACAUAAGCGCCAUUCUUUCUAUGUCUGCAACCACGGUACGAGAUAACUCCUUAGCACAAAGCUGGCGGAAGAAAUUGCUCAACUCCAGCAACACUAGCCAGACAUGCUCAUGGACAUAGCCUUGAACCUGUUGGGAUACGAGGUAGGCUACACUAGCGCAAUUCAAAAAUUCUACCGCGUAUAACUAGGAAGAACUGCCAUAUAAGGAUCACGGGAUUACCACUCGACGCACUACUGGUGCGGAAGAUGUAGAUAUGCGUCGAUGCAGUGAAGACGAUCACAUAGUCGAUCAACGUAGUCGUACGUAGUCGAUCACGUCCAGCAGCUCCUCAGCAGCUCGUCCACGUGCAGCAAGAUCGUCUCCGGUACCGCGGCUCGUCGUCGGCUCGUCGUGGCUCGUCGGCGGCUCGUCCAAGUGCUGCAGGCGCAACACCUCCAAGGUAUCCACACGUGCAGAAAGGAAGCGUUGCAAGCCGGACUGCUAGAUCCGCGAGUUGCAACAGGCGAGGGCGUGGGAGGCGCGACAGGUGUGUUUCGCCAAAAAGUGUAAACCCUAGGGCGCCCCCACCCCUCUAAUUAUAGAGGUUCCUGAUGAGCCUCUGGAUCCGAGGCCCAUUAGUACUUCUAAACCUAAUCCAACUCGGAUCAGAUCCGAAUUGGGCUUCCAGCCCCUUAAGUGUGUGACCCUAUGGGUUCGAAUACGUAUAGACAUGGCCCGAGUACUCCUGCUCGGCCCAAUAGUCGGUAGCGGCCUCUAGCAAGACGUGCCAACUCCUAUACGCACACGAAGAUCAUAUCAGACGAACCAUCACAACAUAAUAUACAUGCUAUUCCCUUUGCCUCACGAUAUUUGGUCUAGCUUCAAGCCGACCUCUCUUUCUCGAUCCUGUGAUUCGGAAUCCCUUUGUAGGUUAACUCUUAACCGUACGUAGCAUGGCCAUGCAUUUUGGAUCUGAUCACUCGAGGGGCCUAGAGAUAUCCCUCUCAAUCAGAGAGGGGCAAAUCACAUCUUGACUGACCAUGUCUCAUAGCAUGCUUCUUGACAAACCCGAAAGCUACCUUUAUAACUACCCUGUUACGGCGUAGCAUUUGAUAGCCCCUAAGUAGGUCGAUCCACAUCUAGAACACAUGCGACAAUCUCAGGUCUAAGGACAAAGCGUAUAUGUUGUUUAAAGAGAGAACUACUUCUCGUGUUGGGUCAGUCCUAGCACAUGUCUCCACAUGUGUCCACAUUGUUAGUUCAACAUCUCCAUGUCCAUGACUUGUGAAACAUAGUCAUCAACUAAUACAUGUGCUAGUCUAAUAUUCAUGUGUGUCCUCACAUGAACUCCGACUAGGGACAACUUUAGAAUAACCAUACAAGUAAAGAGUUUCACAUACAAUUCACAUAAUUGCAAAUCAAUUCAAGUAGCCUUCAAUGGAUAUUCAAUGAACACAACAUACAAAUCAUGGACAAAUGGAAUAUCAUCAUCUCUAUGAUUGCCUCUAGGGCAUACCUCCAACAGAACCAUCACCGGAAGUAGCCACUCAAGCCAUAUAUGGUAGUCAUGACUCUUGAGCCCGUUGAUUUGCAUAGUAGCUAAGUUCACUCCUCUCUUUAGAUUUGCUGCAUACCCAUCGGGGAACAUUAACAUUUUGAACCGUUCUAGUACUUCCCUCCUUUGGGCCCUUGUCAGGACGAAAUCGGCCUUAGGCUUUCUCCAUGACUUGCCGCCUCUAGGAGGUGCCAUGUCUAGCUUUGGUCUAUUGCAUAACCUUGCUUGAUCCACUCUAGCCUUAACAUUAUUCUUUGUCUUAUCACGAAUGUCCACGAUUGUACCAAAGAUUGCCUCGGCGACAUUCUUUUUAGUGUUCAUUACAUCAAUGUUAUGUGGAAGAAGAAGAUCAUCAAAAUAGGGAGGUUCCACAAGCACGACUUCUGAGUCUAGGCAUGUUGCUCACCCUAUCCCAGAAAACCAUCUCCUUGUGCAUUGACCUCGGGAUCAUCUAACUGAGCACGAACCUCGGCACCAAUCAUCAUUUGUGGUUAGGGUCUCUAACAAUGACAUCUUUUGUAAAGUUCUUGAUGUCUCGUCUGAAUGGAUGGUCAAGAGGGAGGAAUUGUCGAUGUUUGUCGAAUGAAGAAAACUUGCCACCCUUCGUCAACCAUAUGAACUUCAGAGAUACCUUGCAUACUGGGUAUGGGAACUUCCCGUGAACACACCAGCCGCAAAAUAUCCCAUACGUCGGCAAGUCAUAGAGGGAGUACUGGUACCAAACAUGCAUUUUGAAGUUUGUCUUUGUAGUUCAGUCGUAUGUCCAUACCCCUUCCUCCCAAGCACGGACCAAAUCAUCAAUCAGAGGCUCCAUGUACACACUCAUAUUAUUGCCCGGGUGUUCAGGAAUUAUCAACGAUAAGAAUAUGUUCUGUCGUUGAAAGAGGACGCCAGGGGGGGGAGGUUGAGGGGGAUAACGAACAUGGGCCAACAAAUGUAUGGGGCAGCCACCAUUACCUAAGGAUUGAACCCAUCUGUUGCCAGCGCAACACGUACAUUACGAGCCUCUAGAGCUUUCUCAUGAUGAAUCACAUCAAACCUUGUCCAUGCUUCACCAUCGGAUGGAUGUACCAGCUUCUAAGGAUUGUAUCGACGCCCGUAUUUGUGCCAUAUCAUCUGUUUCGCGGAUUCCUCAGUCAUAUAAAGUCGUUGGAUCCUCAGUAUGAAUGGAAGGUACCGUAGGAUCUUCACGGGGAUUGCGAGCUGCCUCUUCUGACCAUCACCAGAGUCUACCUCUAGGAACCUAGAGGAUUUACACUUCACAUAGUACUUUGCUUCCGCGUGUUCUUUCCUAAAUAAGAUGCAUCCCUUCGGACAAGCAUGUAUCUGCUCAUAUGGCAUCUUAAGUGCACGAAGGAGUUUUUGUGCCUCAUACAUGCUCUUUGGCAGAAUGUGACCAUCCGGGAGCAUGCUACCAAAAACUAUCAACAUAACAUCGAAGGCAUCUCGACUCAAGCUAAAUUGGGACUUCACAGCCAUUAGGCGUGCAAUGGCAUCCAGUUGAGAAAGCUUGGUAUGCCCGUGAAGGGGUUGCUGUGCCGCAGACAACAUUUCGUAAUACGCCUUUGCGGUAGCCUCUGGCUCCUCCUUCCUAUGUCCUUCAUCGAAGUGUGCUUCAUGAUAGUCAUUUAACAUGUCUCCUACCUCGGCAUCAGCAUCAUAAUCCUUGAUGUGUUGUCUCACGACCUCGUCUCUCCCACGAUCGGCUUCACCAUGGUAGAUCCACCGGGUAUAGUCUAUCGUAAAUCCAUUCUUGCAAAGAUGUUUACCUAUGACCACCUUUGUUUGUCGACGCGUGUUUGCACAUUUACUACAAGGACACCAAGUCGCACGCGCUCCUUAAGCCCUUGCAAAUGCUAGUUCCAAGAAAGCAUUAGUCUUCUCAAUCCAUUCAUUGGUCAACGAAUCCUGACUAGCUCGGGCCGUGUACAUCCACUCAUGGUCAUCCAUCCUCUAACAUAUCAACAAGUAAUAUAAAAAUCAAUUGCAUCUACACAUUCCUAUAAUGUAUAAUAGGUGAAGAUAGGUCCUAAUCCCACCCGAGAAUGUGUAGAUAGGGUUAGUUUCCAUGCUCUACUCCUAUCCAAGAUAGAAUUUCGGUAGCACCUUCCCACUAUUCUCCAAAUACAGGUCCUGGCAGGGAGAUUGUAUAUCCAGAGAACAACAUGGAGAUGAUGUCGAAACUCUGUCUCCGAUCGGAGUAAACCAUGGAAACUAACCCCAUCUACACAUCCUCGGGCUAUCCAAAAAAUGUGGACAAUUCGAAACAUAUAUGAUUAUAGAUAUGUAAAGAUCUGCAUAUUUCUAACCGUAUUUCUUUUGAAAGGAAGACGCCUAUCUAGGUUACGUGAUAUACAAACAUGAUAUGGAAAGAGGGGUCUUUUAUACCUCACCUUGCUGUCCUGCAAAGUGACGAGUCGAGGAUGGUGCAAUAGCCUCUCCUAAAAAAAAGGAACAUAAUAGUGUCAAUCGUAAAUUUCGGUAGCACCUCCCUGCACGGUGAGGUUUCCAAAACCUGCAACAAAUAAAACGGCACAAUGGCCGACAACCACAUACACACCAAACCAACGGCACGAUAUCCAACAACCAUUGAUGAACAUCUGGUAUGAAGUUGCAUAUAUUUAACAACUCAUGCUAUAUCUCUUGCUCUACCACUAGGCUAUAAAUAAAAUAGAAAAUGGGUAAUGCCAAACUUCAUAGCUAGGAUUGAAAGACACUACAAAAUAGUACAUGGGGUCUCACCUAGUGUAGUGGUACACAAUAACAAUGCCAAAGGAAAUUCAUCUCUAAGCUUCUCGUUGCUGUUAUGGACAUGUUAUGGACGGUGUGAAAUUCAUCUCUAAGCUUCUCUCUGCUGUGUUGUGGUGUGCGUAUGUGUGGGUGUGUGUGGGUGAGGGAGGGUGGGGGCCGGUGGAUAUUAGGCCGAUUUGUCGAAUGCCCGAGAUCUAGCACUCGGCAAAGCCAAUUUUGCGGAGUGUCCGAUCCGGGACACUCGGCAAAUAAUUUUUUUUUCCAAUUUUCCUCCCUUUCCUUCUUUUUCAUAACGUGUUUUACUAAAUUUGUUUUUGAAAAUACCUUGUAAAAUUCACUCAAUAAUGCAUAUUUGAUUUUUCUACUAAUAUUAUUCCACUAUUUCAUGCAGUUAUAGCUCAAAUUCAAUUUAUAUCAAUUAAAAUUCUAUAAUUGCAGUUAAUAAAUUAAAAUUAUCAAAUGGAUCCUUCUCAACACUACGAUUCUUCUUCGGAGAUGCUUCGGUUUGUAAGCAUCGUACGUGAAAAAUUGUGCGAAACCUUCUUAAUUUUUUACCAUAGCCUCCACGUACAAUAUCAUGAGAUCUUGACAAAUCUCUCAUGAUUUUCAGACUUCAUUUGCUUUUUUUAGAAUUUAAAAACCAUUCAGCCACACGUUCGUGGUCGUGUUUCGUGAACAAGAUGUUCAAAAUUUCCUUUCAUUUCUCGGGUAAGACCUCACACUGGACUCAAUAACAUGAAAAUCAUUUUUCUACUCAUUUUAUUCUAUUAUUUGAAUCACUUGGAGUUCAAAUUUGACUUAUACCAAAAAAUUCCUCUAAAUGCAAUAAAUUAAUUAAAUAUAGCAAACAGUAGAGAAAUAUACCUUAUUUUAACAUGAAGUGUGUGUGGAGAGUAAAAAAAGUUUGGAGGGCAGGAGAGGAAAAAAACUUAUUGUUUUGCUGAGUGCUAAUAAUAAACACUCGGCAAACUAAAGUCUUUGCUGAGUGCAAAUAAAAAACACUCGGCAAACUCGGCAAACCUUGUCUUUGCCGAGUGUCACUAAACAGACACUCGGCAAACCUUGUCUUUACCGAGUGUCACUAACGGACACUCGGUAAACUUCUAACGGCCAGCGCUGUGGUUGACGGCCGUCGCACGUGGCGGUCACAUGGCAGUCUUUUGCCGAGUGUUUAUUGUUUGCCGAGUGUGUUGUUUGCCGAGUGUUUUCUUUCCUGCACUUGGCAAACAAGUUUUUUGCCAAGUGCAAUUAUUUUGCCGAGUGUUUCUCUGCACGCGGCAAAGAGGGUGUUUGCUGAGUGCCAGAUAGAAUGCACUCGGCAAACAACCAGGUACUUGGCAAAACUACUGUUUCCGGUAGUGAUACAUGGUAUCUUGAGGUUCAUCAGCGUUUUACAAACUGAGCACCAGGCAGUCAAACCAUAGUCAGCAUUAUAGACACUAGUAAGCCACCAUAGUACAAUCCGACAAGUACCUGUACACUUUGCAGCUUCUGUUAUAUUGAAGACCACUAUAUUAGGGUAAGAUAAGUUCGAUCAACGUAUUAGCUAGAUCAGCAACAGCUUCACUUCAGUUCUGCGGGAAGAGCCAUGUCGCACGCUUCCAUGACACUGCUGGCAGAGGGGUGGAGACCUUGCCGUCCUUCAUGCUGUAGACACUGCAGGAGGCCACAUUAGACCGAAGGUGAUCCUCAUCCUCAUUCUCCACGAAGAAGAUGGAAUCCCCUGGCACCUCGUCAUGAGAGACACAAACAGAUAUGGCCAAGAAAAAACAGCACGUGUCAGCGAAGAAACACGACGCGCCAAGAAAUCCGAAGCAGAAACGCUAACGCGUGGCCGGCGCCGAGACGCACAGGCAAUGCGUCGAACACCUUGCGUGCGCGAGCCGCGGCGAGGGCAAGAGGCGCAGAGGGAGAGAGGAGCAGCUCGUUGAUCCAUAUGUACGGACCACCAGGAGGUGCCCCCUGGCUGGCAAACUGCAAUCCGAGCGCUCUCUGUCACUCGUGAACCUGAAUAUCGCUGCGAUGAGGUGAGGCGAACAAAAUAUAAUUUUGGACGCAUUCCGCUCCUCUUCUUCGUCCAUUUCCAUCCAUGCAUGGCCUGCCUCGUCAACGGACUGAUCACCCACAUCCCACAUUCGAGCGCGGGUCAGAGCUGGAAGUGUCACAGUCUCGUUGGAGAAAGGAUCCCUCAGGAAGCAGUCGUCCUCGCCCGAGAACACCAACCAGUUGCCAGUGCCACAGGCGUUAGUGUACCCCGUGCAGCCAGGGAAGUGGAACGGCGCUUCCUGGGAGGCUGCACACGGUGGCACCUGGGAGCAGGAGCAUCGGCAUCGGCGGGGGCACGCCCUCCUGCUGCGCGGCCGCGCGCCACUGGGGGGCAGACGGCGGCGAACCGGACGCGGUCGACGUGCACAGGCAGGCGGCCGACGACGAGGCCGGAGAGCUUCACCGGGAUGUCCGACCACGACGCCGGCGCCUCCUCCAUGGGUGCAGCCAACCUUGCAAUACAAUCGAGAACACAGCACGCCGUCAGAGAAGAAAUCGCAAGCCGGAGGAAAAACGCCAGCACGCGGCCCGCGCGCGCGGGGGCGGACACACCGGCAAUGCGUCGAGCACCUUGCGUGCGCGACCCGCGGCGAGGGCAGGAGGAAACGAAGGAGAGUGGGGCCGGUGAGUCCAGGGAAGGAGGAAUGGAGGUGGGUUACCGGAAAUUGACGGCCCGCGGCGGAGGAAUCGCGCUCCCGCUGCUGCUGUUCGGGCGGAGGCGGGGGUGGGGGCGGCCGCCGGCAGAGCUGGGAUGGAGAGAGCUGAGCGGGGGUGGAGUAGUCAGUAGUGUGAACGGUUUGAACGGCUGACGUAGUUGACCUCGCCACGUGGCGAGUGAGCUAAUAAAAAAAUCUGUAAACUAAGUAAAUCCAAAAGUAACCCUACAUAGAUGUUCUAAUUUUUAAAACAAAAAUUAUGUGUUGGUGGAGAUGUUACAAAAAUUUUAGGACAAAUAGAUCUGUGCAAAUCUCGAGCGGGCCGUCAAAAAACCCGAUUUCUUUCGAUCCAAAAUCUCCACCCAAGCUUGGCCAUUAACUCUAUCGGGCCUAAUUUGGGCCAAGCUCGGGCCGAGCCGCCCAUCAUUUUCUAGUGUAAAUUUAAUUUAUUUUAUUAUUUAGGUUGGGUCAAGCCCACCUUUUUUUGCCGCGAAAAUCAGCGCCACGCUCGAUUCGAGCCUAUUUUGCUCAGAUCUAAGUACAAAUAUUUUGGAAAGACUAAUUAAAUGUGAUUUUUAUGCUAUAGUGGUUAGUGGCACAUGAUUUUCUAUGUUUUUUAUAAUUUUAUAAAUGUAAUUAAAACUUGAAAUAAAAUUUUGAAUGUAUUUAGAACAUCACCUCUUCGUGAAUUCCCGAUGUUUCUCUGCACUUCAAAACACGAGCAAAGCCAGUGUUUGGUUUGGGGUCAGUAGUUCCUCAGUCACAAAGCAUACGACAUCUAAGAUUUGUACUAGACAAACUUCUUUGUCUAUGACUAAAUUUGUAGAAAAAUACAUAAAUAUUUACGGCAUCAACUAAUUUCCCUAGAUAAGUCAUGAAAUAUAUUUUCGUAGCGUAUUUAUUUGAUGUUGUAGAUUGAUAUAGUACAUGUUAAUAUUCUUUUUUUUUACGUACUCGGUUAAUGUUACAAAAGUUUAGCUUAAGACAAAACUAAAACAAUUUAUGAACGGAUGGAGUAUAUUGAAAAAUCAUUGGCCUUAAUGAAUAUGUUGUCACCUCCUCUAUUCAGUAUUUCAGUCCAAAGAAGAGAGUUAAAAACAAGCGCACAUAUACAAGGAUGCAACAGAGAUUGGUGAGAAGAAAAGUGCACAAUAAAUCAACUAAAUUCAGUCUGGUUUCCUCUGGUGCUGAUGGGCACCAUUCUGGAUUUUUCCAUAAACCUGCGGAACAAAAAGAAAAAUGUAAGCACAACAAUGGAUACUCUGAUGGGUUAUCAUCACAAUGGGUAAGUACCUCUCGAUCAGUUGAGAGCAUCUUAUGCUUAUUCUCCAUCUCAAUUCUAAGGGUGGGACAGUUGGGAUGGAGGUCAGCUGCGUGUGCCAAUGCUGCCUUCCCUUCCUCCACCCCGCAGCAGGAGCGUCCUCACACUGCUGGAUCGUAGCAGUAACCCUCUGGAGCGAAGUACCAGCAACAUUUUCAAAGCCAGGCUGAAUAAUGUCCAUAUCUUUUAUGAACCGCACAUAAACAGAAAACACAAGGGAUUCAAGGCUUGGCAUCAUGAUGGAAGGUGCUGUGGUUGCAUCGUUGUCUCUUUCGCAGCUGUGCGAAUCAAACUGGACAAACGAAAGGGAGUGUGAAGAAUCUCAACUUCCAGAAGUAGUGGUGCAGAUGAUCACUAGUGGUCUUCCUUAUGCUUAAUAGUCUGGUGUGAUCUGAACUCAGUUUGAGAUAACAGAGCUCUGGUAGCCUCCCAAGGGUUUCCAUGUCCUGUUCUUGCACCAAUUCACUGUCAGAUGGGUUAUCAUCACAAUGGGUAAGUACCUCUCGAUCAGUUGAGAGCAUCUUAUGCUUAUUCUCCAUCUCAAUUCUAAGGGUGGGACAGUUGGGAUGGAGGUCAGCUGCGUGUGCCAAUGCUGCCUUCCCUUCCUCCACCUCCGCAGCAGGAGCGUCCUCACACUGCUGGAUCGUAGCAGUAACCCUCUGGAGCGAAGACAGCAACAUUUUCAAAGCCAGGCUGAAUAAUGUCCAUAUCUUUUAUGAACCGCACAUAAACAGAAAACACAAGGGAUUCAAGGCUUGGCAUCAUGAUGGAAGGUGCUGUGGUUGCAUCGUUGUCUCUUUCGCAGCUGUGCGAAUCAAACUGGACAAACGAAAAGGGAGUGUGAAAGAAUCUCAACUUCCAGAAGUAGUGGUGCAGAUGAUCACUAGUGGUCUUCCUUAUGCUUAAUAGUCUGGUGUGAUCUGAACUCAGUUUGAGAUAACAGAGCUCUGGUAGCCUCCCAAGGGUUUCCAUGUCCUGUUCUUGCACCAAAUUCACUGUCACAUCCAGAUGGGUGAGGUUCAAAAGAAGUGUCGAGUCCAUCCAUACCGGUAGUCCAGAGAACUUGAAGCAUUCCAAACACAUCUGUCCAAGGCGAAGAGGAAGAGCCUCAAAACAUGCUUCUUCACCUGUGAUGCCUCUCGCCAAUGCUGAGCCAAAAACACAUAAGGUGUGGAUCUUGUGGAGAUUUGCAAGCGAUUCCAGCAAAUCUCUCUCCAUGCUCUCAUCGUUUACAUGAAUGGUCAGGUCCUUGACGAGCUGCCUUGUUGACGCAUCAUCAGCUGGCCAUUACCUUGAGCUCUUGCAACGAAGUAAGGUUCCUGAUCAAACAAGAUGACACUAUUAUACUGUCAUUGACAUGUAGGCACAACAGUUGUUUCAACAGGCGCACACCCUCCGGCAGCUGUUGCAUUCAGUGUCUGUAGAAACUUGAGAUCUCCAGCUUCCUUGGGGAGCUCAUCAAUUUGUGUAUUCAAAAUUCCAAGAUACCUCGAUCAGGUGGCAUAAACUCCCUAAAUGCCGUAAUCUUCUAUAGUUAAAACACAUAGAACUUGAAAACAUGAUGCUACCACAUUAAUAUCGCCAAACCCAUGUUAACCAGCUGAGUGCGGUUGUGCUCUUCAACACUCCUACCGUGCACGGCAAAUCUGCGAGUAUUGCUACCGCCUAUGAGUUUUUGUUGGUCAUUGCUGUCCAAUAUAGUGGCCAAAUUUUCUUCACUCGAUAGUGAACGAACCAGAUCAAGCACCAUAUCAUGAACACCACAAACAUAUACAUACCCGUUAUCCUCUAACUCCAUCGGUUGGAUCAUGCUUCUAUUUAUUAGCUCGUUGAAGUACCCUUCCCCGAGCUCAAAUAGUUCUAUCUCUGUUGUUGCUUGUUCAUUCUGAAUAAACCCUUUAGCUAUCCACUUCCAUAUCAAAAGAUUUUACUUGAUCCCAUAUUCUUCCUGAAAUAAACUUACAUGCAGCUAGCAAGCCUUUAGAUGUGAAGGGUGUAAGAAAAGGAGGAAACAUGGUUGCCUAUCUUAGCUUGCCACGGUUACGCGUUUAUAAAGGGUGAAUUCACCAAGAGAUUUACAUCGAUACGGUUGUGACCGUCUAGAACUAGUUUGCUUCAUAUAUUUGAAUUACAACAGGACACAACCUAUCUCUAAGCAAACUUAAUUAUGCAAACCGGCCUAGAUCACAACCACACAAUAGGACUCUAUUGAGUCCAAACCAGAUUACAAUCAUGUCUUUUAACAUCCUCCCUCAAUCUAAACUUCUCUUCCUCUUGAGAUUUACAUUGCUCUUGAAUUCUUCUAGCUUACCAGCCGAUAGUGCUUUAGUGAAUCCAUCUACAACUUGAUCAUGAGUAGACACAAACCAUACUUGCAAUUGCUUCUUAGUUACCCUCUCUCGAAUAAAAUGUAAAUCAAUCUCAAUAUGCUUAGCCCAUGCAUGAAAGACUGGAUUAGCUAAAAAAUAAGUAGCGCCUAAAUUGUCAAACCACAAAAUUGGAGGUUGCACCAGCCGAACACCAAGCUCCAAAAGCAAUGAUUCUGACCAAAUCAACUCAGCUGUAGCAUUAGCCAUAGAUUUAUACUGUGCUUCUGUACUAGAUCUAGGUACAGUAGCCUGCUUUCUAGCACUCCAAGAAACAAAUUUUAGGACCAAGAAAGAUUGCAAAUCCUCCAGUAGACUUUCUAUCAUCAACACUUCCAGCUCAAUCAGCAUCAGAGAAAGCACUCAAAACCAUAGAACUUGAUUUCUUAAUGUGUAACCCAAUAUUCAAUGUAAAUUGCACACAAUGAAGAAUUCUUUUAACAACAGUCCAAUGAACUGAAGUUGGUGCAUGCAAAAACUGACAUACUUUGUUAGCAGAAAAGGCGAGAUUUGGUCGAGUGAGAGUCAAAUAUUGCAAGGCUCCAACAUUGCUUCUAUAAUGAGUGCUAUCUUCUGGACCAAGCGGAUCACCCUCAAAACUUGAAAGUUUUUCCGAACUAGACAAUGGAGUUGUAGAACCCUUGCAAUUAUUCAUGCCAACAUGCAUUAAAAUUUCUUGCGCAUAAUUUUCUUGAGAGAAUAACAAACCAUCAUUACUUCUUUGAACUUUAAUACCCAAAAAAUAAUGCAAGUCACCAAGAUCUUUUAGAACAAGGUCCUUGCGUAGAUCCAAUAAUAAAGUUGAAAUUGCUUCACUAGAAGAGCUAGUAACAAUAAUAUCAUCAACAUAUAUGAGCAUGUAAAUAGUUACUCCUGAUUUUUGAUAAAUGAACAACAACGUAUCUGAUUUUGAAGCAACAAAACCAAGCACAAUUAACUUAGUGCUCAAUCUUGCAUACCAGGUACAUGGAGCUUGGUUAAGACCAUAAAUCGCUUUAUCAAGCUUGCACACUAGAUGUGGGGCACCAUCUUUCUCAAAUCCUGGAGGCUGUUUCGUAUAAACCUCCUCUUCUAAAACACCAUGUAGGAACACGUUUUGAACAUCCAGCUGUCGUAAGUACCAGCCUCUAGAGACCGCCAAAGACAAAACAAGCCUCACAGUAGCAAUCUUGACCAUUGGACUGAAUGUGUCCUCAUAAUCAAUUCCAUAUCUCUGUCGAAAUCCUUUAGCUACCAAUCGUGCCUUGCAUCGAUCAAUUGUCCCAUCAACUUUCUUUUUGACUUUAAAGAGCCAUUUGCAAUCAAUUAAAUUGCAGCCAUCUUUAGGUUCAACUAUGCCACGUGUUGUUUCUAAGCAGUGCUGAAUACUCCUCUUGCAUGGCUUCCUUCCAUCGAGAAUUACCAAGGGCUUUUUGCAAUUUUUUUGGUUCACUAGGAGCAAAAAAUUCCCAUAUCUGAUAGUCCCAUCUGUGAACCUCUUAGGUUUGACAAUGCCAUACUGAAGACACGUACGUCGUUGAACCGGUGAUGGAGCUUGGUGAUGGAGCUUGAUAUGCCGGCAUAGCUGAUCCAGAACCUGGUGCAAUAGAUCCAAAAAUAGGCACAGCUGCCACGGGUGCGCCAGGCGCUGUUGCGGGUGAAGACGAGUUGCCGCCACCUGCCGCGGGUGCACUAGGCACUGUCGCGGGUGUGAACGAGCCGCGCAAGCCACCACCUGCCGCGGGUGCGCCAGGGGCAGAGUCUGUGGCGGAUUCCUGCGGCGCAUGGUCAGAAUCCGGAGGUGCAUGUCCUGCCCCCCAACGCAUCAAAGCCGGAGCGUGCGAGACGGAAUCCUAGGACGCGCCGAGUGCGGGCGGAACCAGCUGCGACACAGAUACGCCUGUGGCUGCCGGAUUUGUUUGGGAGACGCUGCCAGGGUCUUCUGUGGCCAAAACUCUAGCAGAAAUAGGUUUAGAUGCAGGAUGUUGCUCGGUGCUUGCGGCAAAAUUCUGCCUGUCUGGUUCCUGCAAAAUGUCAGCACCCUCACCAGGAGCAUGUUGUGCACCUAACAUUAGGUGCACAACUUACAUCCCCAUAGCGAAACAAAUGCGGAGGAAGGAGAUUUAUUUCUUGGUGAAUUUGGGCGCUGGCAUUGGGGUGGAGAUGAGCAAAGGGAAAAACUUCUUCAUCAACGACGACAUCUCGAGAAAUAUAGAUGCGACCGGUGGGAAUAUCAAGACAUUUGAAGCCUUUAUGCAUGGCACUAUAACCAAGAAGGCGCAACGAAUAGAUCGAGAAGCAAGCUUGCGAGAAUUAUAUGGUCACAAAUUUGGCCAACAAGCACAACCAAAGACUCGAAGAGAUGAAUAAUCUGGAGUUUCUUGCAACAAGCGCAUAACUAGAACAUCAUAAUCAAUGACCUUACUAGGAAGAAGAUUAAUGAGAUAGGUGGCUGUAAGAAAGGCAUGAUUCCAAUCUUUCAGUGGCAUGGAUGCAUUAGCGAGGAGAGCGAGACCUCCUCAACUAUAUGGUGAUGCUUCCUUUUGACUACAUCAUUUUGUUGAUGUGCAUGGGUGCAAGAAACUCGGUGGGUAAUCCCUACUCUUGAAAGGAGUUUAAUUUCUCAUAUUCUCCUUCCCAAUCUAAUUGUAUAGAUUUAAUUUUGUAGCCAAAAUUUCUUUCUACAAGCUGCUGAAAAUUUUGAAAGACUUGAAAAACAUCAGAUUUUUUCUUAAGCAAGUAGAUCCAAGUGCACUUGCUAAAAUCAUCAAUAAAGCUAACAUAGUAUCUAUGGCGCCCAAUGGAAGGAGGUGCUGGCCCCACACAUCCGGAAAAACAAGAUCAAGAGGAGCUUUAGAUGCACUAUUUGAUAUAUGAUACGGGAGCUGAUGGCUCCUGACCAUCUGACAUGAAUUACAAAUAGACUCUGAAUUAUUGUCACUAACACAAGGAAGCUUAUUUGAGCUAAGGAUUCUCUCUACUAUAGGAAAAGCUGGAUGACCAAGUCUACUAUGCCAUCGAGUGAUAGAACGUUUAUUGACUGCAAAAGCUUAUUUUCUGGACACUUCUUGGGAUAGAUGCGACCCUAGAGGAUAGAGACCAUUGCGGGAUCUACCUUGAUGGAUGACUUUUUUCGUUUCCUGAUCCUUUAUACAGAAGAAAUUUGGAUGAAAUUCUAUGAAGGUAUCAUUGUCUCGAGCUAAUUUAUGAACUGAAACUAGAUUCUUGCUAGCACUAGGAACAUGAAGUAUAUUUUUUAAGAUAAUAUUUUUGCUAGGGGUAUGUAAAGUUGUAUGACCAUGUUACUAAUUUUCAUACUUGUACCAUUAGCCGCAUGCACUUGAUCACGUCCAUUGUACUUGUCAUGAAUUAUCAUCUUCUCAAGUUCACUUGUGACAUGAUCUGAAGCACCACUAUCAACAUACCAAUUUGAAUCAUACCCAUAGCCGGCCAUGGCUGCCCCUGCUGUUUUCUGACUUGGUUGACUGUCAUCUUCAUCAUAUCUACACCAGCAGCGAUUUGCUUCAUGCCCAACCUUGGUGAAGUAAGCGGAGGAGGACAUGUUACCCUUCUUGGUCGUGGAAAGUAGAACGCGCAAAUUUGCAAUCUGCACUUUGGAGUGCGCCGAGAACAUCCUCUCAAGCACGUCCCAUGCUUCUGCAGUUGUAGUUAACGUCACCACCGGUGCUAAUGCAUCCUUGGUGAGGGAAUUCAGCAGGUAGCUUAGUACUUGCUGAUCUUUCGCGAUCCAGGAGUCGUACUCAGCGUUGUGGACGAUCUCCUUCUUGCCAUCCGCCGUGACCACCUCCAGAGUCUUGAGCGGCGCAGGGGUUGAUCCAUCUAGGAUCCCUAUGAGUUGAGCUCCUCGUAUAGUAGGAAGAAACUGGACCUUCCAUAGAAAGUAUGAGUCACUUUCUCCAAGACAACUCCUAACGCCGGCAUAGCUGUUGACGUCGAUGUCAUGGGAUGCUGUUGAGAUGCUUCUAGCGCAGGUUGCUGAUACAGAAAAAAAUUCUGGCGCAGGAAGCAGGUACUGGCGCAGGAGAUUGGAGCAGGUGCUAGCGCAGGAGAUUGACGCAGGCACUGGCGCAGAAAUCAGAUGCUGGCGCAGGAAUCAGGAGCUGGCGCAGGAGAUUCUGGCACCGGACAUCCAUUUUCCUGGUGCAAGAAUUUUUUUUUUGGCAAGGAUUUUGUGGAUGAUUAGGAAGAGGAUGCUCUGAGUACCAUGUAAGAAAAGGAGAAAAUGUGGUUGUCUAUCUUAGCUCGCCACGAUUACACAUUUAUAAAGGGUGAAUUCACCAAGAGAUUUACAUCGAUAUGGUUGUGACCGUCUAGGACUAGUUUGCUUCAUAUAUUUGAAUUACAACAGGACACAACCUAUGUCGAAGCAAACUUAUCCAAACCGGCUUAGAUCACAACCGCACAGUGUAGUAGGACUCUAUUGAGUCCGAACCAGAUUACAAUCAUGUCUUUUAACAAAGGGAGGUCAUAGUAGCUAAAUGACAAUAUUCUUCUAGUAUUCUCCACAAUGUCAUUGCCUCCGUCACCAAAACCAAUAGAAUUGUACACCUUAACCCAGUCCUCCCCUGAUUUACUUGCCAAUAAGAUAGCUAUUGUAAUGAUAGCUAAUGGCACACCAUCACAUUUCUUCAAAAUUUUAUCACAUGCCUCAGUUGAAAGACUGUCUAGAAAUCUGUCUUCACCACAGGUUAUUCUAGAAUAUAGUAAUAUUUCAUAGUCAUCACGAGAAAGUGGUUGCAUCUUCUAAAUAUCACCAAUAUGUGUGGCGAUUUCAAAAGUCCGAGUAGUCACCACUACUCUACUUCGACAAUUACUAUGUCGGAACCUGGGCCGGAACGAUUUCAAUCCUUCCUUCCUUGGUCCGGAAUCAAUCCGCACCUCAUCCCUCCUGGAUCGGUUUUUGGCCACACGCGACGCGAGGAGAUGGAUGCUCCGCUGGCGGGGCGCGAGGCGACGAGGUGGCGGCGUGGCGGCGUGAGGUGACGGUGUGGCGGCAUGGCACAUCUUCGACGGCCACCACCGCGACGGCGUCCGCCGCCUUCUCGCUGGUAAGCCGCCGCCUUUUCCUCCACUCUCCUUCUCGCCCUAGGUUUCUUGCUUCCUGUGUCCUCCGCUCGAUCUGGCACUUGAUCUAGGUAGGGGACUGCGGUAAUGUGCUGGAUCUGCUAGCGAUUUGGUUUGCUGGAUAUGCUCGCGAUUAGUUUUCUUGGUUUGUGGUGAGGGGAAAGCGAUAGGGUUCCAAAGCAGCCCAUUCCUGGUUCCAUGGUUCGUGAGUGUUCCAUGGUAUAGUUGGCUGGUCGGACGGACAAGACUGCCAUGCGACUUCGCGCGCUGCGCGGCACAGCCUCCCGCGGCCCCCGCUAGCUAUCUCCUUGCUACCACCUACCAUUUCGUGGUGAAAGAAUUAGUGUCCAGCACACCAGUGUGUGUCAGUUCCUUAUUUUUUAUCUAUGCUGCUGACCCAAGAACGUCAUAUACAACAUACUAGAUGGAGUAAUCCGAGACAUAUUACUGUAUUAUUACUAGCAUGAUAAUACAAGGAAGCGCAGAGAAUUCGCAGACCAAUUUCAAUUUCAGUUUUCAGUUUAGAAGAAGAAUGCGCUUUCUUCCUUGUAGCAGAGUAGCAGAGAGCAUAGCAUUUGAACCAGGAUUGUGUUGAUUGAUUACAAGCACUCAUCUUCUCCCACAGUACGUGAUUUUAGCAUAUGUUUGUAAUUUGUAAGCAAACAGAGUAUGGUACUAUGGUCUGCUCCAUUUGGCAUCCAUGGCCAGUUCUCAAAUGUACAUUCGCUAAUGUGCCAGCCAAAUGAAAUGAGUUUGGGAAGACAUCAUGAAAAUAUGGUAUACAGGGAGGAGAGGAGAGAUUGCUUCAUCUGCGAUCAUCUUCUUCUUUCUUUUGCUUUUUCCUGUUUUUCCAUAUUGCGGUCGAUUGCUGUGUAGAUUCUCAGUUUAUUCAGGAGAGUUUGGGAAGACAUCAUGAAAUAAGUGAUAUAUAUUUGAUCAGGAGGUUCUGUGAACCUGGUUUAGUUUACUUGCGUCUUAAUUAAAUAUUGGCAUACUGAAAAGCUAUAUGCCUAUGUAUGAAGGGGAAUCUAAAUAAUGAAAAGCUAGAUGCCAUUUAGAUCAACUGAAACAGGUUCAAUUAUCACUUUAUAUUGGCAGGAUCUUUCAUGAGCAUGGCGCUCUUAUUGAUGGAAGAAUUCUUUCUUUUCUAGAUAAUGGUAACCAUCUAUAUCUGUAUCCAGAAAUAUCAGUACCAGUCACUAUUGUAUGUGUCGCACUUUGCACCUUUAAAGUUUGGAACUCAUGUGUAACUGGUAAUCUACUAUGUUUCAUGAGACACAACAGCGACAUGUUUUUGGUGUGCCUACAUGGUUUGUGAUAUGAGUCAAAUCAUUGUUCCUUUUUUUCUUUUGCACAAGCAUAUGCUAUUAGGAAACAUUUUCAUAUUCUGCUGUAUCUGGAUGAACAAGUUCACAGUGGUUGUUAUGUUGACCUUCAAUAAUCAAGCUAGUUUGUUCUCUCUAACCAGCUAUUACUGGUAUUUGCAAGGAUGGAAAGUGUUGCAGAAAGGAAAUGUCUCAUGUUUGGUGAGCUCGAGUGCAUGGGUACAGAAGCUCAGACAGGGCAGGGAAUAAUCUGAAUUCAGAAGCUCUCGGUGAUCAAAUGGAAUCUCUGAAAUCUGGCUUCAGCUGGAGUGCUCUGUACUCUGUAGCAUGAGUUCUUUAGUAGCAAUUAUAGUCUGCAGUAGUAUGGGAAAUUUUCUCUCUUUCCUUUUCAACAUACUAUCUGAUGAUCCUUGAUCAUUGCUCAUGUUCAAUAUUUAUUUAAAUUUUUGAACUGAAAUCAUUGCAUUGGUGAAUCUAUGAUUAGGUUGAGUAUUGAACUGAAACUUUUGAGUACCGUAAUCAGGGUACUGUUUAAAUAUCGAAUAUGUAAUUGGAAUGGUUCCUAUCUAGCCGAACACAAUUUUUUAUGGUCUGGAAUGGUUCCUGGGCAGGAUUUGAAAUAGGUCAGGAUCGAGUGAAGGAAGGGGAUCCACUUGAUCCUAGCUAGGAACGGUUCCUGGACCGGAACCAAUCCAAAGAAAACGAACCAGACCUUAAAAUAACACGUUUUUUAAGUAGCGAGAUGCCCGGAUCGGACUCAGGCUCCAGCACAUGCUAGAGGCAUUGUUAAUUUGACUGCUCUUGGAACGCCCAGAGGUCGUCAACGAAUAAGUACCUGAUGGAUGAGUGGAAUCUCGGCAACCAUUAAUCGUCACGUCCAUCCAAUGCAAGUCAGUGCCUGCCUCACACUUGUGAAACGAACGAGACCUUAAAAUAACACGUUUUUUAGUAGCGAGAUGCCCGGAUCGGACUCAGGCUCCAGCACAUGCUAGAGGCAUUGUUAAUUUGACUGCUCUUGGAGUGCCCAGAGGUCGUCAACGAAUAAGUACCUGAUGGACGAGUGGAAUCUCGGCAACCAUUAAUCGUCACGUCCAUCCAAUGCAAGUCAGUGCCUGCCUCACACUUGUUUGUGUCCAUCCAGCCAGGCAUAAGCUGUUAAGCCCUAGGUUGGUGGUUGCGUCUAAUUAAUUUCAUACUCGCCUUUGUUUUAAAUUGUAGAUAGUUGAAGGAGUUUUGCUCGAAAACUCUCUGGACGAUUCCAAAGUAAAUAUGCUUUGUCCGAAGCCUCCAACUCCUGAUUGUCGGACCAUCCGGUGCCCUAGGGUUGUCUUCGUCUUCUCUGUGAAUUACUCCGACGCAUGUAAAAUACAAGUCGUCGGAUCAUCUGGUGCACUUGAAGUUUUUCCCCGUUUUCCUGUUGUACCAAUUGCUCCGGUGGUUAGUCCGAUGGUUGCUCUGGUGGACCAUCGGAACAUCCGGUGCUACUAAUUUUUCUGAGUUGAAUACCGCCAUUUGAGCACCAAAGAUAUCAUCACUUGGAUUUUCUCUAUCAUUUGGAUGCUUGAAUAUCAUAGAAUAAUUCUAAAUAUCAUGGCUUGGUCACUUGGAUACCACCAUUUGGAUUUAGAAAAUACCAUUAUUUGGAUGAUUUGAUUACCAUGAUUUGUACCUUGUCAUGAUUUGGUUUGCAUUCUUGGGAUCUAGAAAACCUACAAGGCACAUGCUUGAUAACCUAUCUUACUAUUACUAAUUGGAGGCUCCUUUUGAAGCCUCCAGAUAAAGCCACCUAGGAUUCCUAGGUGGACACUCUAGAAAAAGAGAGAAAUCCUAGAAAUUCUCACAAAAAAGCAAAACAUCCGACCAUCAAUCGACAGAUUCAAAUCAUCAUAACCAUUGGAUCUAUUAUGUUUUCUAAAAAAUUACCCACCUAUACCAUUAUGAAAAUAGCCUAAAGUAACCCCCUAAAUCUAUAUAUAAAUUACCCACCUCUGCCAUUAUAUAAAAUAAACUAAAGUAACCCCCUAAUCUUCAUCAAAAUUACCCACUUAUGUCAUUAUAAACAAUAUUUAAAAUAACUCUCUAAUUUGCAACUGAAUUGCCUACCACUAUUACUUUAAAAAACUUAAAGUAACCUCUUAAAUUUCCAUCUAUAUUACCCACACAUGCUAUUAUUAAAAAUAACAUGAGGUAACCCUACGUUUGAAUCAAAUAACCUUAAUUAAAAAUAUACAACAAUAUAUGAUUCUAAAUCGUCUAUAUGUUACACUAUUGAUAUACGAUAUAAUAAUUAAGGUCUAUACGCAUGAUGUGUGAUGUGUGUCACCAUUUAUAAGGAUAUAAAAUUAUGGGAAUAUACAUUUGUAUGCUAAAAUUAUAUUUAGCAUUAUGGAUAGUUCUAUUAAAUUUAUGAGCACUCAAACUUAGGGUUCAUUAAACAAAUUCAAGCCCAUACAUGCGGUCCAAAGUGGAAAGUUAAAGAUUAUAAAUGUGGAUGAAAAUAUUAUAGAGUAAUUACUAACUGAAAUCUAUCACAAUUGGAUGAAGAUAUUAAGUAUAAUAUCUACAUAAGUAUUGUGUUUGAAUAUUUAACAAACGAGAGGUAGCUUAUGGUAAUAGUUUUGUAGCAAUGUAAUCUCAUUUUUUUUCAUUGAAGACUCCGCAUUAGUUCCCAUGAGACAAGCAAAAAAAAAGAGAUUCUCAUAAAAAUUAAAAACAUCAAACACCAAUCCUGUAAACUCUAAUAAUCAUAGCCAUUGAUUUAUUAUAUUUUCUAAAAAGUUAUCCACCACUGUCAUUAUGGAAAUAUUCAAAAAUGAGCUCUAAACCUAUAUCUAAAUUACCGAGCUCAGCCAUUAUAAAACAUAAUCUAAAGUAACCCCGUAAUCUUCAUCCAAUUUACUAAUGCACAUCAUUAUAAAGCAUAACUUAAAAUGUCAUUCUAAAAUUUUAUCUAUGUUCGUUAUUAAAAGUAACCUAAAGUAAAUACUUAAAUCUUAAUCUAAUUAUCUUCAUGUGCAUCAUAUAGAAAUGUCAAAAAGUAAACUAAUAUAUGAUUCUAAAUUACCUAUUUAUGUCAUUGUUAAUAUAAAAAUACUACAUUAAAGUAUAUACACAUGAUGAGUGCCACCAUUAGACCAUGUAUACAUUUAUGUGCGGAAUCGAUGAAAAAUAUUGAUUUGUAUGCUAAACAUAAUGUACAAAGGAUUGGAGGUGCGAUACAAAAUGGAAAAAGUAUGAAUAUGAAUGAAAAAGUGCAUAGAAUAAUUAUUAAUUAAAAAUCAAUCACAACUGGACAAAAUAGAUACAUAUCUAUAUAAGUAUUAUGUUGAAGUAUUGGAAAAAUAAUAGUAGUAGGUAAACAAUUUUGAUUAUUAGCUAAGAGUUUAAUUUCUAAAUAAUUUUCAAAUCCAAUAACUUAUAAAAACAUUAGCCUGUGCAGGAGCACGGGUUGAUGGACUAGUUAGUUCCAAUGACUAUGCUAUCACUUAAUCACCAAAAUCACAAACAAUAGCCUAAUGAGACCAUGUUCCUUACACCUUAACAUUCUCCAUGCAUCCUUUCUCGCCAGUCACCACCGUGCCUCAUGCUCAUGCAUGAGGCUCGGUGACUUCCCGCGGUCUCACCUUGAUCUUGCUAUUUCUUAUAACCCAUGACAGAGAAACAAUCAUAGAGUAUAUAGGACUACUAUAUACUACAUACUACUAGUAGCUGCAGCGAGAUUCCCUGAUCAGACGCGUUAUUACAAGUGAUCGCGACUUCAUUCCAUGAGAGAGGAGUCUUCUUCUUCUUUCUUUGUUUUUUUUUUUUGCACGAGACUUCAAUGACAGAAUGGUCAUCAUAUAUCAUAUAAUAAUAUAGUAGCUUGCAUGAUGAUAAGGUUACUUCUAUAGUUAUGCAUGCCCGAAAUCUAAUUAGCUGUGACAGCUGCCACCAAAUAGAAGAAUUAGCUGUGUCAGCCCCAACAUGUAGUGUCGCUCAGUUUACAUUUAAAAUAACACGUUUUUUAGUAGCGAGAUGCCCGGAUCGGACUCAGGCUCCAAAGCAUGCUAGAGGCAUUGUUAAUUUGACUGCUCUUUGAGCGCCCAGAGGUCGUCAACGAAUAAUUACCUGAUGGACGAGUGGAAUCUCGGCAACCAUGCAUUAAUCGUUAAGUUGGCACGUCCAUCCACUUAAUGCAAGUCAGUGCUCACGGUUGUUUGUAUCCAUCCAGCCAGGCAUUAAGCACUAGGUUGGUUGACAUACUCCCUUUGUUUUAAACUUUGUUUUAAAUUAUAGGUCGUUUUGUAUUUUCAAGAUGCAUAGGAAAAAACUAUACGAGAGUAGCAAAUCCAAACUCAAUUACCGAUACGAGCAUGCAUUGUUGCUUGUUCGAUUGAAUCCCCUGCUCUAAUUAGCCAAUCACCGCAGGAUUAUUGAGCUCGUGGCCACCUGAAUCGGGGUUGCUGCUACCGGAUUCCUUUCUUACCAAUGGCCAUACCCGUCGCGGCCGCCGACGCAGCGCUGCUCGCCGCCCGCGCAUAUGCCAUCCACCGUCCCUAGCCACGUCCUUGCGUUGCGCGCGCACCACCACCUGCUGCCAUGGACACCACCGCUCGCCGCGCUAGGCCCGAAGCAGUCGUCCAAGCGUUAAUUAAUGCCGUUCGUCUUGCUCGCCUGCACGAAAACCGAAGCCCGCUUCGCCGUUGACGCCUGCGCAUAGCCCCGGCCUACCAGCUCGCCGUCCACGGCCAGCACUCCCGGCUCGUCGCUGCGGGCCUGCGGCCCCGCCGUCACCGUGCGGGUUGGGUUGGAAAGAGGAAACGACGGGAGAGAAAACUGAGUACAUGUUCAUAAAAUAUUUUAGACAGGGCUUAUAGAAGCCAUGGGUUGGGUGAUGUUGGUUUGUAAAUUGAGUGCCUAGCUUAUACGGCAGCAUAGACAUCAUCCAUGAAAACGGUGGGUUGAAAUCAGGACAAUAAUUGUGCCAGCUAACUAACAAUCCAAGAUAUUAUACUAGAAAUCAUGAUAACAAUUGUGAAAGAGCUGAGGCAGUACGACCAAGCUUAAUUAAACUUUAAAUAAGGAUAAUGAUUAUGCCAUCUAACUGAAAUAUUUGACUCACAAUCCGAACUAGUAUAUACUAGAAAUAAGGAUGAUAAUCGUGCUAGCCAGCUGUGCUUCCUUUAUCUGGUUUAUUUUUUGAUGAUGAGGCCAAUGACGUUUCAUAAGCUGGGUAAGUAUUUAUAUUUACAGUAGAAGAAAUAAACAAUGCUAUCAUGGCAGAUGAAGUAAAAUUUCGGAAACCAUUUUAAUUUGUAUGCAAGUCUAUGCCGACUCACAUCAUCCAAUGUAUAAUGCUCAGUUGCCAUUAUUAAUUUAUUCCAGAGAAUUGCAUUGGGCUCCAUGUUGGGUAGGCUUUACAUGCAUCACCUUGUUUACGCUGCCACAACGUGGAGCUCACGGGGCUAAACUUUAGCUCCUGUCACGUCGGAUGUUUAGAUACUAAUUAGGAGUAUUAAACAUAGUCUAAUUAUAAAAUUAAUUACACAGUGAGAUGAAUCUAUUAAGCUUAAUUAGUCAAUGAUUAGACAAUGUGGUGCUACAGUAACCAUUUGCUAAUGAUGGAUUAAUUAGGCUUAAUAGAUUCGUCUCGCGAAUUAGCCUAGGAGUUCUGCAAUUAGUUUUAUAAUUAGCUCAUGUUUAGUUCUUCCAAUUAGCAUCCGAACAGCCGAUGUGAUAGAGUUAAAGUUUAGCCCCUGGUAUCUAAACAGCAAAAUCGAUGACCAAUCAUGCUGCCGAGGCUGCUCACAGCCUAAGGGGAAUUCUCUUCCUAGCCUAGACUAUACUCAAGCAACCUAGCUAGUUUUACAGCUCCAGCCUGAAUCCAGAGUUGGAUUUCCUGCUUGAUAACGUCCAGGAGUUGUAGUGCCGUCGAUGCGCGUACGUUGAUCAACAUAACGCUCUCUCCUUCUCUCCUUGGCCUGCAGCUUCCUCGCAUGCGCCCACCAAUUCUGGCGCGAAAUUAACCCGCGCAUUGCGAACGAGCCUCUGGCUCACUGGUAGCACUCGCGGUGGCGAGGCUGCCCGCCAAGGUUGAUCGAACUUUGGGGUCGCACCAGCGGGAUUUUCCCCAAUAAUGCACAGUCUCAGCUCGGAUUGUUUCGAGCGUCUGCCUCUCACGCGUGGAACUAUUCAACCGGGACUAAAGGUUUUUUAAGUGAGGUUUUUAUGUCCCACCUACUUUGCAAUUACAAUUUAUAUAUGUUUUCCAACUUUGUUAAAGAAAAAGAAAAAUUUUACAUAUUUUAAACCAAAAAUAUAUUAAAUUAGUAAGUAUAUUUAAAAUAAGUUUGAAUCAGUCAUUAAUUCUAUAUUAGUUGUUUAAGUUUCUAAAAUAAUUAUUUUAAUGCAUCACUAUCAUCAACAAACUAUUCAAGUAAAUAAUUUCAACGUGCAAAAAAUACAACUGAUGUAUGUGGUUAAGUUAACAUUGUUUAUAUUGAUCGAAUAAAUCCACCAUGGAGCAUUACAAUAUAAUUCAAAGGUUCUGAUGGCCAUAAAGCAUUAUAUUAAGGUAAACCAUAUUUAGUGCAUUAUAAUGUAACAUUAAAAAACUUCUUCUUGGCUAAAAGUUCCUUGGUCAUGAUCGCGGCGUAAGUACGGAGUCUCUUUUCUGGCUAGCAUGAUGCUUGGGUCAACUUCGACAGCGAAUGAAGGCAUGCCAUGAAACUAAUCAUAAUCAUCUGAUUGAUCUGUUUUGUCGUCGACACCCACGAUUUUUCUUUAACCUGAAAGAACUAUAUGGUGCUUUGGCUGCCAUUAUUUUUCUUUAUCUUCUGAAUUUUUCUUGGGUCUGCUAGACAUGUUCUUCACAUAGAAAACCUAGUGCACAUCAUUGGUAAGGACGAAUGAUUCAUUAUUGUAUCCAGUCUUGGUCAGAUCCACUAUUAUCAUUCCAUACUUAUCUUUCAUUACGUCACCUCCAGUUAGCUUCACCCUCGCAAUGAAAUAGAGGGAUGUUCAUCGGUCCAUGUUUAAGUUUCCUAGAUCUCCUCUAUGAAACCAUAAUACGAGUCCUUGCACCUGUUGUUGUCUAUGGCAUUUAUGCAGACACCACUAUUCUGGUCGGUGCUUUUCUAGUCUUGGGCUCUCGUGUAAAAUGUUUAACCAUUUAUCUUGUAACCUUGGAAUUUCAUGAAGGUCCCCUGGCUAACCAAGCAAGUUGUUCGUGAAUCACGAAGUUACCAAUAAUAUGUUGACACAACCAAGAGAGAAAAGUAUCCAUGUGAUGACGUAUAAUCAAGGCAUCAAAUUUCAUCAAGUAUUAGGCAAAUAGAAUCUGCUGGUGUUCCUCGAUAUACGAAGCCACAAAGGAUGAUUGUUGCAGAACAGUGAAGUGCGCUUUAUGAAAAAAAUCAAUAUCAUUGCUCAAACUUAAUUUCCUUCCAAGGGUGACCGUUCCCCGCAGCCUCCCGUUGUGGCGUGAUGUUGGAACCCCAAUCAAAUUAAUUGAGUCAAUAAAAUCAACAUAAAACUUAAGGAACUCCUCUGUUCCAUAUCCCUUGGCGAUGCUUCCUUCUGCACAUGCAUGAUUAAGAACAUAGUUUUUUAGAACUGACAUGAACCUCUCGAAAGGCCACAUAUUGUGCAGGAAUACAGGACUGAGAAUAGUAAUCUCUUUGACUAGGUGAACCAGGAAUUGCAUCAUAAUAUUGAAGAAGGAUGGUGGAAAUACCAGCUCAAAGCUGACAAGACAUUGUACCAUAUUGUUCUGUAGCUUUACUAGCUUGGUUGGAUUGAUUGUCUUUUGUGAAAUCGCAUUGAGAAACGCGCAUAGCUUUAUGAGUGCCAAUCAUUCAUUCUCUAGUAGAAUACCCCUCAGCACAAUCGGAAGCAACUGGGUCAUCAACAUAUGGAAGUCAUGUGCCUUGAGAUUUGUGAAUUUUUUUCUUUCAUAUUUAUUAUUCCUUUUAUAUUCGAGGAGUACCCAUACAAACCUUGAUACUAUUCAUGCAUUCAAACAUGCUAUCCUUCUCUUCCUUGUUCAUGUAUUCAAACAUGCUAUCCUUCUCUUCCUUGCUGAGAGUGUAACUGGUAGGACGUAAGUAGUGUUAUCCAUUAUCUAUCUUUUCCGGAUGUAAGUCAUCUCGUUGCUUCAUACGUUUUAGGUUCUGUCAUGUUUUCAAUGUAUCUUUUGAGUUCCCAUAACAACCUAUGAAGCCUAGCAUGUUCAUGCAAAGAUUCUUCGUCAGGUGCAUCACGUCUAUUACGUUGCGGACCUCUAGAAUUUCCCAAUAAGGUAGGUCCCAAAAUAUAGACUUCUUCUUCUACAUGGGUGCCCGUCCGUUAUCGUCGUUCAGAAUACAUUCGCUACCAAGACCCUUUCCAAAGAUUACCCUUACAUUCUUUAUCAUCUCAAAUACACGCUUUCCAUUAUGAUGUGUAGAUUUUUUACGAUGGUUUAGCGCCCAUUUGAAAUGCAUCACAUUCUUUCUUAAUGAGUGGUUAGCAGGAAGAAAUCGUCGAUGGCCCAUAUACACGACCUGCCUAUAGUGUUUCAAAUACAUACUAUCUGUGUCAUCUAAACAAUGGUUGCAGGCCUGAUAUCCCUUGUUUGUCUAUCCUGAAAGGUUACUCGGUGCAGGCUAAUCAUUAAUGGCUAUGAACAACAAUGCUCGUUUCAAAGCUCUCUUAUUUAUCCUUAUCCCACACACGUACACCUUCUUCCUUCCAGAGUAGCAAAAGUUCAUCAACUAACGGUCAUAGGUACACGUCAAUGUCGUUGCCGAGUUGUUUUGGACCUUGGAUAAGCACCGACAUCAUAAUGAACUUCCUCUUCAUGCACAGCCAAGGAGGAAGGUUGAACAUACAUAGGGUCACAUGCCAAGUACUAUGACCACUACUCAACUCACCGAUUGGAUUGAAUCCAUCACUACUUAAACCAAACUUUAUAUUUCUUGUAUUACUUUCAAAGUUUGGAAAUGCUCUAUCAAUUGAUCUCCAUUAGGCCCCAUCCGCAGGGUGUCUCAGCAUCUCAUCUUGCUUACGUUCUUCUUUGUGCCAUCACAUCAACUUAUCAUUCACCUUGUUUCUGAAAAAACCCUUCAAACAUGGUAUUAUAGGAAAAUACCACAUCACCUUCUUGGAAACUCUCUUCUUGGGAGGCUGCCCCUCAACAUCACUAGGAUCAUCUCACCUGAUCUUAUAUCGCAGCGCUCCACACACAGGACAAGCGUCCAAUUUCUCGUAUUCAUCACCAUGAUAGAUGAUACAGUUAUUAUGACAUGCGUGUAUCUUUUGAACCUCCAAUCCCAGAGGGCAACCAAUUUAUUUUGCUUCAUAUAUUGUGGAUAGCAAUUCAUUAUUCUCGACAAGAAUGUUCUUUAAAAUUUUCAAUCCCCUAAAAUGCCUUAUCGAACACACUAUUUUUUACCGUCCAUUGCAACAGUUCUAGUGUGGUACCCGGUUUUUUAUGCUCCUGCUUGCAAUUUGAGUAUAACAAUUUUUGUGAUCAUUAAUCAUGCACUGCAACUUUUCUGAUUCCUUUUCUGUUCUCACAAUCUCUGUGUGCAUUCCGUAGACCAAGAUCAUCAGUAGGGCCGUCUUCUGCAAACUCAUCUUCAUCAGUCUCACCCAUUGUAGUAUCUACAAGAGCUUGGCCUGCAGCCCAGUCCGGAAUGUUAUUAUUAUCCUCCUCUUCUUUGCCGUCUUCCAUUACAUGCCCUCUUUCACCAUGCUCGGUCCAAACCAAAUAAUUAGGCAUGGAACCAUAUCUAAACAAGUGGCUGUGAAUAGUCCCCCAGGAAGAGUAGUCCUUAUUGUUACUUUAUUGGAAGCAUGGACAACAUAUGAAUCCGUUCUCUGGUUUAUUAGCUUUGGCCACUUCGAGAAAAUAGUGCAAGCCAUCAACAAACUUCUUGGUCCGUCUGUCCAUGUUAUACAUCCAUUGCCGGUCCAUCUGCAUCGUAUUACGUGAGAAAUGGACAUAAGUCUUCGUAUUAGAUAAAGAACUUGAUCAAUAUUAGGUAGGGGGCAAUAGAGUUAAUGUGAUUAUAAUAUUUAGUCCUUGCAAAAAAUAUUAGAUAAAUAAAUUAUUGCAUGAGAAAUAGACAUAGGUAUUUGUAUUAGAUAAAGAACUUGACAAUAUUCAUAAUUUACACCAAUCAACCUUCAUAAAGAUAAAAAUAAUUCACAUGAAAAUUACACCAUUUAGCAUUCACUAAAGAUACAUAUAAAGAUUACACUCAUAACAAGACAAUAAAGAUAGAUAUCCACUAAAGAUUACAGACGCUCCAUAGUGGAGUUCACGUAGUCAAUUAUCCUAAAAUAAUGGUACAACAUAGCAAAAUGUUUGCCCUCCAAGCUAUCUCUGCACAUAACUCAAUCUUCUACGAAGUCUAUCGAGAGUCACCUUCACAUAUACAGUACCAUAACAUAAUGGUACAACAGAAGAUCUUCGAGUCCACAUACUUGACCUGAAUAUCAUAAAAGAAUCUUGAAAUAAUUGUCCAAACGUCUUUUGGAGCAAGUGCCAUAUUCUCAUAAUAUAAGUAUGGUGGCACACACACAAUAGCCCAUCCAAGCAAGAGAUCUGUUCACUGAGCAUGACCCAUGGUGGCAAGCCAAAACCAACCAAAAGCCGCUAGGUCAAGGUCAGGGAACAGAUCUUUGCCUGAACAGGAUAUUGGGCCAGCAUACUUCUAUUAUGAAAAUUAGGCUCCAAAAGGUAUUUGGAAUACUAUUUCAAGAUUCUUUUAUGAUAUUCUGCCCGAGUUUGUGGACUCUAAGCUCUUCUGUUCUACCAUUAUUUUCUAGUACUGGAGAAGCGGAGGUGACUCUCCAUAGACUUCGUAGAACAUUGAGUUAUGUGUAGAGAAUAGUGUAAGCACAUUUAUACCAUGUGCAGACACUGUUCUCUGGGACUGGAGGAACGGAGGUGGUACAUCCAUUGCCAGUCCAUCUGCAUCGUAUUACAUGGAAAAUGAACAUAAUUGCCAGUCCAUCUGCAUCGUAUUACAUGGAAAAUGAACAUAGAGAUUCAUAUUACAUUAAGAACUUGAUCAAUAUUAGGUAGGGGAAAAAUAGAGUAAGUAUGUUUAUAAUAUUUAGUUCUUGCAAUAAACAUGAGAUAAAUAAAUUAUUUGUCAAAAAAAUACAAUUAUUGUUAAAUUACUGCGACAUUAAAAAUUGUAGCAAUGACCAAAUUCUAUUUCUUACACCUACAAUUUAUUUACCUUAAUUUUGUUGCAAUGACUAAAUAUUAAAAAUACAUUUACUCUAUUUUCCCCGUACCUAAUGUUGAUCAAGUUCUUUUAACUAAUACGAAUCAUAUAUAACAAGCAAGCUAUGCAUCAAAUUCUAGCUCAAAAAUAUGUAUAUCCUCUCCAUUCUCCCUCAUCUAAAAAAUUCAUUUUUUUUCUCUCUCUCUCUAAAGCAUAAAAUAAAGCAUAAUAACAAUAAAUGAAGGGAGAAUGAAGUAGCUAACCUUCACAACACUUUGGAUGAGUGAAAUCCUCACGGAAAUGAGGAAAAUAAUUUGGGCAGCACCUCCCCUAAGGUUGCUUGCUCGCCAUGGAGAGGAGGAUGAAGCUCUCAGUCAAGUGGAGUGGCUCUGGCUGGGGGAGGAAGAAGAGUUUUUGAUUUUGUAGGGGAGGAAAUUUUGUCCCGGUUGGAAAUUCCAACCGGGACAAAAGAUCCCCUUUUGUCUCGAUUUGAAUUACCAACCGGGAUUUUUGUCAUGGUUGGAAUUACCAAUCGGGAUGAGGGGUCUUUUGUCCCGGUUGGAAUUUCCAACCGGGACAAAAGGGGGAGUGUCGGUGGAAUUUUUUAUAGCCAUUACAAUCGGGACUAGGGGGUUUUAGUCCCGGUUGAUCUUUACAACUGGGACUAAAGACCCCAACCCCCCCUCCUCCUGUGGUGGCUUUCGGUGGAACAUUUUUGACCCGGGAAUAAAAGCGGGUCCCAUGUUAACGGGGACUGUUCUCUGCUAGUGCAAUCUUGCGUCGUUGAUUGAUGAUGGGUACGUCACUCGGGCAGGACCUAACAUGAUGAUUUUUUGCAGAGUGGGUCUUAGAGUUGAUCAAGUAUAUAUCACUUCUUUAUUUUCUGUAUUGGUUGAGAAACAAAGUCAGUGAAGCAUCGAGCAAUGCGCCGCGUCAAGGUACAAUAAUUUGUGGCUGCAUUGGUUGGCCGCCAGUCAAGAGUCAACUUUGUGGCCAUGCAACUUGAUCACUUAUUCACAUGCACUUUUGGACUUUCGCUGCACACACUGACCUUCCACACGGUCACGCGUGCCUGGGCACUAGCUUUCUUCAGGACUUUGGCAUAGUGAGAGUAAGUUUUGGUCUUCGGCUCUCUUUCUUCGAAACUUGUCUGGUGCGCAAGAAAUUUCAAUAAGGAAGCAGAAUUGCAAAUAACCGUAGCUUGGCUUGUACACGAGCUUUUUGUUUGGUUGCCGUCGUGCAUACAGCUAGGCCAGCAGGAGAAUCUCACGAGUAGAGGUCCAACAUUUUUUUUUCCCGAUUGUCUUUGGACCCCCGGUCCGGAGCUCGGUCCCCUUUAUAAUACCAUCUCCAUAAACUCAUGGGGGCGCACAACGCUCAGCAUUAGCAGUACCACUUGCUAGCUUCUGCUACACAAGCAAACCCAUAGGAUACACACCUGAGAGUAAUGGCGGACCUUGCAAUCGGGAUUUCCAGGACGGCGGUUCAGUUGCUGUGGGACAAAGUCAAGACCGCCAUCAAGGAGGAGGCAGAGCAGUGGCAGAUUGUGCAGCGUGAUCUCGUGUUCAUCACGGGGGAGGUCGAGAUGAUGCAGUCCUUCCUCAACGUUGCCGACCCGGAGCGCGUCAGGAACGAUGUUGUGAGGACCUGGGUGAGGCAGGUCCGCGACCUCUCCUAUGAUGCGGAGGAAUGCAUUGAGUUCGUCCUCCAACUGGACACAAAUAAGAGGUCCUGGUGGCUCCGGCUGUUGCCGUCUUGUGGCAAGACGGAAGCAGCGCUGCCAGUGGACGAAGCCGUCGCCGAGACAACACUGCUGAGGGCUCGAGUGGUGGACGUGAGCCAGAGGAACAUACGCUACAACCUUAUUGUAGACUCUGCCUCCAGACCCAUCAAUCAGCAGGUUGAUCAAAUGGCUGCUGCCUCCAGCACAAGUUCAUUUGACAGCAAGUUCAAUGCUGUUAAGAAGACUGGCUUCUUGGAUCUUCCCGGAUUGAUCAGUAGGGAAGACGAGGACCUUCAAUUGAUCUCGGUCUGCGGACCAGAAGGUGAUCUUGGGAAAGUAGCCAUCAUCAGGAAGUUGUACGGUGAUUCAAGAAUCUACAAGGAAUUUGAAUGCCGCGCCUGGGUGAAGCUUAUGGAGCCUUUUAAUGCUCAUGAGUUUAUACGGACCUUGAUGAUUCAGUUCUUCGCACACUCUUGCUGCAGCCAAGAACAAGAAGGAAGCAUAAAGGAGUCUGCUCAUAAAAUCAACACACAUAGGUACCUCAUCGUCCUUGAAGACCUAUAUACCAUGGCACAGUUGGAUACCAUCAGAUCCUACCUGCCGGACAUGAAGAAAGGAAGCCGGAUUGUCGUGUUAACCCACCAGCCGGUGAUCGCAAGAAUAUGCGCGGGGGAGCUGUGUCGAGGUUUUCAUCAGCUUGUCCAGUUUUCACUAGAUCAUUCUGUCUGCGUCUAUUUCAAAGAGGUAAAUCAAUAGUGUACUUUCAGAAAUUAAAAAACAUUUCAUACAUGUUGCUGGCGCACCACUUUUUUCGAUUUUCUAUAUAUUUUAUUUACCAUAUAUAGUGGGAGUUUGUAAUACAUGACAUGAACAGCAGAGAUGUAACCCAGAAAUAUGAGCCACUUUCUAAGCUCUAGGUUUUGGUUGCCCGCAUGCUCUAGCCUGGCUGGUAUACAAAAUAAACCCACCUUAGCCUGGCGAAGAAGAGAAAGCUGUUUAGUUGCCUGCGAAACAUUAGUUGUAUGAGAUAAAUGUGGACAAAUAAGGGUUAUUAUGAUAUUUAUUUUGUGCAUUUUUAAAUAUUUGUGGAGCAUUUAUUUUAUAAGCAUCAAUAUUCCUUAAGCACAAUAAUAUCACUUGAUAUACCCUAACAAUGCAGUAAUAGCAUCAUUACCUAGGCAGUUGUUGACUGUAUCAAGCAAGCCAAGCUCUGCAAAAAUUUCAUGUUUCUACAAAGCCAGGCUGUCAUACCAUAGUAACAUGCAGGCAACAAAGCACUUCUGUAUUCAUCUUUUAGACCAGGCUAAGCAAAAUGCAGGUAACCAAAUUAACAUUUUCAUGAUUACACAAACCUCCUAGUGGACUCUCUCUUCUCUAUUGUUCAUGCUCUUAUUUUUACAUGACUUUGUUGUACAAAUCCUGGUGGCACCCAACAAAUACAUAUAAAAAGCAUAUACCAAUUCAAGAUCUGAAUUAUUGAAACCUAUGUGCAGAUUUCUAUUGUCCCCCAAUUAAACUUCCUUUUCUUUGUGCGUGAUUGUGUGCAUCGUUCGAAAACAGUGCUAGACAUAUAAACAGUGCGUGAUUGUUUGCUUUAGUUUUGUGCGCCCAUCUGCCAGAAACAUUGUUCAAUAAUUAAUGAAUAUAACUUUUCCACUGAAUCAGGGAAUUUUUCAUGAAUCAGGGAAUUUUUCAUACAUGUCAAUUUUCCUAGCUACUAGUUUAGGUUGGCAAUCUAAUUUGACAGCCCAAAGCGGCCAAAUGUUAGUUGAGAAAUCAUAUUUUCACUUUUUUUUUGGUCGGUGCUUAUUUUUUUUCUCGCACUUAUUGGCAUAUAGGUGCUUAUUUUUUAAUUGAAAAUAAGUAAUCCCCCCUCUCUAUUCUUCUUUCAACUUGUUUGUACAUCUAUUUCUGUAUCUGCAGGGUUUCCAGCGUGAUAGAGUCCCUUUCUUUAUAAGGGAAGAACCCGACCAUUCAUGGUGCGAGUAUGGCCUUAUUGGACGUGACACUGAAAUGGAUGCACUUUUUGAGCAAAUCCAGGAAAGUCGUAUUAUUUCUUUGUGGGGAAUGCCUGGUGUUGGUAAAUCAAGUCUCGUUUGGGACAUCUACAACAAACCGCAGACUCUUAAAACAUGGCAGCGUCGCGCUUGGGUCUUUGCUUCCCAUCCAUUCAAUCCCAUAGCCUUCUCCCGAAACAUAGUUCAACUUUGGAAUUCACUUCCGGAAUCCUAUCAGGCAAAUCCCAUCCAAGAAUGUCGACAUCUUCUACAUGAACAUGUGUGCCUACUCGUAAUUGAUGGUUUGCAGUUCGAGGAAGACUGGGAUUGGAUAAAUAACUUGAUAGGAAGCGGAGGUUCAAGAAGCUGUAUCAUCACCAUUACUUCGGAAGAAAGUGUUGGCAAACAUUGUGCAGCAGUAUCAUCAAACAAUGCAGUAGUGCACAAUAUCAAAGGUCUUGAAGCUGAUGCAGCCCUUGAACUGUUCAAAAAGGUGUGUUUUCUCACAAGCAUUGUUCCAUUUAGUUUCCACUUAUAUCUACUAGCAUAAUUCCUUACUGUAUCAUACUAUUACUAACUAUAAACUCUUUUUAGAGCCUCCAUAAUGAAACCUCAAUAGGCACCAUAGAAAAAUAGAUAAAUCCUAAAAAUUCUAACAAUGGAAACAUCUAAACGUCAAUUCAGGAGACUCUAAACAUCAUGGACAAUAACAACCAAUAGAUCUAAUAUGUUUUUAUAAAUUUAAAAAAUCUGUGCUAUUAUAAAAAAAAUAGUCUAAAGUAACCCCAAAUCUAUAUCUAAAUUACUUGCCUUAGCCAAUUAUAAAAAAAUCAUCUAAAAAGUCUAUAGUACCCUAAGUUAACACAAAAAAUUAAUGACCUAUUCCAUUGUGAAAAAUAAUAUAAAGUAACUCCCAAAACUUUCAUAUAAAUUACCUACAUAUUCCAUCAUGAAUAAUAUUAUAACUUGACCCUCUAAACUUGUAUAAAAAUAACCCGCACUCGCCACUAUUAAGAAUGACUUAAAGUAGGAGGAUCUCUUUUCUCUUCACAUGAACUUAAAAUGUAAAGCAUUUAAUUUUGCGUGAUACCUUAUUCAUUAGUAAAUAUAACCAUAGUGAAUAGGGUAGGCAAAACAAAAACCAAAGGAGUGAACCAAAAUGACCGAGACCUAACCAGAAAUAAACCGAAAUCAAGAUUUUCAGUCACUAAGGGGGUGUUUGGCAGCACUACACCUCACAAAAACCAGCUCCACACUUUCAUAGCUCCACUCACCUGUCUCUUCUCUUUCCUCCCCUUGUCUUCCUCUGCUCGCGCUCAAAGUAAUCAGAACCCAAAUCGACAGACGAGCUGGGGCGGGGCUAGAGAGGGGCGCGACCAGCUGGGGCGGCUGGGGCUGGGGCAGCGUGUGGCGCGCCGGGGUCAGGCAGGGGGCUGGCGUGAGCGGGGCUCUGGCGGGCGAGCGCGGCCUCAGCCAAGGGAGGGCCGCACAGUGCUCGGGGAAGAUUGGGCGAGCAUGCGGUGGCCGGUCGCGGUGAAGAAGACUCGCGAUAGGAGAAAGAGAAGAAAAAAUAGAACGACGGCCGACACAAGGGAACAACUCGUGACAGGGGAAGACCGGGCGGGGGCAGCGUCGGGCAGUGGUUCGCCGCUGGCUGCCCGCCCGCCAGCGAGGCCACGGUCGCCCGCCGGAGCCCCACCCGUGCCAGCCCCCUGCCUGACUCCGGCGAGCCACGCGCUGACCCCUCGAAAAAUUAGAAACAAACUGGUACUUGUGUAACGAGUGGCAAAGGUGGGUAAAUAACCCCCAACUCAACGAGGAAGUCUGAAACUGAUGUUUUUGGAGCACCCCCUGAGGUACUCUAGAAAAAACUUGGAUCUGACCCCUAGCUCCACAUUUUUUUGAAGCUGGAGUUUGUGGAGCUCGACAUGUUUGGCAGGCAAUUUUGUGGAGUUGGUGAAGUGGAGCUAUUUUUUCUAGAGUGGAGUGCUGUCGGCAUAUUCAGCAUUUGCUAUCGGUUAACCAAGAAACUGAAUGAAUCAAAAUCACAAGAGGCACAAUACUGCUUCUAGCGAUGCUCAUUUACAAACCGUAACUAUAUAAUGUCCAACCAAAAUCACUCUCCCUCAUUUCAUUCCCAACCGCACCCAACCCGACCACCUACCCCACUCCAAACCCUAGGCCCCCACCAAACCAUAGAGGAGGCAGGCCUUACGGCGCUCCUCCCUACAGCGAUGGCAGACUGUGGUGAUGACCUAGCACCAGUGGCCAGUGGCGCCUACUACCCUCCAUUCGUUCCUCCACGAUAGCGAGGAGUCGAGGAUGUCACUGCAAAUGCAUCUUGGGGAGCGGCGAGGAUGGCACCUCAUCUUGCCUACGUGCUACGGAUGGAUUUGUCUCGAUUUGUGCCUUAUCCUUCUGGAUUUGUCCUUAUUUGUGCUCAUCCUUCUCCAUGUUUAGUUUGUAAUUUGGUUGGUUUGGUCGUGAGUCACGACUGAGACCGAACCAAAGUAUUCGAGACCGAAUUGGCUUGGUGUCGAUAAUUUUUAGUAACUGAAUAGUCUUUAUUUUUGGUUAACCAAAUUUUAGCAAAAUCCGAAGAAGCGAAACGAUCGGUCUCGGUAAACCGAAUGCCCACCCUUGGUAGGGAAGGCCAAUGUUGUGAAAGAGAAAGUGUUUGUAGCAAGUCAUUCCAUACGGGAAUGUGUGCUCAAUUCCUGUUUCCUUUAUUUCAAAUUUAUAUUACUAUCAUCUUUCAGUUCAAAUGUUCAAACGAAAAUAUUAAAGUUUGUAUUUCACACUUGUUUGACCAAUAGAUUCUCGAGGAGAAAGGAUGCUAUCUGGAAGAGCAGAUGAAAGAAGAAGCAUAUCUUAUCUUGUCCAAGUGUGGCGGGCUUCCAAAAGUGAUUGUAACUUUGGCAGGAUACUUGGCCAGCAGACCAAGCAAACUCAAGCAGGAGAUGAGGCGUCUGAGUAACAACUUUAUGCACGAGCUAGAGACCAACCCAGAGUUUGAUUCCUUACGUGGCAUACUUGCCUUGAUGCAUUCUUACUUGCAUGAUUGCCCUCGGCAUCUCAAGAAAUGCGUGCUUUAUCUAUCGGUCUUUCCUCAAGACAUAAUCAUCCGGAGGAGGCGUUUGGUGAGGCGGUGGAUCGCGGAGGGCUACUCAACGAGCACCGACAGCAUUAGCAUGGAGAAGUACGCGGAGAAGCUUUUUGACGAGGUUGCUGCACUGAGCAUCAUGCAGCCAGUAUUGAAGGCAAGUAAGGUUAUUGGGUACCGAGUCAAUGGUUUCUUCCGCGAUUAUAUCAUCUCGCGGCCGGUGGAAGAGAGAGUUUGCUUUGCAGUGGAAGUCUCUGCACUGGAGCAGGGGCAUGCAUAUGGCCAGCUGACCACAGAAGGCAUAGGACAGCACCUAGCUGUUGGGAGAUCCCUGGAGGAUGACCAGGUUGUGUUCGAGGGUUUGGACUUCUC